RNAcentral lists this long non-coding RNA (93824 nucleotides) under Zea mays. RNAcentral describes it as "long non-coding RNA (ZMAY_LNC004349)". Lineage: Eukaryota; Viridiplantae; Streptophyta; Magnoliopsida; Poales; Poaceae. The record is from RNAcentral.
UCCCUCCCAGGUUGCUUUUGACUUUGCACAUUCUGAUGGUAUUUCUUCGAGUGACCCUAUCUGAUGUCUCUAGAACCCGAGUUGGCUUCUCUAUGUAUGUCAAGUCUUCUUGAUUUCGAGGUCCUCUAUUGGCAACUGCUCCUCUGCACUCGUAAACAUUUCUUCAACCGAGAUACGUCACUACAAGAAACUGAUAAAUGUUCAUGGGGCAAACUAAGAACGUGGGUACCGACGUUCUUAUUUGAGUUAUGUUCAUGGGUUUGGUCAAGAACGUAGGUGCCCACGUUCUUAGUUUAAGUUCGUGCGCCCUAGCUAAAAUCGUCGAACUUAACAUAUUAGGAACGUGGGUACCCAUGUUCUCAACUUAAGUUCAUGGGCCAGCUAGACACCGUCGAACUUAACCCAAAAUACCUAAACCCCUAACCCGCCCCACGUGUCUCACUCUCACCUGCCUCACACCAACCACUCACCCCUUAACCCCUAAUCUCUCACUCACCGGGCCGCCGCCAAGACUCACCACCACGCCGCCGCCAACACUCGCCCUCGCCGUCUCCCUCCCCCUCCAUGUUGUGGCUAGACUCACCCUCCCCCUCCACGCCGUCAACAUCGCCGUCACCAAAGCUCUGCAGUGCGUCGCCGCCAGCGGUCACCACCGCGCCGCCGCAACCACUCGCCCUCGCCAUCUCCCUUCCCUCCACACUAUGGCUAGCCUCUCCCUCACCCUCACCCUCCCCCUCCAUGCCGUCAACCUCGCCGUCAUCAUAGCUCUGCAGCGCACCACCGUGUCUCGUCCUUGGCCGCAGCCGCACGGUUGGGCCUGAACCAUAGCCCCAACCGCACCAUCGUGCCUGUGCCUCGGCCCCGAACGUGCCACCACUCCUAUGUAUUGGCCUUGGCAUCGACCACACCAUCUUGCCCUCGUUGGCGCUCAUCGUCACCCUGCUCUCGCCGGCACUCGACCUUGCCCUCGACGGUAAAAAAUAUCUCUCACAACUACUGAAUGUAAACUGAAUCAUAAAAAAUGUUGUGUGGCUGUUCCUGUGUGGCACAGGCCAAUAAAAGGCUCCUCAAAUUUGCGAUUCUUGUGGUUGUCAGUAUUUCAGUAGAGAAUACAUUUUUGUUGUUUAUGUAUGGUUGUCAUGAGCACAUUCAUAAAUCUAGGCCAACCUUGGACAACAUGGCACAUUGUUUUGUUAUAAGAAACAUGAUGCACUUGUUCUUAUCGGCAUAAACUUAUACAUAGUAUAUCACACAUGUGGCUGACUAUACCACAAACACUUGAUGUUAAUGUUAGCGAUUGUGGGGCAAAAUACACUAGAUGAGCAAUUGGGAUAGGAGGUCCUUGGAAGUGUUUGUGCACAUGUAUGUUUCACUAGUUCUGAAUGGAAGUUUGUGUGCUGAAAAUGUGGAUUUUUUACCAGACAUGUGGAUGUCCAAACCUGAAAAAAUGUGCUGAAAGUGUUUGUGUUUUGCGGAAUCAUUUGGUUGAUGCUUGCUGUGGACAGAAAACUGAAUAUUUGUUGACAGAAACUGCUUAGUGUGUUUUGCUGGUUAUUGCUAGUAAGGACACAUUUGUCGGCAAAAUUUGCUUAUGUUCUGCUUAUUCUAUUUUGUUGCUUAUUAUCAGUUAGGGCACAUUUGUGUUGCUUAUGUUCUGAAACUGUGUAAUAGAAACUGGCGACAUGAGAGCAAGCAACAAGCAUAUAUCCCUGAAUAAGUAGAUCAUGCUUAUAUAUUUCUAUAGGAUAAAAUAUGUAUAGCUAAAGCUAGUGUUUCCAUCUAACUGCAGGCUCAUUUGAUUUGAGGCUCUGGUCUCUCUCUCCAAUCUAACAGUAGGCCGACCCGCGUCUCCUCGACCAUCACCACCUCUGCAGCCUUCACGAAGGUAUUUUUUCUUCUUUCUUUUAGGAUUAAUUGACGCAUAGUAUUAGAAUUAGUUUGUUAGUUAAAAUUUGAUGUGGUAUUUUUUGGGUAGUUGUUAUAAUCGAUGGCUAUUCAUUUUAGAUUAAUCAAUGGUAGGUUCAAUGUUUGGUUAAAGUACUUUCUUAUGCCUAGUGACGCGUAACUUCAUUUUCGGGUGGGUUUAGGACCUAUUCUUCGUAAUAGAGUUAUUAUACAAAGUCUGAUUAAUGGUGUUUAAUGAUGUUUAUUUACACAUUUUUUAUACAUUGGGUUAUUUAAUUUUGAAAAAGGAUGACAAUAGAAGAAGGGCGAUGUAUGAUGGAUUCAAUAGCGUGACUCUAGGUCACUCAAAGGAAUGGGUUAUGGUUACAAAACAAUUCAUGGAUCUCGCAUUUUCUGGUGGACCUCGUGUGGUGAAGUGUCUGUGUACCAAGUGUCAAAAUUUGAAGUAUGUGAGAAAGGUCGAAAAACCGUAUCAUCACCUUUGCAAGAAUGGGUUAUGCCUAACUAUCUAGUGUGGCACUCACAUGGAGAAGUAGAGCAGAAUAUCACAGAGUAAGACAUAAUUGAUGAUGAUGAGGAGGAUUUGAUGGAUGACUUGGUGGCAGAUUUUAGUAGAGAGUAUCCAACAUUGGACUCAGAACAGGCUACACCAGUGGAAGUGUAGGAGUUUUAUAAGUUUCUUCACGUGUUAGAGGAAAAAGUGCAUUAUGGCACCACUAUGACCGUGUUGCAGGUGGUUACACGUCUUAUGGCGAUGAAGACAAAGUAUAACUUCUCAAAUAAUUGCUACAACGAUAUAAUCAAUCUGAUUAAUGAUCUCAUCCCAUCGAACCAUAAGAUGUCAAAAAACUUAUACCAGUCUAAAAAGAUUGUGUCCGGUCUUGGCAUCAAGUAUAAGAAGACUGAUGUGUGAGAAGAUAAUUGCAUGCUGUUCUUGAAGGAAUAUGAAGAGGCCACCCAUUGUCAGAAAUGUGGUAAAUCAAGAAAUAUGGAGGUACUAAAAGAGGAUGGAGCUCCUUUUGCUACAAAAUUGGCAUUAAACAGCUCUGAUAUAUACCCAUCACCCCAAGGCUUAAACUUCUACUUUUAACCCUAGAAACUGCGAAGCUAAUGUUGUGGCAUAAGGAAGGAGACCGUGACAGACAAGACCCAGACAUUAUGAUGCAUCCAUAAGAUGGCGAUGCUUGGAAGGCUUUGGAUCGUUUUGACCCAGAAUUUGCAAGAGACGCUAGGAGUGUUCGUUUAGGCUUGUCCACUGAUGGUUUCACUCCUUACAACAAAAGUUCCACUUCAUACUCUUGUUGGCUGGUUUUGAUCAUGCCCUAUAAUCCCCCUCCUAACAAAUGCAUGAAAGAAGGGUUCAUUUUUCUUGCCCUUAUUAUUGCAGGGUCGAAACAUCAUGGAAAGAAGGUCAAUAUAUUCAUGCAACCGAUGAUUGAAGAGUUGAAAGAGCUGUGGCUAGGGGUAAAGGCUUAUGAUGGUCAUCAGAAACAUGAAUUUACCACACAACAUGGAUUUGAUGCACCAAGAGCGCAAUGUUGCUGAAAGCAUUAUAAGCAUGUGUCUAAACAUUAAGGGUAAAACAAAAGACAACAUCAAUGCUAGGAAAGAUUUAGGUGAUAUUUGUGAUUGUCCUCGCCUUGAUGUCAAAAAAAAACCUAAUGGAAAGGAGAGGACACCAUGAGCUCCAUACUAUCUAAAGCCGGAAGAGAGAAAAUAAGUAUUUUGAUGGUUGAAAACGUUGAAGUUUUUGGAUCGCUAUGCAGCUAACAUAAAACUGUAACACUCGAAAUCCUAUUUUGGGAUUUAUGAGAGUUUUUGCCUAAAACGUUUGAGUUAAAAUGUCUUUUAGUAGAUUCCUUUUUUGAAUGAAGUAUAUCUUUCCAAAGUUAUCCUAGGAGUUGGUAUUCAAAACCUAGAUCCAAAACUCAAAAUUAAAAGUUGGAACAAUAAGGAAAAUAAAGACUCUCAAUCCAUUUAUUUUUUUCCUUUGAUAUUAUAUAAUUAAUACACACUUUAAGAAUAUUUGAACCAAGAUGACCAUGAUAAAAAGUAUAUAUAUUAACUUCCCUCAAACUAAAGUAAACAUUGAAUUUGUGGAUGAGACUUUUACUUGAUUAACAUAUAAAAUAAUAUUUCAUAUAUAUCUGUGCUCCCUAAUUUAAGCAUUUUCCUAAAUAAAUAAUUAACUUAUAAUAAUAAUAAACAUGACUUGCAUCCCAUGUCGACUCUUUGAUUAUUGCACUUGUAUUUGGGUUUUGCUAAUCAAACCUAAGUUUGAUUUCAAAUUAGAAAUAGAAAUAAAAGAAAAGAAAAUGAGAAGAGGACCAUGUCGCCUAGGCUGAAGCUCUGCCCAACCCACCCCAUUUUUGUUCCUAUUCACCAUGCGGCCCUACUCCAUUUCCCCUGCUUGCGCUGAGACUCCACUAAAAGGCCCAAUUCUGCUCUCCUGCAAGCAAUUCACAAUUUCACAGCCUAACACCUCUGGUGUUACGAGAACUAAAACUUUGGCAUGACAUCAUAUGCACUGACAUUACAUUGUGUAUGAUAUACCUAGAAUGCAUUCACUAGGCUAAAGUUUCAUAACCAAACAUGUGAUGUGAUGCUUAUUGAGGGUAUGAUCUGGUAAGGGGAUCCUUAACUCUAGGUAGGAAAAUCACUCCAAGGACUAGUAGCAUGUGAUCUUAUGUUUUAAGCACAAAUGAGUAAUCUUGCUAAGUUUGGUAGACAUGUUAAGAAACAAUGAUUUGGAUAGGUUAGGCACUUGAAAGUAUCUUAGGACACCCAAAACCCUAGUUUGGGAUCCAGAAACCCUAAUUAGUGCCUUAUAGGGUGAUUUCAAAUUCUAAUCACUUUUUGCCAAACGUGUGUAUAUCAAAAUGGUAGAGUAAUAAAAACUAAGCAACUUUUGUAUUUGGAGAUUUCCAAGUUUUGUGGAGAAUCUUGGAGUAAAGUGCAAAACGUUCACAUGAGUUCAAAAGUUCAAGUGCUGCAAAAUAAUGGUUUUGAGCAAAGUUUGGAUCCUUGUUUUAUAUCCAUGAGAGUUUUGCAAUAAGUCACUUUGACAAAGUGGUAGGGUUACUAUAGUAGUAUCAAGUUACUUAAGUGACCUAGCCCUAAACCAUAUGAAACCUAGUGCAAAGCACGUCUAAAGUAUGGAUAUCAGACUGGAAGCUUUACUAAAAACAUGAAUUCAAUGACAUUUCCUUAACUUUUGAGCCGUUUUAUGCUUGAUCAAUUGAGAAAAUGACUAUGAUCCUUAUGGAAAACUUGAAGCCCUUACAUUGGUGAGCAAACUUCUUAGAAGCAGUUGGGUCCAGUGUCGUGUGAAUUUUGGAGAAAAAGGCUCCCAAACUUGGCCUAUCAGACAAACCAAAUGGUGUUUAGACACGAACAAUCAACUGAAGAAGAUCCUUCUUGCCGCUGGUGUGUCUUGCGCCAUGAUCCAUGCUUGGCGCCGUGAUUUGCGCAAGUCUAAGGACAGCGUGUACACGGUGAGUAAAAAGAUCGGCAGAAGGGUGAAAAGAUCUCGAGGGGGUUGAAUUCGGGCUCUGCGCUGUCGUGCUCACAUGCCAGCGACGUGGUCGAGCGGCCGUCACCUUGGUGGCUGCCGGCUUCCUCGGUUGUGCCACGCCAGGGAUCAAUUCACCAUGUCGCCAUGACCGUGUUAGAUAGCAAGUUACCCCUUCGUGAGCCAUUGCACUACUGCGCACCACGAAGCAUAGACCAGUGAAAAAUCUUGCCGCCAUGGAGUUCAAUCCCAUCUCAAAUUCGCAAAGCAGGUGGCCAAUCCUUUUAAAUUGAGUGCCCUCUCUGCUCUGCCUCUCUAUUACGCACCUAGCCCGCUGCUCACUACUUCGUUUCAUCCACCAUAGCCUAAGCUUACCGGGAUUUCCCGAGAACGGUCACCAGCACUGCUGUGAUACACCUUGAUGUGGCCAGAGUAAUCCAGGUUGGUUCAUUCCUCUUUGGUCAAUGUUCUUGUGUCCUUAGGAUCUUCUUUUGCCCACUAGCUUGAUCGAUUGAACUCUACAGUAGUAAACUAGCUGGAACACCGACUUGUCAUCACCGAACACUGCCGUGGACCAUCGCCACAUGGAUAGCCAACCCGGGCUUUCCUCCGGUUGUCCCUGCCGCUGUUCCCAAGUUAGACAUGCUUGUGAUGCUCACUUUGUCCCUAAUUUGAACUCUACCCCACCCAAACCCCGGAACCGAGCUUGGUCAUCCUCGGUGUCCGCCAUGAACGUGAGUAGCCACGACUAUGAACCAAGGGGCUCAAUUAUCCUUGGGGUAAGGGUCGGUUAGGCUCGGAAAUAGGGCUCAGGUGAUCGCUACCUCGAGAGGAGGUCGCCGACAACAUCUUCAGGUAGCCUCGGCUAGGUGUUCGACCGGUGUCUGACCGAGGGCUCGAGUUUGUGAAGGAGAAAAGUAACGGAGACGUUUAACUAAUGUGUUGGUGAGACAUAUGGAUAGAGCUCAAGAAUUCCUUACUAGUUAUUCGAAUACCCAGGGGGCUCGAUGCAAAGUAGUAUGCAGGCGCGGACGUGCGCGCGAUCUGCGUGGGUUUGGGCCACCUUGGCCCAGUUUCGGCCCAAUUCUGUUUAUGAGUUUUUCCUUUUCUUUUUACUAAUAGCUUGUGAAAUCCAUUAAGAAUAGUAGAAAGGUGAUAAAAACAUGGGAUUUUUAUUUCAAACCAUAAAUUAUGUAGCAUUUAAAAGUACUUAAGCAGAGCCUCUUAGAAUUUUAGAAAUAGUUUAAUAGUCAUAGAAAUCAUAAAACUUUUUGGGUAGACUUAAUAUGUUUGUUUUAAACCUUAAGUGAAGUUUGAACUUGUUUGGACACUGUUUGACUAGGAAACCAAUAAUAAGUCCAAAGAAUUAAACCCUUUAAUACCAAGUGAGAUUAGGAGUAGUUUUGCAAGUAAAAACAUGCAAAUCAUAAACUUACUACAACUUGGUAGCCUAAGAAGAUUAGUUGAGUUAACCUUAAAGGGUUAUUGUAAGGCCCAAAAUCUGUAUAAUAAAAAAUAAUAAUAAUAAAAUAAAUAUAUGAGGAGAUAAAAUAGUAGAUUCAGAUAUCUCAAAUUAUACUUGAGUAUUGAAAAUUGAGGACUGAAUUUUGAAAACCAAGAAUUAUUUUAGAAAAGAAGUAAUGGAAAAGCUUUCUAUUCUAAAUGAUUAUGCAUUUUAAUGAUGAUGCUCCAUAAGCAUUUAUUUACAUGAAUAUUUAAUUUUGAAGUAACUUUUAACUCUUGUCCCACAUUCAAAAUACUAUUUUUCUAAAAAGAAAGAAAACAAUAUGAGAGUGUUUCAUAUUUCAAACAUCUACCAAACAAAUAAAAUAUUUGAAAUAAACAUAUAUCUAUUGCAUCAUGUUGGAGUUUAAUUGUGUGUGCAUAUAUUAGUAAUAAAAAUCUAUAGAAAGACAUCAAUGUUCAAAUUGGGAAUUUAGUCCUAAAUUUGGAAUUCUAGAAUUGGAGAAAGAGAAGCAUUAGUUAUCACAAAAUAAAUAUAAAAAAUAAAUAAAUUCACCAUGCCAUGUUUAAGUUGGGCAAUUAAUGUGAAAAUAAAUCUACCACGAAAUUUGAAUUUAAAUGGGAAUCUAAAUUAUGAAUUUAGAAAUAAAAAGGAAAAGAAAAGAAAAGAAAAGGGGAAAUAUAAAAGAAAAAGAGAAAACACCCUCCUGGGCCGAAACCCUGCGCUCGGCCCACCAAUCAUGCCCGAGCGCAGCCCACCCAGGCCUAACGGGCGCGCUGACAGACGGGGCCGUGCGUCAACCUCACCGUGUGAGUCGUUCACGAACGCAAUGCAAUCUCCGUCACUGACCAGUGGGGUCGACCCAUAAGAUCCCUUCUUCUAGCUUCGGUUGUUGCGAUUUGCACGCCGUAGCUGCCGCUGCCUCCCCCUGGCUCGAACUGGCCGAACCCUCCGAACUGCGCGACGUAUGACCUGGUGCCAGACCCCCCCACUCUCCAUCAAAGUUGUGCCUCCCUUCUUUCUCGUGACGCCAGCCCCAUAAUUGCCAUCUGCGCCGAGUAUGAUAGGGAGAGAUAGCUGCCAGCGCUCCAUGAAAUUGGUGGGAUCUGGGCCUCGGCGUGGUUCCCGGGUGAGGCGUAUGGGGGCCAGGAACCAUUCUAGGACGAUUGUGCGUGCUGCGGAGGUCUCACCACCGUCGAAUUGCUCGUCGGAGCAGUUACUCUGCCACCGAAUCGCCAUCGUGCGUGUCCAGGCUCUGGUCGUGCACCAACCCUAGGUAUGAACCCUGCUCAGCUUCGUACUACCAUUGAAUUCGCAAAACGCCUCCUAGAUUGAAGAGUUUGGGCGUCAGAACUUCGGCGGGGCCACACACAGCCAUGGCGCCGUGGUGGUGCAGACUCGUCACCGUUUAGAAUUGGGGAGAGGUGUGCCGACCGUUGAUUUGGGAUAGCACAGUCAGGAUCAGAUCUCAGCAUACCAGUUCGCAGGGUGGCCUGGUGCCGUCCGAUCUCCUGGGAAGGGCUUAGAUUAGAAGUCGAAUCCCCUUUCGCCCGUAGUCGAUCUAACCCAUAGAUCUCCUAAUCGAUGGCUAUGAUUAGAUCGCGCCAGUUUAAAAUCGUGGCCAUUGGAUCCUGUGGAACGACGUAGAUUAAAACGUUGUGUAACACUUCGUAACAUAAAAUCUUGGCCGUUGUCUGGCUAAUGGGCGGAUCUGGUGAACCCAUGAUGUGGCAAGCUGUCGGCCGCAGAUUCAUGAUCGCGUGGCCGACAUUGCAUACCCGUUCGGAAUUAUUGUGACAUGAUCUUGGCCGUCGGCUUCAAAUUUGGCGGCCAGAAUCCAUCCAUACCCCUUCGCGGGCAUACUUUUUCAUAUGAAACCCUCGGUUUACUUAAUAACAACACGCGGUCCAGUCCUGAGUCUUGGAACUAUUUGCGUAGUAGACCCUGUGCUCUAUAGAAUUCACAGCCUCAAUCCAGUCAGUUAUUAAUUAAGAGAAAACAUAAUCAAAAUGAAUUUCUUAUAUAAAAACAAUUCCAGAAUCUUAUUAAAUCCAUAGAAAAUUCGUAUUAAGUCCAAAUUAAUCCAUUCUAGUUUCUAUAAUUUUGUAAUAUUAUUGUUUAUCACCUAGUGUCUCUGUAUUGACAUGAAAGCCAAAUUAAAAUUUAUAUCCUAAUUAAUCUUGUAUCAAACACAUAAAAUCUUUGGAAAUUCAUAACUUAAAAUCUAUAACCCCAAAAUUAAUGAUUCUUUUUCCUAUGAUCUUAUUUUAAUAUGUAGAUUAUUAAUAUGUAUUUUGUAUACAUGCUUGGUGUGAUGUUAAUUUGGUCUAUACCAUGUUUGUUUGUAUUGCUACGACUAGCAGUGAGGUCACGAGAACCUGAGGACCAUCCUGGUACCUGGAAUCUCAAGUGCCAAGCAAGUUGUACCCUUGAUCACUUUCAUUUACCCAAUAAUGUUCUUUAUUAUCACUAUUCAAUGCAUAGGUUUAAUUUUGAUGGGACCCAAUAGGUCACCCUAGACUGGUUAUCCUUUUACCUUGUUUAUCCUUGAAUCAUUUGGGUAGUUAUGCUAUUGCUUUACGUGGUUUUGGGACUAAUACUACAUUAUGUCUAUGUUCUAAUUAUCUGUUAUUUUAUUUAUGUUCAUGUCAAGAUCAUUAUAUUAUGUUAAUUGGAACAUGGAGCUUAACUUGAGAAACACUUGCCACCACAAGGGUGGAAUGGGACGCCCUUGGCUGACUAAUUAGGAAAGCUAGUGGAAGACUACCUUACCCGAAAAAGGCAAGGGCAGUAGGGAAGUUGCAUGCAGGGAGGUUCUCGAGUUGAUUUUGUUGCGAUGGCGGUCAGAUGAGGGAUUCUUGCAAGUGCUCUUCCCAUAAACUGUAGCGGGUUUUCGGAAGCUAGUGGAACUUUGUAAAGGCCUCGUAGUGUUACCCUGCCUCGCUUCCUUGGUAGAGGUGUAUGGGAUUCAUGACCCCUUGGCAGAUGGGUAACACGACUUGUGGGUACAGGGUACAACCUCUGCAGAGUGUAAAACUGGUAUACUCGCCGAGCUCAUGGUCAAGAGCAGCUCAGGACUCUCGCAUGAUUAAAUUAUGAAACUAAAUUCAAAUUUGUCAUUUGCAUUGCAUGGGAUUAUUUUUUAAUUUUGUUUUAUUCUUAUUAUGUUUUGGUAUUUACUUAAAUUUAGUAACUGCUAAUAAAAUUUGACCAACUUAUUAAAAGAAAUGCUCAGCUUUAACCCCUAUUGUUGAUCAGCCUUACACAUCACAUGAACUCCCACCUUUGGUGAGUUCAUGCACAUUAUUCCCCACAACUUGUUGAGCUAUGAACAUGUGUGAGCUCACCCUUGCUGUCUCACACCCCCCACAGGAGAAGAACAGGUGGUUCAAGAGGAGCCACACAACGAGGAGUUCGAUUUGAUCUAGGUGGAGUCUCCUAGUUGACUUUAUGGUGCCAAGGAUGGACUUUAGUUCGUUUUAUAUUUAUCUUUUAUUUUGUAAGACUUCCUCUAUGUAAUAAGUACUCUGAUUAUAUUGUGAAAUUUAUCUCUAUACACUGUUAUUAUAUAUGUUGUCUUCUUUGGCGCAUAUAUGAGAUGCACCCGGCUUUGUCCCUUAAAUCAGGGUGUGACAGUUAUCUAGCUAGGAAGUCUUGAUGGUUGAUAAACAUCAUGAAGGAAAGCUGCAUUCAAGACACUGUUUUCUAUAUUCUUGCAUAUCCAUGACAUAGCACCAGCAUUCAUAUAUGUAUUAUUGCGUAUAGAACAUGAAGAAGAGUCUAUAGUAGUAGAAGAAGUUGUUCCUCCGACUGAGAAUCCUCCCGUGAAGAAUAACGUUUACUUUGACAUCUGUGGUGAAGAAACAACUACUCCUACAACACAAGGCAAGCCCCGGUGCAUUUACCUUUCCUUGUAUUUUAAAGUUUUAUCAACUUUGAAUGUUGCAUUAGGUAAUAGGAAUUGUGUGAUAAACUAUUGAUGUAUUUCCUUCCUUCAGAAAUUAAAUACCAUUCCUUGUAACCUGAUUUAUUCAAACAAGUUUAAUGAUGCUUAGCUUUGCUUAGAAAACAAAAUGUUUUGUUUUAAAAAGGUGAUGCUUCGCAAUGGAAUGAGAAUUUUUACAAAGAAAAAGUUAUGAUGCUGAAUCCAUCACAACCAUGAUGGAUUCAACAUCUAAAAAGAGUACCUCUGUCAGGUACCAAACUUUGGGUUAUAAAUGAUAAGAUGAGACCGGGCGGGUGACUUGCACGAGAAGGAAGUCUCGGUGUAGUGUAUCCGUCUAAGUCGUUUAAGGACUGAGCCGAUGUAGGCUUGCUGAUUGAGGACCUUUUAACUGGCCACAUUUCUCAUCAUGGGUAAGCUUUCCCUCGGACGGACCAAUACCAGAACAGAUCGCCCGCACUAGGCGUGGGAGAUGGUGAGAUUAGCGUGUACCCUCCGUGGCAAGAGGUUGGAUGGUGGAGUAACUGUACUCUCGAGUAGCGGAACCCGUUUUGGUCUUGAGAACCCGGGUGCGAGUUGACAUAUGCAAGGGUUAAGUGCUACAUAUGUCCUGUGGCUGGAGAUCCCCAGCUGGGUAUUAAUCGAAUCAAAUCGCCAUUAUUUCUCGGACAAGAAUACUUGGUCACUGCCCUACACCAUAGUGAUAAGUAAACUCAGGGUGUGAUAAAAGAUGGCUAGUGUAGGCCAAGUGCUUGAUCUAGAUUAGGAAAAAAAUCUGGAUUCAAGAACUUAAUUAACCUCAUAAGUAAAAAGAAUUCAUAAGGACCAACGUUAGUAAGCUUUGUGCAAACUGAGUCAAUGGUUCUUGCUAAGCCUUACCUUGACUCAGCAUAUCCUUGAGAGUCUUUUCUUUUAGUCAGGUAAGACUUGCGAAAGUACAAUUCGUACUCAGGGUUUUUGAUCCCAUGUUGUUGUAGGUGAAGAAACUGCAGAGUUUUGCUGCUAUUGUUCCAAGAUCGUCCCAAAGAAGGAGGAUGAAACCUAAGUAAACUAUUGGAAGGUGUCUACCUUCCAAUGAUAUAAUAAGUAAAAGCAUUCGAACCCGUAUAUUGUAAUAACCACUCUUUCUAUAUUGUACCUGUUAAUGUAAAUUAAGUUAUUUUUACUCUUUCCGCUUUUACUCCGAUGUUGUGUGAUGUCUAUGAUAUGGGACGUACGCUCUUGGGAGAUGAAUGAGAUACAGGAACUUGGUCUUGACAAGCGAUUGGGUGCAUCUGCAUGAGUGUCUAAUGUUCUUGGUACAAGGAUAGCUAUAGGUGGGCCUAAUAUCUUGGGAGGUUCUGUUACAGCUCGCACUAUCCUUCUCACCGCCAUGUAGGUCCGCAAUAUCCGCCUCCCACGGACUAUCCACAUGCUCCCUCGUGCAGACUACUAUGUGGGACCCAUCUACUAGAGCUCCUAACAGAUGGACCACAUGUUCGCUUAUACUGACCGAUGGGGCCCGUUCAUCAGUGCCUCAUUCGAUCCGCGCGCGGAGCUGCGUUCACCUACCGGUGUGACGCUGGUGAGUGGGACCAUCUCGUCGGUUCCAUGUCCUACCCCAAUGAACUCGUCCUGUUUGUUACAAGGGAGCUGGCAUAGACAUCAUGCCAGGGUAAGGUCCAGAUCCUAUUAUACUCGCCUAGGAUCCCUCACAGGAUAUAAAACUAGCCAUGGUCAUGUUCCGACCGUGUCUCAAACCUGAACGCCAAGACUGCCUUGCCGGUGAUGGAGAGUGAACGAGAGAGAAAACAGAGCACCAUCCUUGAUCUGCACGUAAACCGGUGUCGGGCCCUUGGGGACUAGCCACAAAGCACCACUGCACCGCUAGUAUUCUGCUCAUGUCCAUGUUGAGGAGGAUUCCUGGCUAGGUGAGCGUGAAUCGCUCGUCGGAGACCCAAUGUUGCAGUGGACCCGCCCUGAGCCGUGGAACGACACAUCUCGUGCUCCGAGCACCAGUAUAUGGGUUCCUAUCAAGUUCACCCGCUCCUCUUUGUUUUGAGCCAGUUAACAUUCGGGAGUGUGAUAUGGGGGCACUUUCGGGCGUGCUGUAACACCCUGAAUUUGGGGGUAUAAAAUUUCUUCUCUAACAUCUACCAAAUUCAGGUGUUACCUCUUUUCUCCUCUCUAUAGAUUUCUUUUCUCUUCCUUUGAGUAGAGUUUUGAUUAUUUAUUUGGAAAUGUAUUAAUACUUUAGUAGAUUAGACCCUAGUGAGACAUGAAUUGUUGCAUCAUGCUAAGCCUAGAAUUUGGUCUUUGUUUGAUGCAUAUGUUUGAAUUAUUCAUAUUUGAAUUUGUGGUUUGGAUGGAUUUGAAUUCAAAAGAGAAAAUAAAAAGAAAAGGGAUUAUAAAUUUUAGAAUAAAAGAAAAAGCCAAAGCAGUCCAGAACACCCUCUCCCUCGGUCUUUUGGCCCAGUCGGCCCAGCUCGCCCUCGCUCUCUCUCUGCCCGGUGGGGCCUACCCGGUCGGCGCCAACUUCCCCAGCCAUGCACACUCCCCCGCUCUCUGCACCACGGGUCUGGUCUAUCAGCGUAGUUUCCCCCUCGCGUGCUCGUGUCUCUGCACCGUGGACUCGCCCUGUCAGCCCUGUCGCAACCGCCGCUGACCCUGGCGCGCACGCACGCCAAGAACACAGAUCACAUCGCGCCCCACGUCCCCUAACUCUCUUUUGAGCUCACCGCGCACCCGCCCUCUCUCCCUUUCCUGAUUUAACUCACUCCCAACCCCUCUCGCGCACAGUCGCCGCCUCCCGAGCUCGUCGAUGACCUACGCCCACUGUGUCGACUGCCCGAAGCUCUAGUCGCCACGCCAAGCCUCCCCGAGCGUUUUCCCGAGGUAAGGAACCACGCUCGCACCUUAUUUGCCCCGGUUCCUUUUCCCUGCGGCGAAUUAGUGCAUGCCAAAGCCGCUGCACGCCGGUCUUCCACACCCGCACGACGUUUGGCCAAUUUAGCCCCGCCACGUUCCUGUUUUUUGGCCCUAGGUGUCCCAAGCCCCUCACUAGAGCCCGCGUCGGCCUCGGUGCACUCGAUCACCCCUCCCUGCGGCCAGGAUUACUCGCCGGAGAAACCCUGACUUGGCCGGAGGGCCCCCUCCGCCGUUCAUCUGUUUCCAGCACCGCUCUCCCGGCCAAAACCCCGCCAUUGAGUUCGCCGGGUCCACCUCACCGGUCCUGACCAGCUCCAGCGACCUCGAACCCCUUGGAACCUGCACCCGCCUCAUCUCCAACGACAGCACCGCCACGGACGGGAGCGGCACCGCCCGAGGCCGUUAACCCCCUGAGCGCCAGAUACCAACCAUCCGACCCCGAUCCAAUGGUCCGGAUCUCGGGGUACCGCUUCGCGUGGGCGCCCCUGUCCCUGGGCCCCACUCGUCGAUCGCCUACGCCCCUGGCGCUGGGCCCGACCGGUCUGCCCGCCCUUACCCCUGAGCCCCUGACCGCCCUAGCCCGCCUGUUAGUGUGCGCUCGCGCACGCGCGCGUGCUCGCCCGCAGAGCUGUUCUCAGCCGUCGAUCUGAGAUCGGAUGGCUAGGAACGCAUGAUACCCCUUAGCUUGGUAUUUUGUUAAAUAGACCCCUGGUUUCUUAUAAAUCUUGCACCUGAGCCCCUAGUUUCUUGCAGAGGACCCUUGGACUUUAUUUUAAUCACAGGAAUGGGUAUAAAUUAGGGUUUUUGAAUUAUAAAACUUCCAAAAUUCAUAACUUUGUCAUAUGAACUCAAAAUUGGAUGGUUCAAACAAAAUGUUCAUUAAGUUAUUCUCUAUCUGUUUGAAUUAUCUUCAUCCACUGUUUCCAUGUCUCAAUUUUGUGGUUUGUCUCUAGGUGUAACACCCGAAAUCCUAUUUUGGGAUUUAUAAAUGUCUCUCCAAAAGAUUCAAUUUAAAAUGUCUUUUAACAAUAUAUUUCCUUUCUUUAGAAAGUAUCUCCAAAAGUAAAUAAGUAGUGAUAUAUAAACUCUGAUAGAAUUUAAACUUGAAAAUUAGAAUUGAGAAAACAUAUGAUAACAUAAGAAAGAUUUUUCAAAUGUUUAAUUGGUGAACUAAUCAUAAAUAUUUUUUUGGGACCUCCUCUUAGUAGAUACCAAAUAAAAGAUUCUUAUGCAAAUUAAUGUAUGUAAUAUGAUUUAGUAAUUACAACUAUUCACUAAAAUAUUAGUAUGAUGUACUGAGAAUGGUUUUACUACGAUAAUAUUUUGAGUUUCAUAUUGAAAAGCAUGCUAUUACUGGAUAAAAUAAAAUUAAUAAAAAAAAUUAAAUAUGCAUUCUAUGCAGAGUCUUAAUUGGCUAUGCAUUAUGAAUUUGAAACCCAAGUUUGAAUUCAAACCUAGGAUAUGAAAAUUUAAAUAGAAUAGAAAAAGAGAAAAGCUCCAAUAGAUCGGAACCCCCCUAGCCGGCCCACUUGCGCUUCUCGUCCACUCCUGCGCGGCCCAACCCAGCACAACCCACGCGCCGACAGGCUAGUUCCACGGGUAUAGCUAUACAUUUGUGCUGUGCCUAAUAGACCAGCCCAAAGCACACAACUUUUGGCACGACCCAGAUCUGGCACGACCCAAUCUAAUUGUGGGCCUGGGCCGUGCCUGAGCCUCAAGUCAAGCCCAUGAGACAGCCUGGUAUGACCCAUUUAACUAAGGCACAUCGAGGCCCACUAAAUAUAGACUCAGUAUUUAACUAAUAAGGUCCGUCUAAGCCCACAUGAUCAUCAUAACUUGGAGAAUCUAGAGCUUCAAUAGGCCUUCGAGAACCAAUACCUAGAUGGGGAUAGUGAAUAGUGAUGAUGAUUAUUGUAUAUGUAUUCUGUAUGGCUGUAUAGUACUCAAUUAAACACUGAACAGAGAACCGAAUAUUAUUUCUGAGCUAGUUGUAAUAUUUUUUCUUUCUGACCAAAGGUUUUUAAUGUGCAUCCACAAAACAUCUUAGUUUUAUUUUGGUCAUAUAUAUUCUAUACUUUUUGUUUAUGUAUUGUUGUUGUAUAUAUAUAGGCCGGUCUGUCACAUUAAGGUAUUUUGGGCUAUUUGGGCCAGCCUGGCACACAUAACUAAUUUUGGGCCAUGCCGUGAGCCGAUGACUGGGCACACGUGCUGGCACCGCACGGCCCAUAGUUAGAUAUAUGCUUUUGUGGGUCGUGCUUUUGUGGGCCGUGCUUUUGUGGACCUGUGCUGUGCCGGUCCAGGCUAGCCCACAUGUACAGGUAUACCCACGGGACAACCUCACGCGGUGCGCACUCGUCCGUUCUGUGUCCGAUAGGUGGGACCCCCCAUUAGCUACUAUUCAACUUCUUUAAUUCGUAACAGAAACCACGUCGUCGCCUUGGGUUAUUGGGAAUCUGUCGGAUUCCUCGGGCGCGGACUCCACUAGCUGGGCUAUAAACCCAUGCAUCGUCGUGCCCCUCUGUUCAUGUGUGGAGUCGGGAUGGCCAGCCCUCACUCGACACUGCAUGAAUGGAGAGAUGUGUGUGCAGGGAGCCGUCGCGCAUGAGAUCUCUCCGCAUUACCAGCGCUCCCUAGAAUCUUAGACCAACUCCAGCAGACUCCGUAUAUGGACGUGUAUCCAUCAAAUUUACGCGCUCGCGCACUAUUCAUCAGUCCAGCGGACUCCGUAUCCGUCUCCCUAAAAAGCACGCCGUGUACCUGCACUCCUCUUUUCCACGUUUUCUCUCUCCUCUCCGCACAAGACUACAUGCGCUCGCGGGUGCUCGCGGGACCCAGCUGUCACAGUCAGCAUGCGGAGUGUAAAUACGGAGUCUGUUGGAACGCACCAUGCAAAAGAACCACUCAUCUAUGAUCAAGUCUACAUAAAAUACGGAUGCAGAGUGUGAGGCUGCUGGAGUUGGUCGCGCUGAUGCUCUGUUGGACUGCACCAGUACUCGUGGUACUCUCGCCGUGCUCACCCGGUGGUCUGGGCAGCCGAAACUUCUCGCUGGUAGUCAGGCACAACUGUGGAUCCGCCCAACGUCACGGGGAGCCCCGUAUCUUUCGCCCGUACCGGUAAGAACCCCUCUGUUGAGUUCACCAUCAUCUCCUCCACGCGUAGCACCUUACGGUUGGGAGAAUAGUGCACUAGUGGGCGAACCCCGCAACUCUGAAGUGCUCUGCUGCCAGGAAGAAGGGCACCGUCGCCGACGCUAGUCGCCUGGUGAAGUUGAAGGGAGAAGCGUUGAUUUUUGGUGAAUGGCUCAGAUUGAACGAUGCGUACCCCUUUGGUGGUUUGAUCUGAGCGGUUGGAUCCGAUCGGAUUGACCUGGAGUGAUCACGAUUAUUUAAAAUAUGGGCCAUUGAUCUGGCCGGGGAGGGCUACGAUUAGACUGGGUGCUUACCUCUCCGUUGGUUGAAUAUGUGUCGUUGAUCUCAGAUCUAUCGGUUGUGAUGCACGCGGGGUUAAGGCAGCCGAGCCAACUUUGCAUAAGAACCCUCGGAUUUAGGGUAACAAACCCGUCGUCCAUUUUUCAGUGUAAAGAAAAUAAAAUUAAAUGAAGACUUUGCAUAUUAGCCCCUGGAGUUUAUUUUUAGGCACAAAAUUAAUACAAAAUGCACAAAACCAAGGAAAUCCAUAUCUUGCUCAUUUUAACUCCGAUUUUGUCCGUUCGAAUUGCGUUAGUUUUGUAAUAAAGUUGCCUACAUAGUAGCAAUAUUAUUUGAUCAUGUCCCAUAACUUUUAUAAGUAGAUAUUAUUCAACCUAUGUUUUGGUAGAUUAAUCUUUCUUAAUCUAUCCAUAAUUAUAACCAAACUAGGAUAUGAUCUCUGCUCAAGUUGUAACUUAGAUUAAAGUUGAAUUAGUUAUACCUUUAAGAUACUCUCUCAUAUAAUUUACAUUAAUCCACAUAGAAUCUAGUUUUUAUUAUUCAAUCAUGUAGGUCUUCCGAAAACUAUACAUCUUAAACCAUAACUUUGAUUUUAAUGGUUCCCGAGCCUGCGAUCUCGUAGGAGCGCGUAGAAUAUUCUUACAAUGUUUGUUUACAUGUUUGAUGUACUAUUAUUUUUAUGUACUUCUUGUCUAUUUGUAUGUAUUUCUAUGAAUAGCGGUGAGGUCACGAGAAUCUGAAGACCAACUUGGUACCUGGAAUCUCGAGUCUAAUGUUCGUUGUUAAUCACUGUGACAUGCUCAGGUUAAUUUGACGGGAUCUAAUAGGAUUCCCUAGUAUUGUUUAUCCCCCACCUUGCACACAGAUGAAUUAUUGGGUAGAUUUGCUAUUGCUCUACCUAGUUUUGGGAAACUAAUGUUUUAUUAUGAUCAUGUUCCAAUUAUGUUGUUGUUUACUUAUUGUUCAUGAUAAGAUCAUAUUAUUAAUUAGAACAUGGAGAACCAUCCGGGAAAACAGUGCUACCACAAGGGUGGAAUGGGACGCCCUUGGCCAAGUACUUAGGAAAGAUAGGGAGAGAUUACCUUACAAGGGUAGGGGCAAGCGGGGAGGUGUCACUACAGAGUAUAGGGAGGUCCUCGGGUCAAACUAUCUGUAAAGAUUUUCGGACGAGGGAUUCCUAUGCUUCCUUCUUCCUAAAUCUGUAGGGGGUUUUCUCGAACUAGUGGAACUUUGUAAAGGCCUCGUAGUGCUACCCGGCCUCGCUUCCUUGGUAGAGGUGUAUGGGGGUCCGUACAACCCCAUGGCAGAUGGGUAACACGACUUGUGGGUAAAGAUGUGCAACCUCCGCAGAGUGUAAAACUAGUAUAUCAGUCGUGCUCACGGUCAUGAGCGGCUUGGACACUCACAUGAUUAACUUAUGGAAUUAAACUCAAUUUGUCAUUUGCAUUGCAUUGUGGGUGUUGUUAUUAAUCUUGAUCUCUUAUUUAAUUGGGUUGGUAUCUACUUAUACCUAGUAACUGCUAAUAAAAUUUUGACCAACUUUAAAAGCAAUGCUCAACUUAAACCAUCCUCUUUGGUAAGUCUUACACUUCACAUGAGCUCCCACCUUUGGUGAGUUCAUGAACAUAAUUCCCCACAACUUGUUGAGCGAUGAACAUAUGUGAACUCACCCUUGCUAUGCUCACACCCCCAGGUCUAGAACAGGUACCACUGGAUGAGGCACAUGAAGGAUGUUGUGAUGAGUCCGUGAGUGGUCUUGGUCGUCGUCUCCCAGUCAACUUUGGGUUGCUGGAUCGUUGUCUUCGUAUGAUGUAAUUAUUUAAGUAUUUUGUACAGAACUCUGUUAUAUAUUAAUGUUGUGACAUUCGUUUCUGUACCAUGAGUCAUCAUAUGUUUGAGACUUAAUCCUAGCACACUUCGUGAUUAUUUCGCGCCCGGGUUUUGGACCCCAAAAAUCCAGGUGUGACAGAAGUGGUAUACGAGGAAUGUUGACUGUAGGACGAAAUCUAGAUAGAAUCGGACAACCAUUACCUACUUACCUUGCUACUCUGAUUCUUUCUAAACUUUUCUUAAUCUUUUCUCAUCUAUUGCUACUUUACUCUGAUGACUCGUACCUUUUUUUCUAAAGACAAAAGUGAAUUUCACACUUUGAAAUCAUGUACCUAAGGUGACCUUUAGGAAUAGGAAACCUAAUCUUAGGAACAAAAACAAAAGUAUUUUUAUAGGUAUCUACGUGCUUGAAUGUUUGUUCUUAUGAUACUUGUCUAAUUUGGAUCUUUAAUUGAGUGUGAUGAGUUGUGGAGUAAUGUCCACAAUUGCAUCUGCAUAUACAUAUAGGCAUUAAAAAUGUGUGUUAUAAGAUAACUAGCAAACCAAGAUUAUUCCCCAUUAAAAAAUCUAGUCUCACAUAUCUAUCUUAUCUUAGUAGAUUCUAUCUUAUCCUUAUAGACUCAUCUUGUCCUAAUAAGCAUAAUUAUUCCACCCUAUACUAACAACCAUGAUCUAAUCAAAAUUAAUUAGAUCUUAUCUGGUCUAAUCUAGUUGUACCAAUCUAAUCUAGACCCCGUCUAAUCUAAUAUGAGAUACCUAACAUGUUAAUUAAAUACUGACAAAAUAGAUUAGAUCCCACUCCUAUAAACAUGUUUUAACAUAAAUUGGUGUCUUAGACCAACUCGGCCAUAUGCAACUACCUUACCCAUCCGAUAAUUGCAUAACCCCUCUGUUUUAACCUAACAGGGAUUCUGACGUACCUACACCAUAUAAUCCAUCCUACUCACAUAGGAUAACAUAAGAAAGAUUUUUCAAAUGUUUAAUUAGUGAACUAAUCUUAAAUAAUUUUUUGGGGACCUCCUCUUAGCAGAGACUAAAUAAAAGAUCCUUAUACAAAUUAAUGUAUGUAAUAUGAUUUAGUAAUUACAACUAUUCACUAAAAUAUUAGUAUGAUGUACUGAGAAUGGUUUUACUAGGAUAAUAUUUUGAGUUUCAUAUUGAAAAGCAUGCGAUUACUAGAUAAAAUAAAAUUAAUAAAAAAAUUAAAUAUGCAUUCCAUGCCGAGUCUUAAUUUGUUGUGCAUUUUGAAUUUGAAACCUAAGUUUGAAUUCAAACCUAGAAUAUGAAAAUUUAAAUAGAACAAAAAAGAGAAAAGCUCCAAUGGGCCGACCCCCCCUAGCCGGCCCACUUGCGCUUCCCGUCUAGUCCUGCGCGGCCCAACCCAGCACAUCCCACGCGCCGAUAGGCUAGUCCCAUGGGACAGCUUCAUGCCACGUGCACUCAUUCGUGCUAUGUUUGACAGGAGGGACCCCCAUUAGCUAGUAAUUCAUCUUCUUCGAUUCGCAACACAAACCACGUCGUCGCCAUGGGUUGUUGUAACAUAUAAAAAUCAUCAAAUAAAAAUAAUACAUUUAGUUAUUAAUGAUAUUUAUAGUAACUAAUUUUCUUUUAAGUGUUUGUUAUUUAUUUGCAUUUGGAAUGAUUUUUGAUUGCUCAUAAUUGAUUUUUGAAUAUUUAAUAGCAUUUCUUCUUAAUUGAAAAUCCAAAUAAAUAAUAUAAUAAUUAGUCCAAAAAUAAAUAUUUUAUUUAAAAAUAAUUAUGGUUUGAUUAUUAUGAAUUUUAGGAUUAUUUAAAAUAUGUUUUCAAAUUUAGAAAAGGAAAUAGAAAAAAAAAAUAAAAAGAAAAACUAACUAAACCUUAACCUAACAUUUGGCUCAUUAGGCCCAUGUAAGCCGCGUCGCCCCCUUCACCCUAACCCUAGUCGGCGCUCCCUGUUCUUCCCUGCAGCCGCCGCCACCUGCUCUCUGCCUCUCUCCUCUCUUCGCUCUACUCUCAUCCCGCACGCCAGGCCACUGCGCCGCGACCCCGCCCCGUACACCGUCACACACUCGACCGAGCAGCAUCUCGCGCCCGCGCCCUGUGCCCGACCGCGACGCCAGGGACCGCGCCAAGCAGCGCCAAGACUGAGCCCCGCGCAGCCGUCGUGACCCCACACGCUGCACCGACCGACGCCCAGACCCGCGACGUGCACGCCCUUGCCCCGAGCCUCGACGCGCCGUGCGACACCGACACCGACCGCGCCACGAUGCCGCCAUCUGACCGGAGCCACGCAGCCCGACACCCAAAGACCCCGCGGUCGUUUCUCUUUCCUUCCCCAUUUCCUCUCCCUCAUUGAAGCUCCAUUGAUGGCCAUCAAUGGAAUUCAUGGCUGCCGUUUCUCCACCCUCCCCCUCGGCGCCUCACCCUCCCUAUAAAAACCGACGCCCGAGCCCUCUCCCUGCCCGAGCUCUCUCCUCCCCGAGCUACCUCUCCCACACACUCCUUGCUCGCCCAUACCGUCGCCGGAGACGUGCCCGAACCCCGUCCAAGCUUCGUCGUCCACAUCCCGGCGAACCACCGCGCUAGGAACACCACCUCGAUCAAGCCCCUACUUGCGACGUGCCCAUCUCGUCACCGUGAAGCUCACCGACGCAGCACCCUUGCGACCGUGCCCACACCGUUCGCCGUUGUUCAUUCACCCAAGGUUGAAGACAACCCGUUAAUUUAUUUUCUAAAAGCAUGUUUUGAUUUUUGUGAUUUUUUGUUGUAAUAUUGAGACGAUGCGAUACACGUGUAUGAUUUUAGAGAUUUCGAUGUAAGCCAAAAUCGAACGCCGCGACAAUAUUUUAAAUAUGGGUAUGAUUUUAUAAUCCUAAAAAUGAACACGGUCACUAUUCACUAACUCAGUAGUUUUCAUACUAGAAAACGUUUACAUAUUUAAUUACACUUUAGUGUGUGUGGAAUGAUAAUUGUUACUAGUAUUUCAAGUGUAAACUUAUUUGCAUGAAGAAAUAGAAGAAAUACUAAGCCACGUAUUUCCGGUCAAAUGAAGAUACAGAUGUUACUAGUCAUAAUAAAAGUAUUCAUAAGUAUAGCAAUUAAUUAUUAGAAUUAGUAAAAUACUUAUCUAUGUCAUAAUAACCAUGAAUAUGUUAUAAAAAGUCCCAUUUAGUAAUUUAUAAGUAUUUCUUAGAAUAUUAAUGUCAGAAGAAUUAAAUAAACAAUUUUUAGUUAUACAUAUAAAUUCUAUUUAGAAAAGAAAGGAGAAAACUGAAAGAGUAGAAUUUAUAAUAAUGUUAAAAUGACUUAAUUAGGCGCUCAUAAUUUAUUAAUAAAGAAAAUAAUAGUUAUGUUGGUAAACAUAGGUUUCUUACUAAAGAAUUAGAUAACUUGUUUCUAGUUUAAAAUGACUUUUUAAUAGAUAUCAUAUUUAACAAGGUUCAAUAUAGAUGUUUAAGUAUAACCGUGUUAAAUAGAAACUUAAACGAAUAUGUAGACCAUAUGUUUCCUAAUAAAAAUAGAAGAUAAAUAUAUGUCCAAUUAAUAGAUUAUUUAUAUUUUCUUAAUUAAAAGAUAACAAGGGUCAUUGCUUUUAUAAACUAAAAUGGUAGUUUAUACAUAAUUUCCUUUGUAAUGAAUUAGAUCAUUUAGAUUAUUUGUCCCUACAAUAGAAUUAAAGACAAUUAAUAGAUUAAUUAUCCUUUAUCAUAAUUUAUUAAUCAAACCUAUAGUCAAUUUGUUCUUAACUAGAUUUAUGACAUGAUUAAUGAUUUCAUAGAAUUUAGUCCACAUUAUAUACAAAUCACUUAGCUUUUCCUAAAGGAUAAAAUAAAGUAAUAAGAGUUUAAGUUCUUUUAUAACUUAAAAUGUUACUUUAUAUAUUGACUUCAAAUAUAAUAAUAUAGGCUAUGUGUUUUCUAGUGAAAUUAAAAGAUAGUUACUUGUUCAUUAUCUUGUGCAUGAAAAUCCACUUAAGGGCCUAUAACCUAGCUUUUCAUAAAAUAGGUGUUUAAUAAUAAUGAUCUUUUCACAUAAAACCUAUUUAGACUUAUAUCUUAGUUUAUAAUAAGUGAAGGUUUAACAAUGGAUUAUAAUAUGUUCCAUAACGCUUCUAAAAUUAAUAAUGUAUUUCAUAACGCAUUAACCUUAGAUAUAUAACUUAUAUCUUUUCUAAAAUGUUAAAAAUGUUUAAUAUUGUUAUAACAUGUUUUAUCAUCUUAUAAACCCUUAAUAUUAGACAUAUCACGUAUGACGUUUUAUAAAAGAUUAAUUUGGUGAACCUAAUAUUUGUAUAUUUUAAUUAAGAUAUUUUUAAGCUCAUGUCUUGUUUUAUAAAGUAUAGAUCACACAUUUUUGAAACGAAUACCCUCUUAUUAUAACCAUUACUUGCGAUGUUUUGAAAAACAAAAGCUCUUUUCGUUAGGCUUUCUUUUAGCUUUACGUAUGGUGAAUGUGGUAUGUUAUUGAGUGGUGUUUGUUCUUCUUGUUUGUUUGUGUGAUAUUCAGUGGUUGAUCUAGUAGUUAAGAAUCAAGAUCUAUUCCUAUCCGUGGAAGAACCUCAAGUUUUCAAUAAGCAAGGCAAGUGGACUUCUCCCUCUGCAUACUCUGUUUGAUCCCAAACAAUAUAUUUAAUAAAGUUUAUUCUUGGAUAUAUAUGCAUAAUUUGACGGGUUACCUAUUCGGUUACACCUAACCUUUUCUACCUUAUUCCUUGAUAAAACCUGGGUAUUAUACUUUACCUUCAUAGCUAUGCUAUUGCAACAACUUAACUUUAUGCAGUCACUCCCGUAUGAUACUAAUGUUCCAAAUGGUAAGUUUACAUUAUUGUUGUUAACCCGAUGGUUAAACAAGAUUAUGGCAUAAUAAUUGGAACAUGGAGUGACCACCUGGGAAAACAGUGCUACCAUGAGAACUAUCAUGGCUCUGGUCUUGGCUAAAUAACUAGGGAAGUCUUAUGUUGGGUGCUGGUCGUGGUCGACCGGAACGGGGGCAUCUGGCAAGCGCUUAUAGUUCCGGCUCAGGCAGAUUGGAUACGAGCAUAGUUCUCAAAGCUUUACCCUGUAGUCUGGACUAUAAGUUGGUUACGGUAGGUGUACCUUAUGCAGUUGACCAUUUCCAGCAUUUGCGUAAUGAGGACUCUAGGGAGAAGCCUCGUAGUGAGACCCUGGCCAUUCACCUCGGAAGUGAAUUCUGGUCUAGAUAACCCGGGCUAGAAGGGAAUCGCGACUCAUGGGUAAAGAUGUGCCACCUCUGUAGAGUGUAAAACUGAUAUAUCAGCCGUGCUCACGGUUAUGAGCAGCCUGGACUCCUCACAUGAUAAUUGAACUUGAAGAUGGAAAUAAAUCGAGAUCCGAUGAUCUGCCAAUGGUUUGCUUAAGUUGUUUCACUUAAGUGUUUUUGAUAUACUCUUUUACCUUUGUUUAAUGGGAAUACUUGGGAUUCACACUUAUUAGUAAGACAAGUGUUGUUAAUAAAAUGUUGACCAACCAAAAUGCUUACUGCUCAACCUUAGCCUCACCUUGUUAAACUUGCAUUAUUUUUCCCCCACUUGCUGAGCCCCGACCAUAAGUGAGCUCACCCUUGCUUAAAUUUUGAUCAGAAGUUUGCAGAUGAAGUUAUGAUGCUGAGUUCCAUGGAUGCUAGUCUAGUGAUACCCUCGGUCAUCUUUCUGUGGAUGGAUGUCCAUGUUUCACUGUACUUUGAUGAAUAAAGGUUAAGACAUUAUGUCUGUUCGAAGUGUAAUAUGCUAAUAUAAUCGUUAUUUACGCUUUUAUGCAUUGUUCUUUUGAUAUAUUACACUUGUAACGUCAACAUAUGUGUGGAAAUAGAUCCUGGCACACAUAUGCGAUGCACCCGGCUCUGCCCCCAGGAAACGGGUGUGACAGAAGUGGUAUCAAAGCAAUGUGACCGUAGGUCGCUAGAUUAGUUAGAAAUGGAAAGCCCAGUUUGUCGUUCAAAACUUGACUUAAUUGUCUCCAUAAAAACUUACUUUAUAUCAAAACUCGUCUCUUUUAUCUGCAACCCUUCUUGUCUGAUUCUUCGUCUAUCAAAAGGUUCUAAUGAGAAGCAUUGCAAGAUAAUCAAGCUAGGAUUGCGAAACUUGAAGCGAAGUUUGCUAGAAGAAACCCUUUCGAAGCUAUCGAUAAUGCCCUAUUCUCUAUCUUAUCCCCAGUCCGCAAGAAGUUUUGUUAUGGAUCCCCUGGAUCUAUUAUUUGACUUCUUGGCUAGGUUGAUAGGAUUGUUCUUUAAUAUUAAGAUUUUUGACUAGUUUGAUAAGGGCGAUAUUAUAUCAUAGUGGUUUUCUAAUCACUAAUAUUUCUAUAUAACCCUUGUCUUCUUAUACUUUUGUUUUCUUGCCAUUGCAUUGCCACCCUUGCGCAAUAUCUACCUUGAUAUAUUAAACCUUUGCCUCUCUACUUUUCUCCUUAAUAAUGCUUUCUCCCUAACUCACUUCAUAUCCUUGGUUGUAUCAUUUAUCCUCACUUUAAUAGUUCAUGGUUAUCUUAUUUCUCUUUUGGCCACCGACAAAUAUGUCUUGUCUAACUCCUUGAUAAUUCUUACCCAACUCCUUGAUGUUAUAAUAUCUUUCUUAUUCCAAACCUUGUCUCACCUUUUGUUUUGGUUGAAUGAGUUGAAUUGGAUUGUGUUGUGCUGGUAUGCUUGAAUUCAUUGUCCUUUGUGUUCAUGUUUGAUUUGCUUUUUUGAAAUGAUUGUUGGUGUAUUGUGUGACUUUUGUCCACAAUGGCAUCAGUUAGCUAGGUAAAACCUUAAAUAGAUGGGUUUUAUCUGCUCUCUAUAAUCUGUCUGUGCUCAACCAUUUCGUCCCUUCCAUUCUUACAUACCCAUACAGAUGUCAGACCUUGGAAUGUCAACUACAAGUGAUAUCACUAAGUGCAAAGAAUGCGGUGUGUUGACAAGUCAAAACAACACUAUAAAUAAAACAGCUGAUGAACAGACCUUCAAGACAUAAAAGGAUGCACAACUAAACCAACAGACAAGUGACCUUGGAACAUGUUGUUGUUGUGAGUACUAUGGAAUUCCUUGUCGCCAAAUCAAAGCAAAUGAAAGUUAAACUGCAAAACAGAAGAACCACUAAUAGCAGAUUCUCUCAUACCUAAUGCACUAUCAGUUAAUGAAUUGCAAAGUAUUCCAAAAAGGAAACAUCACAAGGAUGCCUAGCCCCAAGAAGAAACACAUGAGUGUUACAUUGAUGGAUGGACUAUCACCUGCACAUAGUUUCAGCCUCAUUGUCACAUCAGGUCCAAGAAACAAAAAGGGAAACAUGGAAAAAGUCAAGAAAUAACUUCAAGAAAAGCUUGCUAUCAAUGUGGACGUGAAGGUCAUUACUUCCGUAACUAUCCUAAGAAGAGUUCACUAUAGAUCACCUCCAAGAUGAAGCUAUCUCAGUCUUCAGACAUGGAAUGUGAACAAAAAUGCACAGAAACUUCUACCAACAACGUAAAGACAACUCCCCCAUGUAACUUAUCAAUCCGUGCUUGCUUUGGCUGUGGUGAUACCGGCCAUCUUGUUAAUAGUUGUCAUAAUAAAGAUGUGGAGAUCAAUAAGGUCCAAAAGAAAAGACAACACCCUCAAAAUCAUGCAUCAACAAAGAAUAACCAACGGAAAAAGUCCAUAGGAAGGAUAAGUUAUGCAGUAACAGGAACCAUUCCAUAUGAUAAUGCAGUAAUUUUUGGAACACUAGUCAUUCACACAACUACCACCACUGUGUUGUAUGAUCCUCGUACAACUCAUUCCUUUAUCAGUGCCCAGUUUGUAACAAAGUAUGGUAUUUUUAAGUGUCCCUUGAGAUCAAGGAUGACCAUCAGUGCACCCGAAAGAAAAAUGUUAGUAAACUACAUAUGUCCAAAUGUAAGUGUUAAAAUCAAUGGGAUAGAUUUUCUAGCCGAUCUUAUAGUGAUAGAAUCAAUGGGAAAGGAUGUGAUUCUUGGAAAGAAUUGGUUACAAAGAACUAAUGCAGUAAUCCCAAAUACUGAGAGAACCAUGUGUUUAGAAACCCCAUCUGGAGAAACAAUAGUAGUUGAAGACAAUCGACCUCCAGCUCUGAAGAUUAGUACAUCUGAUGGGGAAGAAUAAUAUGUCAUAUAGAUAGAAAGAUCAGUAUGUCUCACGAAAAAAAUGUCAAGGUGUUGCCCCUUUCAAGAUUUGUAAUUGUGCUAAGUGAUAUAUGAAUAAAUUUGGAGAAUCUCUCGCACCUAUUGUGUUUUGCCUCUUUAUAAGGAGAAUAAAGUAUGGUGUCAUCUGCUAUAUGCAAACAAUGUGAUGCUCUACUCUAGUUGCCCUAAAGUCUCGCUCAAGUCUUUCUCUCAAUUUGUGCUCAAAGAAAUACUGUUGGAUCAAAAAGAUGAUUUGGAUAUCAUGCUCUGAAAUCUAUAAAGUUCAAAAGAUCUCUGUUAAGGAUUAUAACACUUGUACACUCUUGUAGUGUGAUGAAGCUAGGCAGAAUCGGAAAUCAUCCUUAACUAAUAUUAUAUUUGAAAUCAAAAUGUUGUGUUAGCUCUUUAUCCUAAUGUCAUACAAGCCUCUUAUACAGUGUAACACCUCAAAAUCUCAUUUUGUGAGUUAUGUAAAAUUUUCAAAAGAUUUGGGGUUAGAAUAUUGUUGUAUCUCUUCUUCCAAAUUUUUUUUUGAAGUCACAUCUCCUAAAAUAAAAUGUUUUAUAAUAAAGAUUCAAUAAAAGGGAUUCUUAAAUGAAUUAUCCUUUAUUUAAGUUAAUAAGUAUUAUAUAAGUAUAAAUAUUAGAGCACUCCUUAGAAAUAUUUCAAUCAAAAGAAAAAUAAAUCAUAAUGAAGGCUUGAUAUUAAAAUUCUGCUAAACUAAAUAAGUAAUGUGUAAAUCAAUCCCUUGUGAAUUAUGCAUAUAGGAGCAUUCAUUUAGGGGGAUAAUUAACCAAUAAAUAAAUAAAUAAAUAUGCAUUUCAUGCUGAACUCUUUUGGUUUGUAUAAUCACUUUAAGUUUGAAAUUUUGAAACUAGAUUUAAAUUUAUAAAUAAUAUGAAGAGAAACUAGAGAACAUAAAAGAAAAUAAAGAAAAAGGGAAGAGAUGACUCACAUGCGCAUGGGCUGGCCCAAACCCGCAUAUAUGUUGUCGCGCCACUGCACUGACACCGGGGACCGCAUUAUCAGCCUCGCCCCAAGCCCACCGGUUGCUGCCAUGUGGGGUCACUACGUCAGCCAUCUUCAUGCCAACAACCCGCACGGAUCUCCAUUGUCGCCGGCCGGGAACACCUGCCGUGGGUUGUUGCGACUUCCUCGGUCGGACUCAGGUGUAUUUAUAUCCCUAAUUGCAGCUACCCUUCCCAUCCAAUCCUCAGCAUGCGCCCGGCCGGAAGCCAUAACUUUGCCGUCGGGAGCUGAAGUUUUCCAUCGCGGUCAGGAAGGGACGAUUCAGAUCGUCGCGUGCGUUCUUAACUUGCCGUCGUGUCUGGAGGCAUCACCUGGGGUCUACGGAAGCCGGCGUGCAAAACACCCGUACCCAGGGCCUUGGUCGCUGGACGAAUCGCUCGUCGGAGCGCUAUGUCCGCCGUGGGUCGUGAACUGCACAGGCAUCGCCUAUAGCGUCGGUGAGUACCUCCUCCAGUGAUUCAGCGUUCAUGUCUUCGCGUAGGACUAUUUAUCGGUAUGGUUAGAGCGCUGGUAUGGUGGGUGGCCGUGCGCCGACGUGGAUCCGCCGAGGAUGGAUGCUGGCGUCGCCGCGCUGCUGGCCGGACGUAGAAGACUGUGGUUGAGUCGUAGAUCUUGAGUUGUGCGGUUGUGAUGUGUACGCGCGUUCCUCUCGGUUAAUGUGAUCUAGACCGUUGGAUCCACACCGUGCGGACAUGAUUAUAUCAUGGUGCUUUAAACCCUGGACCGUUGGAUCUAAUCGAGCGGUUCUGAUUGGAUCUAGCUUCAUUAAAUCGUGGUCGUUGUUGCUCGAUCUGAUGGUCUCUAUCACAUACCGAUUCAUGUAACGGAUGAUUUAAUCCGGGCGGUCCGAUAUAGAUCAGACGACUCAAGAUGGCCCAUACCCCUUCGCCUCGACAAUGUUGCUAAAGAGUCCCUGGAAAACAGAGGAUUUAACCCGCCGUCCAGUGCGUGGAAAGCCUGAGUCUGGGAAAUAUUGCGAGUUAGCCCCUGCGGUUUCGGAUAAUUAUGUGCCCAGUCCAGAACUCUAUGAAAAUAGGAAAAAUAAUUUAGAAAGUGGAUUUCUAGUGCCAAAAUAAUUCCAGAACUUAUAUAAUUCAUAGAAAAUUCAUCUUAGCUCCUUUUUAAUCCCUUCCAGUUGCAUUGAAUUCAUUUUAAUAUUUUUGAUCUUCUAGUAACCUCAUUUUGCUAUGAAAUUUAGAUUUGAAAUUAUGUACUUAGUUUAUUUUUAUCCAACACUUAAAACUUCGGAAAUCCAUAACAUAAUAACCAUAACUCCGAAUUUAGUGAUUCUUGUUUCCACGAUCUUGUUACGACACAUAGAUUAUUAUUACACAGUUUAUUCUUAUGUUUGGUGUAAUAUUAAUUUUGCCUAUACAUGUUUGCCUGUAUUGCUACGUUUAGCAGUGAGGAUAUGUGUCAUCUGUAGAGCAAGUUGGUACCUGGAAUCUCAAGUCCCAGGCAAGUUGUGCCCUUGAUCACUUCUUUUUACCCAAUCAUGUUCUGAUUAAUCAUAAUGAUCUGCAUAGGUUAAUUUUGAUGGGACCCAAUAGGUUACCCUAGUUUGAUUAUCUUUAUACCUUGUUUACCACUGAACUUUUUGGGUAGUACUUGCUAGUGCUUUAUGUGGUUUUGGGUAUGAAGAUACAUUAUUCAUGAUCACACUUUUAUUAUCUAUUUAUUAUUACUGUUCAUGAUAAGAUCAUUAUGUUAAUUGGAACAUGGAGCGACCACCCGGGAAAACAGUGCUACCACAAGGGUUUAAUGGGACGCCCUUGGCUAAUUAAUUAGGAAAGCUAGUGGAAGACUACCUUACCCGAAAGGGGCAAGGGCAGUAGGGGAGUGGUCGGUGUAGGGAGGUCCUUGGGAUGAUUUUGCUGCGAUGGCGAUCAUGCGAGGGAUCCCUGCAUUGGAGCUUCCUAUAAACUGUAGCGAGUUUUCUGAAGCUAGUGGAACUUUGUAAAGGCCUCGUAGUGUUACCCUGCCUCGCCUCCUCGGUAGAGGUGUAUGGGAAGUCGCGAUCCCUUGGCAGAUGGGUAACAUGACUUGUGGGUAAAGAUGCGCAACCUCUGCAGAGUGUAAAACUGGUAUAAUAGCCGUGCUCACGGUCAUGAGCAGCUCAGACCCUCAGAUGAUUAAUUUAUGGAACUAAAUUCAAUUUGUCAUAUGCAUUGCAUCGCAGGUGAUGUUGUUACUUUUGUUCUACUACUUAAUUGGGUUGGUAUUUACUUAUACUUAGUAACUGCUAAUAAAAUUUUGACCAACUUUAAAAGCAAUGCUCAGCUCUAACCAUCCUCUUUGGUAAGCCUUACACUUCACGUGAGCUCCCACCUUUGGCGAGUUCAUGCACAUUAUUCCCCACAACUUGUUGAGCGAUGAACAUAUGUGAGCUCACUCUUGCUGUCUCACACCCCCCACAGGUCAAGAACAGGUACCACAGGAUGAGGCACAUGGAGGAUGCUGCGAUGUGUUCGUGAGAGGUCUAGGCCAUCGUCUCCCAGUCAACUUUGGGUUGUUGGACCGUUGUCUCCUUAUAAUGUAAUUAUUUAUUUAUUUUGUAUAGAACUCCUGUUAUGUAGUAAAGAUGUGACAGUCGAUCAUGUGCCAUGAUUCAUCAUAUGUGUGAGACUUGGUCCCAGCACACCUGGUGAUUAUGUUCGCGCCCGGGUCUUGGUGCCCCUGAAAUCUGGGUGUGACAUACAGCCUGUCUGACUAACUCUUUUACCCUCUAACUAGAUGAUGAACCCCAAUGGAAAUGAAGUAAAUAAUGCCAACGACAAUAUUCAUACCUUAAAAACUAUGAACGAGAAAAAUGAGUCACAGAGAUAUUCGAUUAAUGGAAUGAAGAACAACAAAAGGAAUAGGAAAAUGUUUGGAUACAUGAUUAGCCCCCCUCAACCACAAGCAAAAGCCACGAAACACAUGGAUAACCAAACAGAAGAAUCAAGUCAGGCUCAGCUAUAUGAGAUACAGACACCCAAUCAACCCUCACCACCUGUUGGUCAAGCAAAGUUGACUCGCAAAGAACUCAAAGCAAGAGGUGCUUGCUACUACUGCGAAAAUGAAGGACAUAUUAUUCAAGAAUGCCCCAAGAAGAGUCUAGACCGACUAGAGAAGAAAGCUGCCAAGCAUGACCUAAGCAAUAAUUCAGAAGACCAACCAUUUUAUAAGUAUGAUGAUGAAGGUUGCUUGAUUAGUAUACAUUGUGGAGCAAAGAAGUAAGGAAGUUCCUUAAGUUUGGAAGAGUUCAAUGUGAACUAAGGACCCACAAAUAACCAAUAUCUCAUUUGCUUUCAUGCUAGCCUUCCUUAAUCUCGAGGACGAGAUUCUUUUUAAGAGAGGUAGAUUUGGAACACUAUAAAAAUCAUCAAAUAAAAAUAAUACAAUUAGUUAUUAAUGAUAUUUAUAGUAAUUAAUUUUCUUUUAAGUGUUUGUUAUUUAUUUGCAUUUGGAAUGAUUUUUGAUUGCUCAUAAUUGAUUUUUGAAUAUUUAAUAGCAUUUCUUCUUAAUUGAAAAUCCAAAUAAAUAAUAUAAUAAUUAGUCCAAAAAUAAAUAUUUUAUUUAAAAAUAAUUAUGGUUUAGUUAUUAUGAAUUUUAGGGUUAUUUAAAAUAUGUUUUCGAAUUCAGAAAAGGAAAUAGAAAAAAACUAACUAAACCCUGACCUAACAUUUAGCCCAUUAGGCCCAUGUAAGUUGCGCCGCCCCCUUCACCCUAACCCUAGCCGGCGCUCCCCUGUGGCCGCCGCCUCCCUGUUCCUCCCUGCAGCCGCUACCACCUGCUCUCUGCCUCUCUCCUCUCUUCCCUCUACUCUCACCCCGCGCGCCAGGCCACUGCGCGGCAACCCCGCCCCGUACACCAUCGCGCACCUGAUCGAGCAACACCCCGCGCCCUGUGCCCGACCGCGACGCCAGGGACCGCGCCAAGCAGCGCCAAGACCGAGCCCCUCACAGCCGCCGUGACCACGCACGCUGCACCGACCGGCGCCUAGACCCGCGCCGUGCGCGCCCCUGCCCCGAGCCUCGACGCGCCGCGCGACACCGACACCGAUCGCGCCAAGAUGCCGCCAACCGACCGGAGCUGCGCAACCCGACACCCGAAGACCCCGCGGCUGUUUCUCUUUCCUUCCCCAUUUCCUCUCCCUCAUUGAAGCUCCAUUGAUGGCCAUCAAUGGAAUUCAUGUCCGCCAUUUCUCCACCCUUCCCCUCGGCGCCUCUCCCUCCCUAUAAAAACCGACGCCCGAGCCCUCUCCCUCUCCCUGCCCGAGCUCUCUCCUCCCCGAGCUCCCUCUCUCUCACACACACUCCUUGCUCGCCCAUACCGUCGCUGGAGACAUGCCCGAACCCCAUCCAAGCUUCGCCGUCCACAUCACGGUGAACCACUGCGCUAGGAACACCACCUCGAUCGAGCCCCUGCUCGCGCCGUGCCCAGCUCGCCACCGUGAAGCUCGCCCACGCAGCACCCCGGCGACCGUGCCCACGUCGUUCACCCAAGGUUGAAGACAACCCAUUAAUUUAUUUUCUAAAAGCAUGUUUUGAAUUUUGUGAUUUUUUGUUGUAAUAUUGAGACGAUGCAAUUCACAUGUAUGAUUUUAGAGAUUUCGAUGUAUACGUGUAGCCAAAAUCGAACCCCACGACAAUAUUUUAAAUAUGCGUAUGAUUUUAUAAUUCUAAUAAUGAACACGGUCACUAUUGACUAACUCAGUGAUUUUCAUACUAGAAAAAGUUUACAUAUUUAAUUACACUUUAGUGUGUGUGGAACGAUAAUUGUUAGUAGUAUUUUAAGUGUAAACUUAUUUGCAUGAAGAAUUAGAAGAAAUACUAAGCCACGUAUUUCCAGUCAAAUGAGGAUAUAGAUGUUACUAGUCAUAAUAAAAGUAUUCAUAAGUAUAGAACUUAAUUAUUAGAAUUAGUAAAAUACUUAUCUAUGUCAUAAUAACCAUGAAUAUGUUAUUAAAAGUCCUAUUUAGUAAUUUACAAGUAUUUCUAAGAAUAUUAAUGUUAGAAGAAUUAAAUAAACAAUUUUUAGUUAUACGUAUAAAUUCUAUUUAGAAAAGAAAGGAGAAAACUGAAAGAGUAGAAUUUAUAAUAAUGUUAAAAUGACUUAAUUAGGCGCUCAUACUUUCUUAAUAAAGAAAAUAAUUGGUAAACAUAGGUUUCUUACUAAAGAAUUAGAUAACUUGUUUCUAGUUUAAAAUGACUUUUUAAUAGAUAUCAUAUUUAACAAGGUUCGUUAUAGAUGUUUAAGUAUAGCCGUGUUAAAUAGAAACUUCAAAGAAUAUGUAGACCAUAUGUUUCCUAAUAAAAAUAGAAGAUAAAUAUAUGUCCAAUUAAUAGAUUAUUUAUAUUUUCUUAAUUAAAAGAUAACAAGGGUCAUUGCGUUUAUAAACUAAAAUGAUAGUUUAUACAUAAUUUCCUUUCUAAUGAAUUAGAUCAUUUAGAUUAUUUGUCCCUACAAUAGAAUUAAACAUAAUUAAUAGAUUAAUUAUCCUUUAUCAUAAUUUAUUAAUCAAACCUAUAGUCAAUUUGUUCUUAACUAGAUUUAUGACAUGAUUAAUGAUUUCAGAGAAUUUAGUCCACAUUAUAUACGAAUCACUUAGAUUUUCCUAAAGGAUAAAAUAAAGUAAUAAGAGUUUAAGUUCUUUUAUAACUUAAAAUGUUACUUUAUAUAUUGACUUCAAAUAUAAUAAUAUAGGCUAUGUGUUUUCUAAAGAAAUUAAAAGAUAGUUAUUUGUUCAUUAUCUUUUGCAUGAAAAUCCACUUAAUAACCUAGCUUUUCAUAAAAUAGGUGUUUAAUAAUAAUGAUCUUUUCACAUAAAACCUAUUUAGACUUAUAUCUUAGUUUAUCAUAAGUGAAGGUUUAACAAUGGAUUAUAAUACGUUCCAUAACGCUUCUAAAAUUAAUAAUGUAUUUCAUAACGCAUUAACCUUUGAUAUAUAACUUAUAUCUUUUCUAAAAUGUUAAAAAGGUUUAAUAUUGUUAUAACGUGUUUUAUCAUCUUAUGAACCCGUAAUAUUAGACAUAUCAUGUAUGAUGUUUUAUAAUAGAUUAAUUUGUUGAACCUAAUAUUUGUAUAUUUUAGUUAAGAUAUUUUUAAGCUCAUGUCUUGUUUUAUAAAGUAUAGAUCACACAUUUUUGAAACGAAUACCCUCUUAUUAUAACCAUUACUUGCGAUGUUUUGAAAAACGAACGCUCUUUUUGUUAGGCUUUCUUUUAGCUUUACGUAUGGUGAAUGUGGUAUGUUAUUGAGUGGUGUUUGUUCUUCUUGUUUGUUUGUGUGAUAUUCAGUGGUUGAUCUAGUAGUUAAGAAUCAAGAUCUAUUCCUAUCCGUGGAAGAACCUCAAGUUUUCAAUAAGCAAGGAAAGUGGACUUCUCUCUCUGCAUACUCUGUUUGAUCCCAAACAAUACAUUUAAUAAAGUUUAUUCUUGGAUAUAUAUGCAUAAUUUGAUGGGUUACCUAUUCGGUUACACCUAACCUUUUCUACCUUAUUCCUUGAUAAAACCUGGGUAUUAUACUUUACCUUCGUAGCUAUGCUAUUGCUACAACUUAACUUUAUGCAGUCACUCCCGUAUGAUACUAAUGUUCCAAUUGGUAAGUUUACAAUAUUGUUGUUAACCCGAUGGUUAAAAAAAAUUAUGGCAUAUUAAUUGGAACAUGGAGUGACCACCCGGGAAAACAGUGCUACCAUGAGAACUAUCAUGGCUCUGGUCUUGGCUAAAUAACUAGGGAAGUCUUAUGUUGGGUGUUGGUCGUGGUCGACCGGAACGGGGGCAUAUGGCAAGAGCUUAUAGUUCUGGCUCAGGCAGAUUGGAUACGGGCAUAGUUCCCAAAGCUUUACCCUGUAGUCUGGACUAUUAGUUGGUUACGGUAGGUGUACCUUAUGCAGUUGACCAUUUCCAACAUUUGUGUAAUGAGGACUCUAGGGAGAAGCCUCGUAGUGAGACCCUGGCCAUUCACCUCGGAAGUGAAUACGGGUCUAGCUAACCCGGGCUAGAAGGGAAUCACGACUCAUGGGUAAAGAUGCGCCACCUCUGUAGAGUGUAAAACUAAUAUAUCAGCUGUGCUCAUGGUUAUGAGCUGCCUGGACUCCUCACAUGAUAAUUGAACUUUACGAUGGAAAUAAAUCGAGAUCUGAUGAUCUGCCAAUGGUUUGUUUAAGUGGUUUCACUUAAGUGUUUUGAUAUACUCUUAUACCUUUGUUUAAUGGGAAUACAUGGGAUUCACACUUAUUAGUAAGACAUGUUUUGUUAAUAAAAUGUUGACCAACUAAAAUGCUUAUUGCUCAACCUUAGCCUCACCUUGUUAAACUUGCAUUAAUUAUCCCCCACUUGCUGAGCCCUGACCAUAAGUGAGCUCACCCUUGCUUAAAUUUUGAUCAGAAGUUCGUAGAUGAAGUUUUGAUGCUGAGCUCCAUGGAUGCUAGUGUAGUGAUACCCCCAGUCAUCUUCUAGUGGAUGGAUGUCCAUGUUUCGCUGUACUUUGAUGAAUAAAGGUUAAGACAUUAUGUAUGUUCGAAGUGUAAUAUGUUAAUAUAAUUGUUAUUUACGCUUUUAUGCAUUGUCCUUUUGAUAUAUUACACUUAUGACAUCAACAUAUGUGUGGAAAUAGAUCCUGGCACACAUAUGCGAUGCACCCGGCUCUGCCCCCAGGAAAUGGGUGUGACAGUUGUUGGGAAUCUAUCAAAUUCCUCGAGCGUAGACUCCGCUAGCUGGGGUAUAAAACCCAUGCAUCGUCGUGCCCCUCAGUUCGUGUGCGGAGUCAGGACGGCCAGCCCUCACUCAGCACUGCAUGAAUGGAGAGAUGUGUGUGUGUAGGGAGCCGUCGCGCCUGAGAUCUCUCCGCAUUACCAGUGCUCCCUAGAAUCCAAGCCCCGAUGUUCUGUUGGACCGCACCAGUACUCGCGGUACCCUCGCCAUGCUCACCUGGUGGUCUGGGUGGCUGGAACUUCUCGUCGGUGGUCGGUCACAGCCAUGGAUCCGCCCAACGUCGCGGGGAGCCCCGUAUCUUUUGCCCCUAUCGGUAAGAACCCCUCUGUUGAGUUCGCCAUCAUCUCCUCUGUUACAGAACCUCCCAAGGUAUUAGGCCCACCCACAGAUGUCCUUGUACUUAGGACCUCAGACAGUCAUACAGGUGCGCUCAAUGGCUCAAUAGGUCUGAUUACCUUUAUCUCCAUCAUAUCGCCCAAGAGCGCUUAACCCAUAACGCAGACAUUACACAUCAUCGAAGUAAGCAAAAAGGAUUACAAUAACAUAAAUAACAUUCAUAAUUAAAAUGUACUGAGUGCUCAGAAAGGAGUUGAUUACUACAUAACGGGUACUGAGUGCUUAGACUUAUUACAUCAUGGGAAGGCAAAACACCUUCCCUAGGUAAUUCUUAGUUCUCCUCCUCCAGCUUGAGAACCACCUUGGAACAGAAACAACAGAACUCAGCAAUUUCAUCACCUAUAAUAACAUGGGUUUGAAAACCCUAAGUACGAAGUGUACUUUCGGAAGUCUUACCCAUCGAAGGAAAAAGACUCUCAAGGAUAUGCUGGCGUUUGGGAAUCAAGGUAAAGCUUAUCAAGAUUGUAAGCGGUAGUGAGGGAUCCACCACGCUGGAGUGGCAAAGGAUCACCUCAUAGUGAGCACUUGGUUCUUGCGAGGACCAAGGGGGAGCGAUACCCUUGCAUGGGUGCUCCAAUGUGGACUAGGGGAGAGUGUCGACUCUUCGAUACCUCGGUGUCACACCCGAUUUUGAAGGUAAACCGAAUGCGAACCAUGUACGUGACAGGAUCAGAACUUCACGUACACAGUGAUUACAUAAAUGACUCAUCAUAGCACAAUGCUUCGAAUGAAAAUAAAGAGUAAGUGAUAAUAUUAAAGACUAGAGUCAUUUACAUAAUUGUCGGCGUUUAGAGACCGGGGGGUCCCUGUGCCGACGAGUGAAAUGUCGUCGCGUGCCCCAGCCCAGAUGGGUCGGCGCGAGACGGAGCGCGAAGGGGGGAAGAAGGCGGCCGGAGCGAGAGAGGGAGAGAGGUGGAAAUCCCGCGGCCUUCGUGUUUGUCCCGCGCCCAGGUCGGGUGCGCUUGCAGUAGGGGGUUACAAGCGUCCACGCGGGAGGGGAGCGAGCGGCCUCACGCGAGCGCCUGUCCCGUCCUCUUCCCCGCGCGGCCAACCCUCUGUAAGAGGGCCCUGGUCCUUCCUUUUAUAGGCGCAAGGAGAGGAUCCAGGUGUACAAUGGGGGUGUAGCAGAGUGCUAACAUGUCUAGCGGAGGAGAGCUAGCACCCUAAGUACAUGCCAUCGUGGCAGCCGGAGAGGUUUUGGCACCCGGUUCGUGUGGUGUCAUAGCCGUCGGAGGAGCGCUGGAGCCUGGCGGAAGGACAGCUGUCGGGGCUGUUGAGUCCUUGCUGACGUCCUCUUGCUUUCGUAAGGGGGCUGAGAGCCGCCGUCGUCAUAGAGCGUGCGGGGUGCCAUCAUUACUUGUCUGGCGGAGCGAGCCAGAUGGGACGCCGGUCUUGUUCCCCGUAGCCUGAGUCAGCUUGGGGUAGGGUAAUGAUGGCGCCUCCUGUUGACGUGGUCGGUCCGUGCCCUAGGUUGGGCGAUGUGGAGGCUCCUCCGAGGUCGAGGUCGAGUCUGUUUUCCGAGGCCGAGGUCGAGUCCGAGCCCCUGGGUCGGGCGAGGCGGAGACCGUCGGCGGAGGCCAGGGCUGAGUCCGAGCCCUGGGGUCGGGCGAAGCGGAGUUCGUCGUCUUCAGGGGCUGAGCCCGAGUCCGAGCCCUGGGUCGGGCGGAGCGGAGUUCGCCAUCUUCUGGGGCUGAGCCCGAGUCCGAGCCCUGGGUCAGGUGGAGCGGAGUUCGCCGUCUUCCGGGGAUGAGCCCGAGUCCGAGCCCUGGGUCGGGCGGAGCGAAGUUCGCCGUCUUCCGGGGCUGAGCCCGAGUCUGAGCCCUGGGUCGGGCGGAGCGGAGUUCGCCGUCUUCCGGGGCUGAGCCCGAGUCCGAGCCCUGGGUCGGGCGAAGCGGAGUUUCCUAUGGUGCUUGAGGCCAUGCCUGACUGCCUGUCAGCCUCACUCUGUCAAGUGGCACAACAGUCGGAGCGACGCAGGCGGCGCUGUCCUUCUGUCAGGCCGGUCAGUGGAGCGGCGAAGUGACUGCGGUCACUUCGGCUCUGUCGACUGGAGGGCGUGCGUCAGGAUAAAGGUGUCAGGCCACCUCUGCAUUAAAUGCCCCUGCGAUUUGGUUGGUUAGCGCGGCGAUUUGGCCAGGGUUGCUUCUUGGCGAAGACUGGGCCUCGGGCGAGCCGGAAGUAUGUUCGUCGCUGGAGGGGGGCCUCGGGCGAGACGGAGAUCCUCUGAGGUCGGCUGCCCUUGCCCGAGGCUAGGCUCGGGCGAGGUGUGAUCGAGUCCCUCGAAUGGACCGAUCCCUGACUUAGUCGCACCCAUCAGGCCUUUGCAGUGUGCUGAUGGGGGUUACCAGCUGAGAAUUAGGAGUCUUGAGGGUACCCCUAAUUAUGGUCCCCGACAGUAGCCCCCGAGCCUCGAAGGGAGUGUUAACACUCGCUUGGAGGCUUUUGUCGCACUUUUUUGCAAGGGGACCAGCCUUUCUCGGUUGCGUUUUGUUCCGGUGGGUGCGCGCGAGCGCACCCGCCGGGUGUAGCCCCCGAGGCCUCGGAGGAGUGGUUUGACUCCUCCGAGGUCUUAAUGCCUCGUGCAAUGCUUCGGCUGGUCUGGUUGUUCCCUCAUGCGAGCUGGCCGUAGCCCGGGUGCACGGUCGGGUCCCAAGUUCUCGGGCUGGUAUGUUGACGCUGUCAACGGUUUGGCCGGAGCUGGGUUUGCGAGAGCAGCUCCCGAGCCUCCGCAUAGGGCGAGAGGACGGUCAAGGACAGACUCGACUUUUUAACAUACGCCCCUAUGUCGCCUUUCUUCAAGGAGGAGGGGGGAAAGCGCCAUGUUGCCCUCGGAGGGCGCCGAACAUGGUGUCUCUGGUGAGCUGCUGGCGGGUAAUCCAAGUGGACGCCCGUGCCCCAUUUGUUAGGGGUCGGCUAGAGGCCUAGAGGCGCGCUCAAAAGUACCUGCGGGUGAUCUGCCGGACCCGGUCCCCUGUCGACGGGGUCCGAGGGCUCGAUGCCUCCCUCUGAUGGGAUUCCAUUACAAGAUCGUUCCCGCUGGUCUCGGAAAUGUCCUAGGGUACCUCGGGAGCGUAGCCCGAGCCUUGGUUAUGUAUCGAACGUACCCAUGGUCAUCCCUCGCUUUGUGUCUGAGGCGGCUGUGAACCCUUCGAGGGCCAGCCUACGAACCCCUGAUCAGUAGUGGGCGCGGAGCCCGAGUAGCCUGAGGCGGCCGUUGAACCCUUUCGAGGGGCCGGCCUUCGAACCUGUGACCAGUAGUGGGUGCAGAACCCACGCGCUCUGAGGCGGCUGUUGAACCCCUCCGAGGGGCCAGCCUUCGAACCUCUGAUCAGUAGGGAGGCUCGGAGCCUGUUUCCUUCAUGAAGAAGGAUCCUUUUCGGUGUAUCCCCCUUUCCCGGUCCCUGUUGUAAGAGAGAGAAAGAGGAAAAAGGAAAAGGAUACAAGAUCGAAUGAUGUGGUGUACCUCUUUUGACGCGGUCAUUAUGGCGAAGGCGAAGCGUCGCUUGCUUCUCCUUCUUGAGGCGCCGCCUGUCUCGCCGCGGAGUUAAUGCGACGGAGCGGGCGGUUCGCGGGGUGGCUGUUAUGCGUGCGCGAGCCAUCCGAGGAACGGAACACGGGCGCGCCGUCUGCUCGCCGUGAGAGAGGGUUCUCUCACUGCCCCAGGAUGGGACGUAAGCUUGGCUGACGACGUGACCGCUACUCCUGCCCGCCUGCCACCGCCAUUACUGCCGGCCCAUUUUUGGCCGUAUUGACCGUUGCGCCUGGCUGGCACUGCUGGGUCGUACGCAGGGUUGCCUCGAGUCACGGUACUGGUUCCGCAGUCGAGGAGGCGUGGCAGUGGUGCGAGUGGCGGUGCAGUUGCUUGCACGUAGCGACCGACGCGCCGGUUGCGUGACGCGUGGGCGUGGGCCCCCACGCUGGGUGCGUUGGAAGUCGGAGGGGCGCGCCCACUUGGCACGGUUGCAUGCCGCCUGCAUGGCUGCCCGCCCUUUCGCCCGCUGGUCUGGGCGAAAGCGGAGGAAUGCUGGUAACCGCUGGGCGGUUGCAUGCACCGCGCGCGACGGUUUGGCUUCUUCUGCUCUGGGCCAGCUUGCAUGACGCGUGGGACCCAGCCCUCGUGCCGUAGGGGGAGGACCUUGGAGCGUGUUGGAGAAGACUCAGCCCACGACGGCUGGGGACGUAGGUAGGGAGAGUCGCCUUUAAAAGGAGGGUGACCCCCUUGAAAGGCGACCAUGUCUUCACGCUCCCUUAUGCAUCGUGUCUUUCCACCUUUCGAGCCCCCGGAUGGGGGACACCCGCAAUCCUUCCGCCUCGUUGUUGGAGGAAUGCAACUCUGUGGGAGUUGGUACCUUUCAGCCAUCGUUCGGCUUCAAGGAUUUUCAUCAUGCAGCCCGGCUGCACCCCUCCGUCGGCGGUCACCCAAGACGGUGACCUCCAGUUCGAUGGCGGGGGAAAGCAAACCGGGCUGCGGCCUCUGCCCCUCCCUCAGCCUCAAGGAUUUUCAUCAUCAGUGUUGGGGAGGGGAGUGUGCCGAGUUGGGGUCGGCCCCUACGUGGGCGGUGGCCCGCUCCUUCCCUCAGUGAUCGGGGGGAAGGGCGUUCGCCGUUCGUGGCGCUGGCAGCUGCCGCGUGCCUGGCUCUCGGACCCGAGUGGCUUUGGAGCCGCUCCCGGCGCCGCCUUCCGCCACGGCAGCUGGAAGAGGUUCUUCCGCCGACGAGAUAGCCGGGGCCGCCCACGGACCGACCUCCAACUCUACGGCCUUCUGCCCGUCCUUGCCUCACGAGUUUGGGCACAGGCGAGGGCCUCAUGGCAGCAGCAUCCGCCCUAAGGUCAUCGCUGCUGCUGUUCGGCCCCCCGGAGCAGAAGUCGUCGUCGUCGCCGCUGCUGGAGCGGGCGACGGCGAGCCGUUCGUCGGUCUUUCGUUGCUCCGCAGGCCCCCCAAUCGAGUGGGGUUGUUCGUACCUGCGGAGGUGGAACCGGAGUUCCGUUUGUAAUGGCAUCUUGAAUGCCAGUCUUUUGUUCAUUGUGGUUGUCGGGGCCUGAACGUGUAUGUAUUUUUGGCGCGGAGCCGUGUUUUUUCCUCAUUUUCGAGCACUAAGACUCGCCUGUUGGUUGUCUGAACCGCUUCACCAAGCGUGAGUCGCCCCGUACAAAGGUGACGAGUGAGGUAUCCGUAUCCCAGAGGCGUAGGAGUCCCUCGGCUCGGUCGGCCUUGCUGUCCGAGGCUUCUCUUGCUUAGUUAAAGGGACCCCUCGGCCGCUCUUCAACGAGCCGAAGCCAGGGGUAGCGGUGUCAGCACGGACAGAGGCAGAGUCGGCUCGAAAAGAAGACUUGGUCGGCUGGAGCCUGGCCGGGUCGUCUGUUAGCGGGACCGACACCGGAGUUGAUCUGCCGAGGCCUCAGGCCGGGCUGAUGUCUUCGGGGGACAGCUGGCCGAGGCCUCGGGGUGACCAGCCGAGCCGCCUGCUCGAGCCGGAUUCUUGGAGAAGUCCCUGGCGGCGAUGGCCCAGGCGUGAUGAUGAAGUCGUCCUUCAGAGUGGAGAUCCUCAGACCGCGUCGCCGUCCGAGGCUAGGUCGGACCUCGCUGAAGGUGUAGUCGACGCCGAGGGUGCUGCUGCUCCCUUCAACUGUCAAGAUUCGAGCCUGCAGGAUCGGAUUAUCUUGUAGUGUGCGUUUUCUGCGGCCGCUGAGGCCCAAACACACCCUCAUCGUGUUGUAAAGUUGCGCUUCUUUUCCUCUUGUUUCGAGUAUCUGGACUUUUCCGUCGGUAACAGAAUUGUCUGUGCGAGCGAGAGUUGCUUUUCGCGGAAGGUGAUGAGUGAGGUAUCCAUAUCCCGGAGGCGUAGGAAUCCCUCGGCUCGAUCGGCCUUGCCGCUUACGCGCGCUCUUGCCCGUCCAUGGGGUUCUGUCACCGGCGUAGUCAAGAAAGCCCGAAGAAUCGCUUCGGCAGGAGAGCUUUCGAACGUGAAGACUUGUUCGGUCCGCGGAAUCACUUAUCCGAACGCGAGUUACUUAUCGCAGAAGGUGAUGAGUGAGGUAUCCGUAUCCCGGAGGCGUAGGAGUCCCUCGGCUCGGUCAGCCUUGGCUGCUUACGUGUACUCCGUCAUUUUCAGGAUCCACUUUCGAAGCAGUCGAAAAGCACGAAAGACAUUCUGGCAGAAAAGAUCCUUUUUCGAGGAAAAUUUCGACGCAGAGGGGGUUCCCCCCUUUUAGCCCCCGAGGGAGGGUCGAGCUUUGCCGAGGCAAGGCUGACCCUUCCUUGAUGACUAAACUUUGCGUGGGAGCGAGGUAUAUGAACAACUUGAAAGCAUCUUAAGGGUAGAAGCGACAUAGCUGUUGGAUGUUCCAAGCGUUGUUGUAGACCUCGCCUUGACUGUUGGCCAGCUUGUACGUUCCGGGCUUCAGAACUUUGGCGAUGACGAACGACCCUUCCCAGGGAGGCGUGAGCUUGUGCUGCCUUCGGGCGUCCUGUCGCAGCCGAAGCACUAGGUCGCCCACCUGGAGGUCUCGGGACCGGACCCCUCGGGCGUGGUAGCGUCGCAGGGACUGCUGGUACCGUGCCGAGUGUAGUAAGGCCAUGUCCCGAGCCUCUUCCAGCUGGUCCAGCGAGUCUUCUCGACUAGCUUGGUUGCUUUGGUCGGCAUAGGCCCUCAUCCUCGGGGAACCGUAUUCUAAGUCUGUGGGCAAGAUGGCCUUGGCCCCAUAGACUAGAAAGAACGGCAUGAAGCCCGUGGCUCGGCUCGGCGUUGUCCUCAGGCUCCAGACCACCGAGGGGAGUUCCUAAAUCCAUCGCUUGCCGAACUUGUUGAGGUCGUUGUAGAUCCGAGGCUUGAGCCCUUGUAGAAUCAUGCCAUUGGCACGCUCUACUUGCCCAUUCGUCAUGGGGUGAGCCACGGCGGCCCAGUCCACCCAGAUGUGGUGAUCCUCGUAGAAGUCCAGGAACUUUCUGCCGGUGAACUAGGUGCCGUUGUCGGUGAUGAUGGAGUUCGGGACCCCGAAACGAUGGAUGAUGUUGGUGAAGAACGCCACUGCCUGUUCGGACCUGAUGCUGUUUAGGGGUCGGACCUCGAUCCACUUGGAGAAUUUGUCGAUGGUGACCAACAGGUGCGUGUAGCCCCCGGAUGCCUUCUGCAAGGGGCCGACGAGGUCCAGACCCCACACAGCAAAAGGCCAGGUGAUGGGUAUCGUCUGCAGAGCUUGAGCAGGCAGGUGGGUCUGCCUCGCGUAGAACUGACACCCUUCGCAGGUGCGGACAAUUUUAGUGGCGUUGGCCAGUAGAAACCUUGUCGGAAGACGUUUCCAACAAGGGCCCGAGGUGCUGCGUGAUGGCCGCAAGCCCCCGAGUGUAUCUCUCGUAGGAGCUCCUGGCCUUCGGCGAUGGAAAUGCAUCGCUGGAGGACGCCUGAGGGGCUGCGGUGGUAGAGCUCCUUCCCAUCUCCCAGCAAGACGAACGACUUGGCGCGCCGCGCCAACCGCCGAGCUUCGGCUCGGUCGAGGGGUAGCUCUCCUUGGUGGAGAUAUUGCAGGUAUGAGGUCUGCCAGUUUCGAUUAGGCGCGACCUCGCUUUGCUCCUCCUCGACGCGCAGUGCCUCACCCUCGGAGGCCGAGGGUACUUCGUGCUGAACCGAGGGUGCCUCGGGCCGAGCUGAGGGUGCCUCGGGUUGAGCCGAGGGUGCCUCGGACUGAGCCGAGGGUACCUCGGGCUGGGCCGAGGGUGCCCCGGGCUCGGACGUGUCGUCGAUCUUGACGGAGGGUUGAUGCAGGUCUCGGGAGAAGACGUCCGGGGGAACCGUUGUUUGCCCCGAGGCUAUUUUAGCCAGUUCGUCCGCAGUCUCGUUGUAGCGCCGGGCGAUGUGGUUGAGCUCGAGCCCGUAGAACUUGUCUUCCAGGCGCCGAACCUCAUCGCAGUAGGCCUCCAUCUUCGGGUCGCGGCAGUGGGAGUUCUUCAUGACUUGGUCGAUGACGAGCUGCGAGCCACCGCGAGCGUCGAGGCGUCGGACCCCUAGCUCGAUGGCGAUGCGCAACCCAUUGACCAGAGCCUCGUACUCAGCCACAUUGUUGGACGCCGGGAAGUGGAGGCGUAGCACGUAGCGUAGGUGCUUCUCGAGGGGCGAGAUGAAGAGUAGGCCUGCGCCGGCUCCUGUCUUCAUCAGCGACCCGUCGAAGAACAUGGUCCAGAGUUCCGGUUGGAUCGGAACUGUUGGGAGCUGGGUGUCGACCCACUCAGCCACGAAGUCCGCCAAGACCUGGGACUUGAUGGCCUUCCGAGGGGCGAACGAGAUCGUUUCGCCCAUAAUUUCCACCGCCCACUUUGCGAUUCUACCUGAGGCCUCUUGGCACUAGAUGAUCUCCCACAGGGGGAAGGAUGACACCACAGUUACCGGAUGAGACUCGAAGUAGUGUCGCAACUUCCGCCGCGUCAGGAUCACCGCGUACAGCAGCUUCUGAACUUGUGGGUAGCGGAUCUUGGUCUCGGACAGUACCUCGCUGAUGAAGUAGACUGGCCUCUGGACAGGCAAUGCAUGCCCUUCUUCUCGUCUCUCAACCACGAUCGCGGCGCUAACCACCUGAGUGGUCGCGGCGACGUAGAUCAAGAGGGCUUCUCCGGCAGCGGGGGGCACCAAGAUGGGCGCGUUCGUGAGGAGCGCCUUCAGGUUCCCGAGGGCUUCCUCGGCCUCAGGGGUCCAAGUGAAGCACUCGACCUUCCUUAAGAGGCGGUACAGAGGCCGGCCUCUUUCGCCGAGGUGUGAGAUGAAGCGGCUCAGAGCCGCAAGACAUCCUGUGACUCUCUGUACGCCCUUCAAGUCCUUGAUGGGCCCCAUGCUGGUGAUGGUAGCAAUCUUCUCCAGGUUGGCUUCGAUGCCCCGCUCGGAGACGAUGAACCCCAAGAGCAUGCCUCGGGGAACCCCAAAGACACACUUCUCGGGAUUAAGCUUCACGCCUUUCGCCUUGAGACAUCGGAAUGUCACUUCAAGGUCGGAAAGGAGGUCGGAGGCUUUCCUCGUCUUGACUACGAUGUCAUUGACGUAGGCCUCGACCGUCCGGCCAAUGUGUUCGCCGAACACAUGGUUCAUGCACCGCUGGUACGUCGCACCCGCAUUCCUCAAGCCGAACGGCAUGGUGACAUAGCAGUACAUGCCAAAGGGUGUGAUGAAAGAAGUCGCGAGCUGGUCGGAUUCUUUCAUCCUGAUUUGGUGAUACCCUGAGUAGGCAUCGAGGAAAGACAGGGUUUCACACCCAGCAGUGGAAUCCAUGAUUUGAUCGAUGCAAGGCAGAGGGUAGGGAACCUUCGGACAUGCUUUGUUUAGACCAGUGUAGUCUACACACAUCCGCCAUUUCCCUCCUUUCUUUCUCACAAGCACAGGGUUGGCUAGCCAUUCGGGAUGGAAUACCUCUUUGAUGAACCCUGCCGCCAUUAGCUUGUGGAUUUCCUCGCCCAUGGCUCUGCGCUUUUCUUCAUCAAAUCGGCGCAGAGGCUGCUUCACGGGUCGGGCUCCAGCUCGAAUAUCCAGCGAGUGCUCGGCGACAUCCCUCGGUAUGCCGGGCAUGUCCGAGGGACUCCACGCGAAAACGUCGGCGUUUGCACGGAGAAAGUCGACGAGCACUGCUUCCUAUUUGGGAUCGAGCUCGGAGCCGAUCCGGAUCUGCUUGGAGGUGUCGCUGCUGGGGUCGAGGGGGACGGACUUAACCGUCUCCGCUGGCUCGAAGUUGCCGGCGUGGCGCUUCACGUCUGGCACCUCCUUAGAGAGGCUCUCCAGGUCGGCGAUGAGGGCCUCGGAUUCGGCGAGGGCCUCGGCGUACUCCACGCACUCGACGUCGCAUUCGAACGCGUGUCGGUACGUGGGGCCGACGGUGAUGACCCCGUUGGGGCCCGGCAUCUUGAGCUUGAGGUAGGUGUAGUUGGGGACGGCCAUGAACUUCGCGUAGCAUGGCCUCCCUAGUACUGCGUGGUAGGUUCCUUGGAACCCGACCACCUCGAACUUGAGGGUCUCCCUUCGGAAGUUGGAGGGCGUUCUGAAGCAGACGGGAAGGUCGAGUUGUCCGAGGGGCUGGACGCGCUUCCCGGGGAUGAUCCCCUGGAAAGGCGCAGCGCCUGCCCGGACCGAGGACAGAUCAACACGCAGGAGCCCGAGGGUCUCGGCGUAGAUGAUGUUGAGGCUGCUGCCUCCGUCCAUGAGGACCUUGGUGAGCCUGACGUCGCCGAUGACGGGGUCGACAAUGAGCGGGUAUUUCCCCGGGCUCGGCACGUGGUCGGGGUGGUCGGCUUGGUCGAAGGUGAUGGGCUUGUCGGACCAGUCUAGGUAGACUGGCGCCGCCACCUUCACCGAAUAGACCUCCCGACGCUCUUGCUUGCGGUGCCGAGCCGAGGCGUUUGCCGCUUGCCCACCGUAGAUCAUGAAGCAGUCGCGGACCUCGGGGAACUCUCCUGCCUGGUGAUCCUCCUUCUUGUCGUCGUCGCGAGCCUUGCCACCCUCCGUGGGUGGCCCGACCCUGUGGAAGUGGCGCCGUAGCAUGGCACACUCCUCAAGGGUGUGCUUGACGGGCCCCUAAUGAUAGGGGCACGGCUCCUUGAGCAUCUUGUCGAAGAGGUUGGCACCUCCGGGGGGUUUUCGAGGGUUCUUGUACUCGGCGGCGGCGACAAGGUCCGCGUCGGUGGCGUCGCGUUUCGCUUGCGACUUCUUCUUGCCUUUCUUCUUGGCGCCGCGCUGAGUUGACGCCUCGGGGGCGUCUUCCGGUGGGCGGACCUGGGGCUGCUUGUCCUUCCGAAAGAUAGCCUCAACCACCUCCUGGCCAGAGGCGAACUUGGUGGCGAUGUCCAUCAGCUCGCUCGCCCUGGUGGGGGUUUUGCGACCCAGCUUGCUGACCAGGUCGCGGCAAGUGGUGUCGGCGAGGAACGCGCCGAUGACAUCUGAAUCGGUGAUGUUGGGCAGCUCGGUGCGCUGCUUCGAGAAUCGGCGGAUAAAGUCCCGGAGAGACUCUCCCGACUGCUGUCGGCAGCUUCGGAGGUCCCAAGAGUUUCCAGGGCGCACAUAUGUGCCCUGGAAAUUGCCGGCGAAGGCCUGGACCAGGUCGUCCCAGUUGGAGAUCUGCCCCGGAGGCAGGUGCUCUAACCAGGCGCGAGCGGUGUCGGAGAGGAACAGGGUGAGGUUGCGGAUGAUGAGGUUGUCAUCGUCCGUUCCACCCAGUUGGCAGGCCAGCCGGUAGUCCACGAGCCACAGUUCCGGUCUCGUCUCCCCCGAGUACUUUGUGAUAGUAGUCGGGGUUUGGAACCGGGUCGGGAACGGUGGCCGUCGUAUGGCGCGGCUGAAAGCCUGCGGACCGGGCGGUUCGGGCGAGGGACUCCGAUCCUCCCCGCUGUCGUAGCGUCCCCCACGCCUGGGGUGGUAGCCUCGGCGCACCCUCUCGUCGAGGUGGGCCUGACGGUCGCGGUGAUGGUGCUCAUUGCCGAGGCGACCCGGGGCCGCAGGCGCUGUGUUGCGCGUGCGCCAGGUGUGGACCGAGGUUUCCCGCAUGAAUCGGGAAGUCGCGGCACGAUGUUCCGAGGGGUACCCCUACCUUCGGGAGGCGGAGCUUUCAGCCCAUCGGGCCGCGGCGCCCUCCAGGAGAUUCUUGAGCUCUCCCUGGAUUCGCCGCCCCUCGGUGGUUGAUGGCUCUGGCAUCGCGCGGAGAAGCAUUGCUGCUGCAGCCAGGUUCUGGCCGACUCCACUGGAAGCGGGUGGCGGCCUUACCCUGACAUCGCCGGCGAUGCGGUGUUGGAUACCCUGGGGUAGAUGACGCAUUUCUCCGGCCGGAGGUUGGCCCGCCCAUUCCUGCCCGAUGUCCCAGCGGAUCGGCUCAAGCGUUCCUGCUCCCUCGUCGAGCCUGGCCUGCACCCCGCGGAUUUGCUCGAGCUGUGGGUCAUGACCCCCCGCCUGAACGGGGACCAUAGCUAGCUCCCGUAGGAUGUCAACGCGAGGCACAUGCCUAGGGAGAUCACCGUUCUCCGGCAUACCAAGGUGGUUGCCUUCGGAGGGACCCUCUAGAUCGACGUGGAAACAUUCACGACUUGGGCCGCAGUCCUCGUCGCUGAGGCUGCGGCUACCGUCGGAACAGUCGGAAAGGCAGUAGUCGCAUGCGGUCAUGAAGUCCCGCAUGGCACUAGGGUUACUAAGUCCGGAGAAAUCCCAACAGAAGUCGGGCUCGUCAUCUUCCUCGGACCCCGAGAGCCCGUAGGUCGAGACGUCCGUCAGUCGGUCCCAGGGUGACCGCAUACGAUGCCCCAGAGGGUUCGGACUCGCCUCUACGAGAGCGUCCACCAAAGCGAAGCCGCUUGGCGGGUCGAGGCUGAAUCCAAGGGGCUUGAGAUGGGAAUCGGUCGGUACCUCUUGGUCGACGGGCGGUGAGGAAGUCACGCCAGGGACUGACUGCACCGUCGUCCCAGGUACGAGGGUGACGCCCAGCAAGCCUUUCGCGAGCGUGCUGGCGUCGUCCGUUUGCUUGGGAUUGGCGUGUUGCGGGGAGACGGUGCUCGUCUUCGUCUCAAACGCGAGGUCGAUGCCCAACGCGCCCCCCAUUGGGGCGCCGGUGCCGUCGACUUGCUCGACAGCCGACGAGGUGCCGCCUCCUGCUUGGCCUUGGUUGCCCCGCCUCCUCCUCCGUCGGCGGGGGAGACGGCGGGGCGAGCUCGAAUGUUGUUCUUCCACCAUGCGGGGAAGACGUCAUCGAUUCCGCCACCGGCGGGCGGGCUGUCGGCCGCCAUUGUCGCUGUCGCACGGUGGGGGAAGGAGUAUCAUGUCGUAGCUGCCGUCGAGGGACAUGAACUCAAGACUCCCGAAAUGGAGCACUGUCCCGGGCUGGAAAGGUUGCUGGAGACUGCCCAUCUAGAGCUUGACGGGUAGCUGUUCGUCAACACGCAGCAGGCCCCUACUUGGCGCGCCAACUGUCGGCGUUUCGAGAACGGGGGGUCCCUAUGCCGACGAGUGAAAUGUCGCCGCGUGCCCCAACCCAGAUGGGUCGCCGCGAGACGGAGCACGAAGGGGGGAAGAAGGCGGCCGGAGCGAGAGAGGGAGAGAGGUGGAAAUCCCGCGACCUUCGUGUUUGUCCCGUGCCCAGGUCGGGUGCGCUUGCAGUAGGGGGUUAUAAGCGUCCACGCGGGAGAGGGACCGAGCGGCCCCACGCGAGCGCCUGUCCCGUCCUCUUCCCCGCGCGGCCAACCCUCUGUAAGAGGGCCCUGGUCCUUCCUUUUAUAGGCGCAAGGAGAGGAUCUAGGUGUACAAUGGGGGUGUAGCAGAGUGCUAACGUGUCUAGCGGAGGAGAGCUAGCGCCCUAAGUACAUGCCAUCGUGGCAGCCGGAGAGGUUUUUGCACCCGGUUCGUGUGGUGUCGUGGCCGUCGGAGGAGCGCUGGAGCCUGGCGGAAGGACAGCUGUCGGGGCUGUUGAGUCCUUGCUGACGUCCUCUUGCUUUCGUAAGGGGGCUGAGAGCCGCCGUCGUCAUAGAGCGUGCGGGGUGCCAUCAUUACUUGUCUGGCGGAGCGAGCCAGAUGGGACGCCGGUCUUGUUCCCCGUAGCCUGAGUCAGCUUGAGGUAGGGUAAUGAUGGCGCCUCCUAUUGACGUGGUCGGUCCGUGCCCUAGGUUGGGCGAUGUGGAGGCUCCUCCGAGGUCGAGGUCGAGUCUGUUUUCCGAGACCGAGGUCGAGUCCGAGCCCCUGGGUCGGGCGAGGCGGAGACCGUCGGCGGAGGCCAGGGCUGAGUCCGAGCCCUGGGGUCGGGCGAAGCGGAGUUCGUCGUCUUCAGGGGGUGAGCCCGAGUCCAAGCCCUGGGUCGGGCGGAGCGGAGUUCGUCGUCUUCCGGGGCUGAGCCCGUGUCCGAGCCCUGGGUCGGGCGGAGCGGAGUUCGCCGUCUUCCAGGGCUGAGCCCGAGUCCGAGCCCUGGGUCGGGCGAAGCGGAGUUCGCCGUCUUCCGGGGCUGAGCCCGAGUCCGAGCCCUGGGUCGGGCGAAGCGGAGUUUCCUAUGGUGCUUGAGGCCGGGCCUGACUGCCUGUCAGCCUCACUCUGUCGAGUGGCACAGCAGUCGGAGCGGCGCAAGCGGUGCUGUCCUUCUGUCAGGCCGGUCAGUGGAGCGGCGAAGUGACUGCGGUCACUUCGGCUCUGUCGACUGGAGGGCGUGCGUCAGGAUAAAGGUGUCAGGCCACCUCUGCAUUAAAUGCCCCUGCGAUUUGGUCGGUUAGCGCGGCGAUUUGGCCAGGGUUGCUUCUUGGCGAAGACUGGGCCUCGGGCGAGCCGGAAGUAUGUUCGUCGCUGGAGGGGGGCCUCGGGCGAGACGGAGAUCCUCCGGGGUCGGCUGCCCUUGCCCGAGGCUAGGCUCGGGCGAGGCGUGAUCGAGUCCCUCGAAUGGACCGAUCCCUGACUUAGUCGCACCCAUCAGGCCUUUGCAGCUUUGUGCUGAUGGGGGUUACCAGCUGAGAAUUAGGAGUCUUGAGGGUACACCUAAUUAUGGUCCCCGACAAUAAUAUAAAUCAAAGUGCACAUAAUAGAAACGUAGCCAACCUAAAUAAACCCACCACAGGCAGCUGACUGGGGGAGCUCGCUAGCCUAAUCCUCGAACUCGCCGAAGUCCUAGAACUCCUGGAGAUCCGCCUCGACACCUUCUUCUUUACCUGAGCAUAGAUUGCACCAAAGGCAACCUAGUGUUUUGUGAAAGCAAGGGUGAGUACACAUCAAUGUACUCAGCAAAUGUCCCGUUUGGCUGAGGUGGACUAGCUUUAUGUGGGGUUAAGCUCAAGCAGUUGCUUUUAGUUGGUCAGGUAUUUAUUAUUAGUGGAAGCCAAGUUUUAGUAAUAGCCAACCCGUGAACCAUUUCCUCAUCGAGGAAACAUCGUUAUCAUCAUCGAACCAAAACCAUCACUAGAAUCAUUGUAUCUUAGAUCAUCUAUAUCUUUAAUCAAAGAGGAUCCCAAGGCCGCUCAUAACCAUGAGCACGGCUGAUAUAUCAGUUUCAUUCCUCUACAGAGGUUGCACAUUUUACCCACGAGUCGUGGUUCACUUUCUGCCUGGAGAGAGCUACUCUCCAUUGACCACUACCUAGGUGGCCUGGCAGGUUAUCACUACAUAGCCUUUACAAAGACUCCCCUAGUGCAUAGCUGCUCAUUAGGUUUCGCUAGUUGUACAAACACAGUACACCUCCCUAAGGUGGGUGACUAACAAAACCAAAUUGAAUGAACCUCUGCACCCCCCCUUGGUAGAGCGAGCACUACGCCCUGGCCCCCAUUGAUGGCCCUCAGGCAAAGCCAACUACACCCCUAGGUUCAUCUAAUUAAUUAGCAAAGGGCGUCCCAUUCCACCCUCAUGGUUGCAUUGUUAUCCCGGGUGGUCACUCCACGAACAGGUCCUUACGGAGAGGUACUCAGGGAAAAUGGCUUGAGCCCCCUAAAAUAUCACAAGAUCAUCAUCGAUAUAACAUCAUCGUAUCAUAAAUAUUCACAUCAUGUUCAUUGAUUAAGUUAAAGCAAUAGCAUGAAGCUAACCAUAAUAACCCAAAAGGUAAUCAAGGACAAGGUAAAUACAAUGCUAGUCAAUCCUUAGGUUUCAAUUGAGUAAUGCGGGAUAGUGAAUUAUAAAGUAAAUAGGACAUAAUUGGUUAGAGGACACUUGCCUUCACCAAACAGAUGCUAAGGGUCUUCAAUCUCGUGGAACUCGAAGAACUGGAUCACUUGGUCGCCAACGCUUGAUCUUCGAUCCCUCGAAGCUCGGAAAUGGAUCGCAAUCUAUUCGCGACGCACAUCGAAUACAAACAAGCACAAACAAAAAAACACAUAUAUAUGCAUAAGAACAUUACACCAUUCAAAUAAAAACAUAAGAAAACAUGCAAAACGAAAUAGAGCGCGUUACUACGGCCACGUGAGGAAAAAGAAACGUCGAACUCGAAGCUACGGUCGAGAAAUUGUAACGUUUACGCUACGCUGGUAAUAGUCAGGACAUUUAAUUUGACAUUAUCAAAUAUAAAUUAUAACUGCUAUUUAGUUUUGAUUAAUUCUGCUACAACAAAUAAAUAAGUAAUAUAAUUAGCACGAGAGAUUAUAUGCGAGGCGAGUUUAUGACACACGAAACAGCACGACAACGUGCAGAACGACACGCGGACACGUACGACAUAUGCGAACGGCAAUGCACACUACAUGCAAAACGACGCGUGUGUCACGCGCGAAUGACGUGUGGCGACAUGCGACAAGGUGUGCGACAUGCAAAACAAAGCGUGAACGAUGCACAGCCACACGCGACUUAGCGCGCUGACGACGCGUGAAGCAGCACGCCACCGCGUGCGGAACAGCACACGCGAGAGGUGAGAAAAACUAAAUAGGUGACAUGUUUACAGUUUACACUAAACAAAUAUUAAAUAAACUAAAGUAUUUAAGUUAACAUUAACCAUGGUAAUGUUUAUUAUCAAAGCGUAAGUCGAAGACUAUACAUAAUUAAAUUGGAAUAUUAAUCUAAUCAACAUUAGUCGAGCAAACAUUAAAUAAAUUAUUUAAAAUAUGUGACCCGACAUACUGCUCCGGGCGAGGUGAGACGCAGUGGCGACGACAAGCGCAUGGGUUGCGCAGUGGCGGGCGCACGAUGACGUGAUGUACAGGCAAAACGCUGCCAAAGCGAGGCAAGCCGAGCGCGGCCAUGGCAUGGCGCGCAGGGGUGCGACAUAGGGCCUGCUCGGCGGCUGUGCGAGGGCAAGGAGGAAGAUGGGACUGAACUGCACAGGAGAAAGAGAUGCGCGAGGCUCAGACGGACGGUUUAACGGAUAAGAGGAGCAGUGGGGCGGGCAGGGCCCUGAGCAGGCGCGCAUCCGCACAAAUUGCGCGACGUGGGCGCGGUUGACUGUGGGAGACGCGACUGGAGUGCGUAGGGCAGUGUGUGGCGUGCGGGUAUGGCGCUUGGCGCAGGCUGGCCGCUGGGCCCCGCGGCCAGGGGCAGCGCACGGCAAAUCGUGGCCUGGGCGUGAGACGCCGCGUGCGGGGUUGACCGAGCUGGAGUGCGGCUGGGCAGCGUGAAGGGAGAGCGCGCGUGGCUGCUGGGCCUAGGCGGCUCGCGCGCAGAGCUAUCCUAUGGGAUGGGCCGCGAGGAGCUGGGCUGCGGGGAGGGGCUUCUGGCUGCCGAGAGGGUAGGCUGGGCUUUUUCUAUUUCUCUUUCUUUCUCUUUUCUUUAUUUGUUUUUUCUAUCAUUUGAAUUUAGCAUCGAGUGCAAAAACAACUAAGCGAAUGCACAUCCAAUAAUUUCAUCAAUCAAAACAUAUUUUCCAGCAUGAUACAUGAACAACAAUUCUUGUAGGGUUUUAUUAGCAACUAUGUUUGAAGUAACAUUCCCUACUACUUGGGAAGAAGUGAAUAAAGGAGCGAAAAAAGAGAGAGAAAAAGAAGGUAACACCUGAAUUUGAUGGAUAUUAGAAAAGAAAUUUUAUACCCCAAAUUCAGGGUGUUACAUUCGGCAAAAAAUUGGAGGAAUCUUCUCAACUUUGCUUUACAUUCCACAUUUAAUUUAAGCAUUUUACUUUGUUCAAUUGUUUAGCAAGUAGUUGAAGUAAUGACUUAGGAUUGUUGUUUUUCUAGUAGUACUCUCUUAUUGCAAGUAAUUUGGUGAAGUUGGGCUCUUGCUUAGGGUUUAAUAUUUGCUUAGGGUUUAAUUGUUGUUGAUUUUUUAGAAAAACCCAAUUCACCCCCCUCUUGGGCAUCGUGAUCCUUUCACCAUAUUUAACUUCGAUUGGGUGAAAAUAUACUUCAAACUCUUGUGAUCAGUAUAUAUAUGACAUACAUUUCCCAUUAGAUAAUGACUCCAAAUUUUAAGGACAUGAACUAAUGUGGCCAAUUCGAAAUCGUGUGUUGGGUAAUGUUCCUCAUGCCGACGUAGCUGUCUUGAGGCAUAAUCUAUUAUUCGUCCUUCUUGCAUCAGAACACAUCGAAGCCCAAUGCCUGAUGCGUCACAAUAUACAUCAAACGGCUUCUCAAUAUCCGGUUGAGCCAAAACCGGUGCAGUGGUCAGUAAUGUUUUCAAUUGUUCAAUGGCCUCAUUGCACUUGGGAGACUAGUUAAACUUAACAUUAUUAUUCAAUAGCUCCGUGAUAGGUUUAACAAUCUUGGAGAAAUUCGUGAUAAACCUACGGUAAUAACUAGCCAGUCCAUGAAAGCUUCUAACCUGAUGUACUGUGGUAGGGGAUUUCCAUUCUAUAAUAUCCUUAACCCUGCUAGGAACAACCGCAAUCCAUUUUUUAGAUAAAACAUGCCCUAAAAAUUGGAUUUCCUCUAACCAAAACGCACACUUGCUGAAUUUAGCAUAAAGUUGAUGUUCUCUUAAGCACAUUAAAACAAUCCACAAAUGUUCUGCAUGCUCCUCCUUAUUCUAGGAAUAAAUCAGAAUAUCAUCAAUAAAGACCACCACAAACUUAUCUAAUUCGGGCAUGAACACCGAAUCCAUUAAAUAUGUGAAAUGGGCUCGAGCAUUUGUUAAUCCAAAGAACAUAACCAGAUACUCGAAUAAACCAUAUCGAGUUGUGAAAGUCGUCUUGGGUAUAUCCUCGGAUCGAAUUCUUAUCUGAUGAUAGCUCGAUCUGAGAUCAAUUUUUGAAAAUACCCGGGCUCCAGUAAGUUGAUCGAAUAAAAGAUCGAUCUGGGGAAGGGGAUACUUGUUUUUAUUGGUAACUUCAUUAAGGGGUCGGUAGUCCACACACAUUCGUAGGGUUUGAUCCUUCUUCUUAACGAAGAUGGCUGGACAUCCCCAUGGCGAUAAACUCGAUCUGAUAAAUCCCUUCUCCAACAAGUCUUGUAAUUGCGUCUUUAGUUCAGCCAACUCAUUGGGGGGCAUACGGUACGAUCUUCUAGAAACAGGAGUCGUACCAGGUUUCAAUUCAAUCACAAACUCUAUGUCCCUUUCUGGAGGUAAUCCGGGUAAAUCUUCAAGGAAUACAUCCGGAAAUUCACACACAACUGGGAUGUCUGGUAUCUCUUGCACUAUGGCUUCAAAAACUUGUCCAGAUACUUUGACUGGGACAGAUACAGGGAUGGACAACAUGAUUUCUUCUUGUCCAUGACUUAGCUGAAUAGUUCUUUGAUCGGCAUUGAUAAUAGCCUUAUUCUGGGCUAACCAAUUCAUGCCCAAAAUCACAUCUACAUCUUGCCCCUUUAUAACUAUCAUAUUGGUGGGGAAAUUGUGACACCCCAGUGUCACCUAGGGUUUCUCUCAGUGCUAACCCAAGAAUCAAUAUUUUAUGUGAACCAAAUUGAGCAUGAGCACCAAGUUAACUCAAGAAUAAAAGAUCUAAAUAUAUAUCUAAAGAAUCAUGUCCCAAACAAAUAAGAUUUUCAAAAAGAGCAAGAUGUUGAAACCCUAAUACCAACCCUAAUCAAGCUAUCUAAGUAGAGAUAAAGAAAAGGGGUAAAAGGCCAUGAAAAAUUUAAAAUCAUGGCUUAGGCCAAAUAUAAACAUUGAAAUAUACUAAAUAAGCUAUAAUAAAGAUUAUGGAAGCUUGGCCAAAAUAGUUUAAUAAAAUCUCCAAACAAGCUUCUCAAGUGAGGGUUCAAUAGGGAUUUCUGAAAUUCAGAAUUCUGAAUUUCAGCCCUUGAGCCUAAGACCGAGCGUGUUCACCUUGAUCCCUAGCUCAAAUCCUAAUGACCCCAUUGACAAAAUUGUGCCUAACUAAUCCCUCUAUCUCAUGUCAGAAGAUGUCAUCGGGACGCGUGCCUUGGACACAUCAAACCCGUGAUCUUCUCUCUAUGCACGGCAGUGAGACAAACCAGAUUUCUCCCCUCUCUAUCUCUUGAUCCAGUCAGCGAAACCUGCAAGCCUCCACACACAAAUGACAAAGGAAUGUCAGAGGAAGAGAUCUCUCCACGGGAUCAUGGCCAUAAUCUCAAAGAUUUGGAGCCAAUCCACGCUUGAACUCGACCUCUCUCUGUGCUGCCUCGUGCUCGACGCCGUGCCAGGCGCCAGAGCGCGCACUGGCGUUCGCCCGCGCAUGCCUCGAGCACCUGUCAAAGCCUCGCCCUUGGCCAUGCUCGCCCGUGCCUAUAAAGCUUCCCCGGGCGCGCCUCACCUCACCCCGUGCUCACUUUCGUCGGCCAGACGCCCCUCCUUAGCUCCGACAAGCUCUUUUCCGCUCGCCAUUGCCACCCUAGCCUCGGCCACCGUGCCCAGCCCAAUCCAGUCGCUUCCAAGCCGCGCCAGCCGCUCGGAUAGCUUCGCCAAGAGCUUGUGAAGCUUCCCAAGCCCUUGGACCCAGCAGAACUUCAACAGAGAGCCAAGAUCGUCCUCGCCGGACGUCGGCCGCCCGCCUGCGCGCGUAGACCGAGCAAUCCGGUGAGCCAUUCUUCAAUUCCUCGCACACACACCUUCCUUGAUCCCUGGUGAAGCUCCUAACCCGUUUGUUUGGUCAAUUGUGCCCUGGAUAGGCCGGACUCCUCGCCGCCGGCAAGCUCCCCUGCCUGCGCACGUGGACCGGCCAACUUCGACCAUCCCCGACGGCGACCCGCACAUCACCGUGACCCUCAAGACCUCCCCUACACCCUCGGCCACCUCACCGGACCAGUCUCGCCGCCUGUAAGCCCCUCCGCCCUUUCCUCCGCCGUGGGUACUGUUUGAUUUGGGGGAAGGACCUCGGGUUAGGUUUAGAGGAACCCUAGGGGGUUUUCUGAUCUGUCAGCGACUCAUUUGAACAGUAGCCCAAGGACUAGUCUCUAAGGAAACUUGAAAACACCCGCCAGGGACCCCGUUGCAAAGUAGUUUUCCUUUUAAUCAUUUCUGUUUAAUCUUUUAAAUAAAUAGAGAACUUAGGAAAUUCAUAACUUGGGAAAUACUUAACCAAAAAUUUUCAAACCAAUUUUGCUGGAUUCUAAAUAUUAUGGACUACCAACUAAAAAUACUGAACCCCAUGCUUUCUGUUCUAAAUUUUAGAGUUUAGAAUUAAAUACAGAAACUAACCAAACCUUAUUUAAUUAAAGAAAAUUAGUUAUGCUUCUGUGCUGAACCUAAAAAAAAUUGUAGAUGUUCAAACCCCAUUUAAACACUAUUUAAAAAUAGUGAGAACCCCAGUAUUGAAAAGUUAAGUAGGGAUACCUAUUAAAAGCCAUUUUUCCCAAAACUUAGGAAAAUCAGAAAGGCAUUAGAAAUAAUGAACAGUGAGUGCAAUUAUUUUUCCUAGCCUACUUAAGUAACAGAAAACCUAGGAAAAAUAAAAAGACCACUAGUCCAGAACAGAAUUAAAGUGAAAUGUUUUAUUUAGCAUUAUUCCAACUAGAAAACAAUUAUUAGAAUUAUAAAAACAAUUUCAAAAUUUGUCAUAAAAAUCCAGUGGACUUGUAACCACUAUAACCCCACUACAAAAAUGAUAACCACCCCAGCCCAUCAUUUUAAGUAGGGUAAACAGAUAAAAAUUGAUAUUGGGUCCUAUUUCAAAAUAAAUCAUGAACAACGCAAAAAUGGUGCAAUAAUGGGCAAAUAAAAUUUUGCUAGAUCAAUAAUGAGAUAGGCCACCAGAGAAAAAUGCAAACCCAUUUGAAAGAUGCAAAAUAGUACCUAUUGCCAAUACUUCAUGAAAAAAGCCAUUUAAUCCAAAUAAUCCCUACCACCCCUCCCUUAUGCAAAGAGAUGCCAAACUUCAGAAUGAUUACUCUUACACAAAGAAGAAGCUAUGAAAAAUCAGAAAUCUGUUGUUUGAUAUUUUUCAAAUAUAGUGGUAGUAGAAAGCACCCUUUGACUAGAAACUUUCGAAAAUCAUAGUAAAAUAACUAGAGGAUAUUAAGGGAUAGAAAUUUGUGCAAAGUCAUGUUAUAACAUCUAAAUGCCAGCAAAAAUAGGUCUUAGAUAAUAACCUACUAUUAAAUGGUAGUUGUAGUUCAAAGCACCCCUUCUGCCCUAAUAUUUGAUAAUUUUAUCUAGAGAGAACUAUUCACUUUUUGAACCCCAAAUUUUGAGACAGAGAAUUAUACACCAGUAAAAAGCCCCUGUAAGUUUUGCAGAAUUUUUGGAAAUUUAUUAAGUUAACUUGUAGUUCAAACCCACUUUAAAACAUUAAAGAAAUAGAGGGAAAGAAAGGAAAGAUAAACCUCGCCCCAAUAAGUUCAACUUGAAAUCUUUACAAUUCCCACUAAGGUUUUAAAAAGAAUUCAGUGGAACACCAAAAUGGACUGACCACUUAGUUUAACCGAGUGUGAUCUAAAUUACUAAGUAUACCACGAAAAAUCUUUAGUAGCAAGACUAAACUCCAUCUGAUUUAAGUGGAUCAUUCACCAUCAAAGUUUAAUUGCUAAAGCACAUAUCAUAUCAUGCAUGUAUCUUACUCAUUGCAUUCAUUAGAUUGUAAUCUCGCUGACGGAGAGUACGUGCUCAUCCCCGAGCAAGGAACUGUCCAAGAGGAAGACCAGGAGCAAGCUCCUGAGGCUGCCAUUGAGGAUCUCCCCACAGCCCCAACUAUUGAAGGCAAGCCCCGGUUUUAUGCAUAACCGUAUUAUUAUAUGCUACUUUACUACACUUAAUGCUUGUAGGAUUCUAAUGUGCACUUAAGUGUAGGAGUUGCUUGAAACCUCUAGUUGCAUGAACUUAGGAUUCCUUUUUGAGAUGGAUACUAGUAUGCUAGGUCGAGUAGCUGCUAUGCUAAUCAGGAUCUUGGUAGAAGUUGAGUGAUUUUUCUAGCACUCGCGCGAGGUCAGGAAUUGAUUGUAUUCAUCUUGAUAACGGGAUCUAUGUUAGUCUAUGGACUUGGAUCCAGGGAGGAUGCCUUGUCCAUGAGACGGGAAAAAGGAAUUAAGAAUUAAUGUGUGGAUUCCUGAGUCAAGCUUUUGAACGUACUAAGCACAUGUUGGGAAAUAUGGUAACCGGUAAACCUAGUACCUGAGUGAAGCCGGGCGUGGACUUUAUCCCUCACGCGACCUGAGACUAGGUCUCCCAUGCUAGCUAUGGUGGGUGCAAGUGCGGUCAUUGCACGGUGGCAGCCGGGGUCAGUGCAGCAUUGUAUGCCAAGGCGGUGAGGCCUGGACACGAACGGAGAAUCGAUGGGGACGGUUGACAUGUGUGGGGACGGAGUGCCCUGACAUGUCGUGUGUUUAGGUUUACCUUGCAAGGAUAAAACUCGAUUUGAAUCGUCUGCUUCUCGCAGCUAAUGACACUGCUUGACCCCUUGUACUACAUCGAGUAAGAAGUGAAAUGAGGUUACAUGAGACAAUUUGUUGAUUGAACUAAAUGCCUGCUACCAUGUAUGCUUAGAAGGAGCAAACUUAGUAAAGCUAAUGAUGCUAGAAAUGGAAAAGCUAAAACUUGAUCUUAGAUACAGUUAGCGCUUUUGGCAAACCAAAUCCCUCAGCCAAACAACUGCAUGGUCUAGAGGUAGAGGAGUAGUUUCCUCACACCGGGUAAGUCUAGCUGAGUAUUAGUAUACUCAGCCUUGCUUGUGGCAUAAUUUUUGCAGGUACGCUUCAGGAUAUGGUUGAUGGUGUGACUUGGCCUACCAUCCUGCCACCGGGUUGGGCGGUCGAGUGGGAUGCUGCUCCGACAGGAGAGGAGCACGAGGAGUAGUGGGCUAGGCCUUACCCAUUUCCUCGCUACCGACGACAUCGAUUAUUCGCUGCAUCUUAUUUUAUGAACUCUAUCAGCAACUUGAAAAACUCAGAUUUAUGUAAUAAUUCAGUACUUUAAUAUGAGGUUUCCUGUUUUAUUAUAUUUCUUCUGUGACUCACCUUCGAGUGAGUAUGUGGUAUUUGAUCCUGGUUAAGUGGCUUUAUCAGACUAGAUCUGAGGGACUGACGGGUUAUUCCGAUUUAAGUGUGUUACGGCCCUUGAGGCGUGACUUAGGCAUUUAAGCUGGAAUAAUUUGGGCGGUUUUGCCACAGCUGGUAUCAGAGAAAAUACCACCACAGAGAAGGACAAUAAACCAUGAAUACCAAUUUUCAAAAUCUAAAACUUGCUUAGAAACUGCUAAGAAUCGUCAGGACUUGACCGCUAGACCUAGGACGAAAGGCCUUAGGGUUAGUGGGAGAAAUAGGUGGCUAAUUAAGUAGGCCAUGUGGGCCAAUCCUUAGCUUUUGAAGGGCGCCCUAGGAGCCCCCUUUUAUUUGCAUUUGGAGAGGAGACGUUGAUUUCAGCAUGCAUGCAUUAUAAAAACUAAAAGGAAUUAAAACUUGAGCUAACCCGCUUCAUUUUAAAACCAUCUAGGCUCUUUUAUUUUCUUCCUUCCACCAUAAUCUUUACCUUUGAUACCCUUCUGCAGAUGAAUUCACCCACCCCCGCCAGCGGAGGAGACACUCGUUUCAGCUCUGACUUCCUUUCUCACGAUGGCUUUCCUUCCAUCUUAUGGGAAGUGCUUAAUUCCGCCAGUUACCCUACGCCCCCUUUGUACACGGUGCAGUUGUAUGAGGAGCAUCGAGUACCUCGUUGUCGAGUCUGGCUGACGUUGGAGGCUCAUCCCCUUCAGCCGGGUUGGCAUUCUCUUGACUCCGAGAUGAUUGGAUUCAGGACGGACGACACCACUGAAGCGGUAGCCAUGAAGACUCUGACAACUUUCUGUGGCUACCAUCCCCUGGAGAUGGUAUUGCACCCCUUGGGACUCUUCCCUGCUGAGAAGAAGGAUGACCCCAUGUGGUGUAACCAUGUGAGCCAUGUGAAAGAUAUGUGGGCAAUGUAUCCUGACUUGGUUGGGAGGGUCACUGUUCAGUGCAUGAGUGCGCUGUACCGCCUUCAGGCCCUGCAGAGCGACGCUAUGGCACACCUUGCUAACAUCGCUCAAACCACAAAGCUCACCCUCGACAGCCGAGAAGAUUUUGUGGUCGACUUAUCCUUCGAGUUGGUGGAGAAGGAUUUGCAGGUGGAAAGGCUGAGCCAGCGCAUUACCACCCUGGAGCAGCAGGUGGAGAACUGAGACAACACUAUCGAUGUCUUGGAGAACCAGCUCCAUUAUGUGCAGCGAGAACUCGAAGAAGCCAAUGACCACCUGGACAUGCACCACUUGGAGAUGGAGGCCAAUGAAGCCGAAAGCGAGGGAGAAGAGGCUCCCGAGGAGUUAGGACCAACCCCUGGUGCCAAUGGGACUACCUCCACGAUGCCCCCUUUACCCGCAUCCAGUGUCGCUUCCAUCGCUCAGGGUUGAUCAGUCACUUUGACGCUUUAGGCGGAUAGAAACCUACGCGAGCUUAGUUAUAUCAGAUUCUGGACUAGGCUUACGGGUACUUUCCCCUAAUUGAUGUAACCCUUGUGAACUUUUGAAAUCUGUGGGAUGUUGUAACCUUGUUAUCUUCAUUUCAAACCUAAUAUUAUGAUUAUGGCAUUUUCUUCCCAUAUGAGAUAAUAGCUUGUCGUCCGAAAUUGUGAGUUGGGAUAACAAUGGCAACAAUCUCUAUUUCAUAUGGUAGCUAGGCAGCGUCGCGGGCAUAACGAGCAGGUUCCCCCGCCACCUCCUCUAGCUCCCACAGUGCAGGAGCUGAUGGCCUAGUAGAAUGAGAUUCUGCGAUAGCUCUUGCAACGUCAGCCCCACCCUCAGAAGCAUGGUGGAGGCCAGCAUCAGUGACCUCCGGCAGCGGCAACCUACUAGGAGUUCCUGAGCACGCAGCCACCCUUGUUCACCAAGGCAGAGAAUCCGUUAGACGCCGACGUGUGGCUCCGCGUCGUUGAGUCCAAGUUUCCCCUCCUCACGGGAGACUGCCCUGAUGAUGCCAAGGCUCGCUUCGCCGCGCAGCAGCUUCGCGGCCCUACUCGGACUUGGUGGGACCACUUCCGUGCUAUGCUCCCCGCUGAUCAUGAAGUGUCUUGGGAGGAAUUCAAGACUGCUUUCAGAAGGCACCACAUUCCAGCCGGAAUUCUCGAUCGCAAGCUGAAUGAGUUUCUAGCACUUAAUCAAGGAACCCGCACAGUAUUGUAGUACGUUUAGGCCUUCAAUGACCUGUGCCAGUAUGCAGGUUACCAUGCUGAUUCGGAUGAGAAGAAGAGAGACCGCUUCCGCAAGGGUCUCAAUACCAAGCUGCGGGAACGACUCAACACUGUCCGGGCAAAUAGCUUCAAUGAGUUGGUCAACCUAGCCAUCUCCCAGGAGGAUUGUAUUGUAGCUCACCGGGCAGAGAAGAAGAGAAAGGCACCAAUGGCAGCACCAUCCGCUCGGGCCCAGAGGUUCAAGAUUGUUUCUCACAAUCAGAGCAGGGGAUUUCAGCAGCAGGCAGGCAGAUGGGUGAUCAGGCCACCUCAGCAGCAGCAGCCGGCACCCAACCAUUUUUGAGCUCCCGCUCCAAGGAACAAUCAGCCUCCGCAGCAGCAGUAGUUCCACCAGGGCAAUGGGAACAAGUGCUUCACUUGUGGCAAUGUGGGCCACUAUGCCAAGAAUUGCCCUAGAAAUCAGCAGAGGCAGAUGCCAGCACCAAAUCAAGACAAGGGAAGAAAGCAGAAGAUACAAGUCAAGCAAGGGAAGCUCAACUUCACUACUCUGGAGGAAGUACCUAAGGGAGCCCCCAUCAUGACCGGUAUCUUUUCAGUUUAUAAUCAACCUGCUUUAAUUCUGUUUGAUUCUGGUGCAUCUCAUAGUUUCAUUAGCCAAAAGUUCAGUGCUUAAUGUCAACUGCCUUUCUAUCACUCAAAAGGUCAUUUAUGAUAGCCACACCUGGGGGUAAAAUUGCAACUAAUCAAUUAAACCAAAGUGUGCCUAUUCAACUGGGAAGCCACAUUGUCAAAACCACCCUUCUUGUUUUGGGUCUGGAAAAUGUGGACAUUAUUCUGGGUGCUAAUUGGAUGACCCUGCACCAAGUAGUGCUUGAUGUAGCCAGCCGCAUCGUGGAAAUCAAUUCCCCGUUCUAUAGGAACUUCACCUUAAUUCUGCCCAGUCAAGGUUCUACUCAGUCAUGUGCUUUCUCUAUGACGGAGUUACCUCUGAAGAAGAUUCUAGUGGUUUGUGAGUAUGCGGAUGUCUUUCCUGAUGAAUUGCAAGGAAUGCCACCAGACUGGGAUAUUGAAUUCGCCAUCGAGUUCCAACCGGGAAUGACACCAAUUUCUAAUAGGCCUUACCGGAUGCCACCCGCUGAGUUGGCAGAAUUGAAGAAGCAAUUGCAGGAGUUGCUGGACAAAGCAUUUAUUCGCCCAAGUACUUCACCUUGGGGAUGUCCAGCUGUUGGGGAGCUUCGUCUUCGGAAGGACCUCAAAAACAUAAUUUAACAAUGUUUUCCGAGUGUAAUAUGUGAACAGGCGCCUUCUGUCUCGGAUCAGAAUCACACGGAGUGAAAAGCAUGAACAAUACAAAGGUUGACGCAGCGCCGAAGCUACACGCAAGGAAGCUUCGGCAUAACAGCAGAAAAGGGGAACCGACUUAAAAGGGAAAAGGCUAUUUAGACCUCGGUGGAUUACCUUAAAGUUAUUAGCAAAUGUAAAGGGCCUAAAUGUAAUUUUACACGGGCUGUGUCCCAUGCCUAUAAAUAGGUGAACAGUACCCCCGUACUGUUCACGAUGACUGGUACCUGAUUUUGCGUCACAAUUGUACUUUUUGCCUUCUGUCAAGCCGAAGGUACUUUUGUAAUUCAACAUUGUUUUUACCUUUUCAUGGUAAUAUAAUAAGAAUGAGUCAACAACGUUAUAUGAUUGUUUAUGUCGUUUCUUAUAUUUCAUAUGCUUCUUCUUUUAUUAAUGCAUGCUGCAAUGAUGAAGGUGUGUCCUUCAUGACCUUCGUCUGAAGAUCAUUAUAUCCCAAGGGGAAUAAUGUUUUGAAGGACAAAGGGCAUUAACAUUUAACAUCUUGUGUUGCCUUGUUCUUAAUUCAUAGUAUUUGAGAACAAGUCCCCAACAUUGGCGCCCACCUCCUGUGAACCUUUUUCGACCACCUUUGGCAAACACUGACUUUCGUCAUGCCACCGAAGAAAGCUUUGGCGUCAGGGCUGCCGCGCUGCAGCCACUGGACCCGAACCAGGAGACCCUUUCUCUUCGAGAGGCCCGAAGCUAGAAGAGGAAGGCCACUAGUCCAACACUCCAGGAGGAGGAGUUGGACCAAGAAAUCAGAAACAUGGAGAUAAUCCAUCAGCAAGUGCAAAGGAAGGAGAAGAUGGCUCGACUAGCUAAUCUUCAAAGGCAGAUCGACGAAGCCACUGAAGAAGUAUGCCAUCUUGUUCAAGAUGAACAAGAUCGAAGGCCCCAACACAGGGAGCUUCAUCAAGAAGGUUUGUUUAACAACGAUGGAUGGUAUGACGAUUUUAAUCAUGCUACCUUUACUUUUGAUGAUGCUUCUCCCUUGGCAGUAGAACUGUAGGCUAUCCCAUGGCCCCCAUCAUACAAGCCACCUCAGCUUCCCAUGUAUGAUGGGCAUUCAGACCUGAAGCAGUUUUUGAUGAGUUAUGAAGCAACUAUAUCCUCAUAUGGAGGCAAUGCAGCUGUCAUGGCCAAGUCCUUCGUCAUGGCAGUUUGGAAUGUGGCCCAAACAUGGUAUUUUUCUCUUCGGCCAGGGACCAUUACUUCAUGGCAGAAGCUCAAGGAUAUGCUGGUGACAAGUUUUCAAGGCUUCCAGAUGAAGCCAGUCACAGCUCAGGCCUUGUUUCAGUGCACACAAGAUCAUGAGGAAUACCUCUAGGCAUAUGUCCGAAGGUUCUUGCGUCUCAGAGCACAAGCGCCUACAGUGCCCAAUGAAAUUGUCGUUGAAGCCAUGAUUAAGGGGCUUCGUCCAGGACCUACUGCUCAGUAUUUUGCUAGAAAGCCCCCACAGACUCUGGGUGGGGGCUCUGGAGAAGCUGCUUCAGAAGAUGGAUGAGUAUAUCCGGGCUGAUAAUGACUUCCGCCAAAGAAGGGAAGAAGCAUACAGGUUCUCUGAAAUGACCAGGGGCUUCGAAGGAAGAAUCCACCCGAGACACAUCAGGUCAAUCCACAACUCCACCUAGAGUGAUGAUAGAGGAAGUCAACAGCAGAGGCCGCAGUAUUCUUCGCAAGCUUCUGGGCAGCAACAAAGCUCUUUCCGGCCGCCAGCUCCAAGAGGCAGAGGCGCCAGGGGCUUCGGAGGAAGAUAUGGGGACCAGCCCAGGAAGAUCUACUGCUUAUUUUGUGGUGAAGACAAGGGCCACAAUACAAGAACGUGUCAAAUCACCAUCCAAAAGCAAAAGGAGAUUGCAGAAGCCGAAGCCUGGCAAAGUCAACCAAAGCAGGUCCUGCACACUGCUUCAUGUCAUUCACCCUACAUACCAGAAUAUGUGGGUAAUCAUCCCGCAGCUUCUGUUGAUUCGGCUAGUCAGCCGCAAGUUUCUUGGCCACAACUUCCACCUCCACCGCCACUACAACCUGCCUACUCACGAGGUCAGCAGCCAGAAGGGAGCCAAUAGACCCAUCAGCAGCGAGAUUUCAGAGAAGGGUCCGAAGCUCGCACAGUUAAUAGCACUGUGCCAGAAUCAAAACACAUAUAUUCCGAGAUAUCCUACCCCUGGCACAGUUUUAUAUUCACUGUCAUUUUCUUUUUAAAUAAGGAACUAUCAAUGUAAAACUAGUUUUCUUGUCAUUUUUAAUUUCCUGUACUAAGCUUCGUUCAUGUCAAAAUGGAAUAUACCUUCGUCACAGACUUAUGAGAAUGCCGAAGCUACAAAGAAAUAUUUCUUCAGGAAUGCACAGCCAGAAAUCGCAGUGAAAUUUUCACCAAAGUCACAAAAAGUCGUUCUUAAAGAGUGCAACGUAAGUUUUCCGAAGCUUCAAAAAGUCGUUCCCAAGGGAGCGCAGUGUAAGUUUUCUGCUCAAAAGUCGUUCCUUAGGGACUGCAGAGCCAAAUACCACCGAAAUAUAAGGCGAAGCGCGAAAAGUCAACGCGAAUACCGCCGAAAUAGAAGGCGAAGAAGUUCAAAAGACGUUCCUUAGGGAAUGCAGAACUUACACCAAAAAAUAAACGGUGCAGCCGAAAAAUAAACGGCAAAGAGAUUUAAGUCAUUCCUUAGGGAAUGAAAGUUGUGGAUGAAGCUUCUGAUGUGUGUGUUUGGGAAUUUAUUGGCACGAUACAUUAGCAUCAUUCUUUGCAUCAUAUCAUCGCAUCAUAUCGCAUAGCAUCACAUCAUACAUCAUGUCACAUCAAUGACAUCAAUUGAAAACGAGGUCGAUCUUCGGGCAAUGCUUUACAAAAAAUGAAAAGAUGCUAAGGCACAAAGUAAGCUAAGAAUCACAACUUCAUUAGUUCUGAUGCGGAAAAAGGGAUUUAUUAUUUACGAAGCAUUGAUGUUUUACAAAGUAUGGAUGAUUUUUACGAAGCAUAAAAGCUCUUCUUUACGAAGCAUGAAAAGAAGGGAAGGUGUUUUUUCGCCGCAGGCUCAAAAACAGUAUGUAUAAAAAGUUUCAUGCAUCGCAAAGAGCUGAAUUACAAACCACUCAUAUAUUACAUUCAAAUCCAUAAGCACUGAAUAUUACAAAUAUAGUUCAGCAAAUGUUACAUUAACAUUCUAGAAAAUGUUUUUACAAUAGCUACUCUUCCUUCAGAACUUUUUCUACAGCUUCGGUUAGCAGCUUAGUAACAACUUCAUCUACAAUAGCUUCGGCCAUAUUAAUAAUUUCUAUUGUUUUCCUUGUCUCUGGGUCGGCUAGUGGGUCGAAUGGCUCUGGGAGAGGGGAUAGUUCAGCUGCGGUAGAAGACAUAAAUUCGUUCGAAGUCCCAAAAAUAAACAACAAAGCUAAAAGCCAUUAAUUGAUACAUAUUCGUCUUUCGAGUUCUGCAGCUCUUUCAGCUUCUUUUGUUGCUUCUCGAGCGUCAUGAGUAUCUUUUUCGCUCUUCUUCAUUAUUUCAUGGGCCAUCCCUCGGCCACCAUUUUCCCAGAUAUCAUUAAAAAAAUUUCUGCCUAUUGAGCUUGCUUCGGCCGAGGGGUCCUUCGUAUCGUCGAUAGAGAAGGCAUCUUCGGCCUGGGCCAAAGUUUUAACAUGUUCGCACCCUGCCUUCUCCAAAAUAGCUGUAACUCCCCUCGUGCCAGAGAAGGCACAAACGUCCCCGUGGUCACUCAAAAUCUCUUCAAAGGCUUCGGCCUCACCGCUGAUCCACUCGAUUACGCCUUUAGGGUCGCCUCGUAUGAAAUUAUCUUCGCUUGAGUACGCGUCCACGUUGGCGAAGCUAGUUUUUAUCUUUUUAACGCAUUCCACAGAUUUCUCAAAGCAUCUUUCUUUUGAUGUGCGAAGUUCUGCAACUGUUUUUUCAAAAUAAUUUUUCCAGUACUCACUGGCAUCUCGAUCAGCUUCGGCAACAACACAUUUUAAUUUGGCCUCGGGCUGUUUCUGAAGGUCUUCAAUUUCAUUUUUCUGGGCCUCAGCUUGUGCUUUGGAACUAGCCUCGUCUUCUUUUAAUUUGCUCACCAACGAAAUUAAUAUUUUAUCUUUUUCAAGACCUUCGUUCCUUAGUUCAAUUACUUCCGAACGAAGGUUGUUUAGGGCUAUAGUGCAUCCUUCGUCUUCGAUAUUUUUCUGUGCCCUGAGGGCAUUUCUAAGGAUCAAGCCCUGCACAAGGAGCAUAGUAUUAAGCAUAAACAAAUGAAAAAAUUCGUUUUUAAGUACAAAAAUUGAUUUUCACACCUUUAUACUAUUAUAUGUUGAACUGUCGGCCAAUUCAUCCUUUGACAGUACUGAAAGCCCAUCUUCUAAUGUUGGGAAUCCGAAGCUUCUGCUCAUCUCCCGGUAGACAUAUAUCUCCUUGUUGUCUGGGAGACAUUACAAGAAAUCCUCUUCUCCGCUGCCAUUGAACACUAAUGCCCCCUUUAGAUAUUUCAGCUUCUAGGCAUAGUGUUGAGGUUCUCGUUCUUCUUCUUUAAAGAGUUUCUUUCCCGAAGCAUGACUGAUGAUAUAUUCAAUAUUUUCUUUAAAAGCUUCGGGAGCAAGCGCGGGAUUUUUCUCAGGCAAACUCUGUUCUAUAGCCUCUUCCUCUGCUGACUUCUCUUCAAAUCCUGAAGGUUGUUUAUCAGCAGGCUCUGAAGGCCAAACUUCGGCGCUAGUCUGGCUCAUUGCAGCUUCGGCUUCGGUCAGUUUUGUUUCGGCUUCAAUUUGCACUUUCGAAGCCUUAGCAAUCUUCCCUGGAGUAGAGCUUGAAGCCUUUACCGUCUCUAGCACAUCUAGUACACUUGCCAUCCUUUUUCUCUUGGGGGUCGCCGCAAGACCUUUUUGUGCCUUCGGCAUUGUCACUUCUGCCGAAGGGCUUAAAACUUCUAAUGUUCCUUCGAUUCUUGCCUCCCCUUCGAUUCUUGACUCCUCAGUUUUAUCAGUCUUUGGCUCAGCUAACUUGGCUGAGGGUGUCUUCAGCAAGGUGGCCGGUUCUUCAGCUUUCUACGUAGAUGAAGAAGUUUCCCCGCCAAACUCGGGCACCAUGGCCGGCUCAAUGUAACAGGGUCGGUGGGUGAGGACUUUUAACUUUUUACUCUUCGGCGCAGGCUCGCUUGGAGCAGCCAAAGCAGCAACUUUUACAGAGGUUACACCCUUUCUAUUCUGCCACAUGGCAGGUAGCGAUAGUCAGGGUACACAAAUCCAAUAGCAUCAAAAACUCUAUUUAAUCUUUUCUUUUUUCUGCCCCCGAAGGCCGCAGAUAGUGCAUUAUCUUCGGACUUGGAAUAUGCUCCAAGUAACUCAUCGCUAGUAUUUUCAACACACUUCAGCCAGUCAUCAUCUGGUUCGACAAACUGGUCUCCAAACCUGAAGGUAUAUUUCAAUCGAACCAGGUCGCCUUCGCUAGAGUUAGUGAUGGUUUCUUUCGGCAUUUCCCAGCUGUCUAUCAGUGGCCAUAUUCUGUAGGCUACAUGUUCUUGAACUAAGUCUCUUGUCCCAAUAAAAGAGCAAACUGUGCUGAAGGCCCUCCGGCAUGCUUUUUGGCUGCCUCAUCAAUUUCUACCUUCAACUUUCGGAGGCUGAAGCGGGACUAGAUGGGGCGCAUGAUGAUUUCUUUAAUGUCUUCUCUCGCCUUCAAAUCAUUUUCACAUAAAACCACUCUUCCAUCCAGGCCCCGGGCCAUCUCUUCUAAAACGUCGGCACUGGGUACCUUGCGCCAAAGCGAGCAACGAAGCUGUAGCAACCACAAUUGUUAUGAUAUUGUUCUUUACCCCAGGGCUUCGUCUCAUACAAAAGUUCAUGCAUACUGCAAAAGCUUCUUGCACUUGGCUCUAGACCUUGACUUUUCACAGCCCAGAUGAAGAUCCCCAUUCUAAUAACUACUUCAGGAGUGAUCUAGUGAAGGAAAAUCUGGUAUGUCUUCAAAACUUCAACCACAAAUCUGCUCAACGGGAACCGAAGCCCAGCUUUGAAGAAGCUUCGGAAGAUCACAACUUUGUCUUCUUCAGGAGCAGGAACGGCCCUGUCUACGUCAGCCCUCACAAUAGACAUAUCUCGAAAAUACCUUCCUCUCAUAUUAUCAAGAUGACUCUGUUUGAUAGUUGAUUUCCCGAAGACUACAUGACUUGGUCGCCAGGGCCGAUCUUCAGAGUCUUCGCCUCCACUCUCCACAUCAUAGCUGUCACUAUCAUCAGUAUCUUCAGACAAGCCUUCCAGAAUUUCUUUAGUAAUCUUCUCUGUAUUCGUUUUUGCUAUUGACUCAACAAAUCCAGCAGUCUUCUCCUCAAGGAGCUUCUCCUCUUCGGUUAGCUUCGUCUCAGCAACUGUCUUCUUGUCUUGAGACAUCUUCUCUUCGGAAAUGACGAAAAUGUGUCCUUCAAACCGAAGCUAAAAAGCUUGAGAGCUAUCAAGCGCUAGUAAGCACAAGUUAACAAAUUUAGAAAAUAAGGCAAAUGGCACAAGCAAUGUAUCAAAUGCAGGCGAUGUGAGAUCCUAUUUAUACGCCCAGCGCACUCCAAGUUGGAGGGCCCCGUCUGUCAUUGACGGUUGCUAUUCUAGCAAAGGGAAGGUGUUUUUUCGGACCUUCGGCUUAGGGCCUUUGUCCAUAUCGCAAUCUGAAUUUGUUAUUCUAACAAAUUAAUAUUGCGAGAGGCUACUGUUGGGGGCCUUCGUCUUCCAAAGGUCCUCAAAAACAUAAUUUAACGAUUUUUUUCCGAGUGUAAUAUGUGAACAGGCGCCUUCUGUCUCGGAUCAGAAUCACAUGGAGUGAAAAGCAUGAACAAUACGAAGGUUGACGCAGCGUCGAAGCUACACGCAAGGAAGCUUCGGCAUAACAGUAGAAAAGGGGAACCGACUUAAAAGGGAAAAGGCUAUUUAGACCUCGGUGGAUUACCUUAAAGUUAUUAGCAAAUGUAAAGGGCCUGGAUGUAAUUUUACACGGGCUAUGUCCCAUGCCUAUAAAUAGGUGAACAGUACCCCCGUAUUGUUCACGCUGACUGGUACCUGCUUUUGCAUCACAAUUGUACUUUUUGCCUUCUGUCAAGCCGAAGGUACUUUUGUAAUUCAACAUUGUUUUUACCUUUUCAUGGUAAUACAAUAAGAAUGAGUCAACAACGUUAUAUGAUUGUUUAUGUCAUUUCUUAUAUUUCAUAUGCUUCUUCUUUUAUUAAUGCAUGCUACAAUGAUGAAGGUGUGUCCUUCAUGACCUUCGUCUGAAGAUCAUUAUAUCCCAAGGGGAAUAAUGUUUUGAAGGAUGAAGGGCAUUAACAUUUAACAUCUUGUGUUGCCUUGUUCUUAAUUCAUAGUAUUUGAGAACAAGUCCCCAACAUUGGUGCCCACCUCCGGUGAACCCUUUUCGACCACCUUUGGCAAGCACGGACUUUCGUCAUGCCACCGAAGAAAGCUUCGGCGUCAGGGACUGCCGCGCUGCAGCCAAUGGACCCGAACCAGGACACCCUUUCUCUUCGAGAGGCCCGAAGCCAGAAGAGGAAGGCCACUAGUCCAACACUCCAGGAGGAGGAGUUGGACCAAGAAAUCAGAAACAUGGAGAUAAUCCAUCAGCAAGUGCAAAGGAAGAAGGAGAAGAUGUCUCGACUAGCUGGUCUUCAAAGGCAGAUCGACGAAGCCACUGAAGAAGUACUCCAUCUUGUUCAAGAUGAACAAGAUCGAAGCCCCAACAUAGGGAGCUUCAUCAAGAAGGCUUGUUCAACAACGAUGGAUGUAUGAUGAUUUUAAUCAUGAUACCUUUACUUUUGAUGAUGCUUCCCCCUUGGCAGCAGAACUGCAGGCUAUCCCAUGGCCCCCAUCAUACAAGCCACCUCAGCUUCCCAUGUAUGAUGGGCAUUCAAACCCGAAGCAGUUUUUGAUGAGUUAUGAAGCAACUAUAUCCUCAUAUGGAGGCAAUGCAGCUGUCAUGGCCAAGUCCUUCGUCAUGGCAGUUCGGAAUGUGGCCCAAACAUGGUAUUCAUCUCUUCAGCCAGGGACCAUUACUUCAUGGAAGAAGCUCAAGGAUAUGCUGGUGACAAGUUUUCAAGGCUUCCAGACAAAGCCAGUCACAGCUCAGGCCUUGUUUCAGUGCACGCAAGAUCAUGAGGAAUACCUCCAGGCAUAUGUCCGAAGGUUCUUGCAUCUUAGAGCACAAGCGCCUACAGUGCCCAAUGAAAUUGUCGUUGAAGCCUUGUAAUUCAACAUUGUUUUUACCUUUUCAUGGUAAUAUAAUAAGAAUGAGUCAACAACGUUAUAUGAUUGUUUAUGUCGUUUCUUGAAUUUCAUAUGCUUCUUGUUUUAUUAAUGCAUGUUGCAAUGAUGAAGGUGUGUCCUUCAUGACCUUCAUCUGAAGAUCAUUAUAUCCCAAGGGGAAUAAUGUUUCGAAGGACAAAUGGCAUUAACAUUUAACAUCUUGUGUUUUCUUGUUCUUAAUUCAUAGUAUUUGAGAACAAGUCCCCAACACCAGCCUUGUUUGUAAAGAAGAAAGAUGAAAACUUGAGGCUAUGUAUAGAUUACCGCCCUCUUAAUGCGGUGACUAUCAAGAACAAGUAUCCUUUGCCUCGUAUUGAUGUUCUUUUUGACUAGUUGGUCGGAGCCAACGGGUUUUCCAAGAUAGACCUUCGCUCCGGCUACCAUCAGAUCAAGAUACGAGCAAGCGAUAUUCCGAAGACGGCUUUCUCAACCAGAUAUGGGCUAUAUGAAUUCUUGGUGAUGUCUUUCGGGCUGAUUAAUGCACCAACAUAUUUCAUGUAUCUGAUGAAUUCGAUUUUCAUGCCCGAAUUGGACAAAUUCGUAGUGGUUUUCAUCGAUGAUAUCUUGGUGUACUCAAAGAACGAAGAAGAACAUGUCGGGCAUUUGCAUGUAGUGCUUCAACGUCUGCGAGAGCACCACCUUUAUGCCAAGUUGUCAAAAUGUGUUUUUUGGCUAAAGGAGAUCAAAUUCUUGGGUCACACUAUCUCUCAGGCAGGAAUAGCUGUUGAUCCUGAUAAGGUGCAAGAAGUAAUGAACUGGAAGCCACCAACGACUGUCCGUCAGAUUCGGAGUUUUCUGGGAUUAGGACGUUAUUACCGAAGAUUCAUUCCGGAUUUCUCUCGAAUAGUGAAGCCAAUAACUGAGCUGUUGAAGAAAGAAGCCAAGUUUGUUUGGGGUCAGAAGUGCAAAGAUGCCUUCCAUGCAUUGAGGCAACAUCUAACCACAUCACCGGUGUUAGCGCAACCCGACAGCAGCAAGGCUUUUGAUGUGUAUUGUGAUGCCUCUGACACUAGACUAGGUUGUGUCUUGAUGCAAGACAACCAAGUCAUUUCUUAUGCCUCAAGAGCACUCAGGCCUCAUGAGCAGAAUUAUCCCACUCAUGACCUAGAGUUGGCAGCAGUGGUUCAUGCAUUAAAAAUGUGGAGGCACUAUUUGAUGGGAACCCACUACAACAUCUUCACUGAUCAUAAGAGCCUUAAGUAUAUCUUUAUUCAGGCUGAUCUCAACAUGAGGCAGAGAAGAUGGCUAGAGCUGAUCAAGAACUAUGACCUGGAGGUACAUUAUCACCCAGGAAAGGCCAAUGUGGUAGCAGAUGCCUUGAGUCGGAAGUUGCAAUGCAACUGUGUUCUGAUGGAUUCUCGCAUUAACACCUUGUGUGAUGAGUUGAGCAAGAUGCAGAUUGAAGUGAUCCCUUCUUGUGCUUUGUCUCACCUUUCCGUUGAGCCAGCUUUGCAAGACCAGAUCAUCAUGGCCCAGCUUAGUGACAAGGGAGUGCAGAUUAUCAAGGAGAAUCUCCAUCAGAAAACUGAGAAGUAUAAAUGUUUCCGCCAAGAUGGAAAGGGUGUAUUGUGGUUUAAAAGCAGAUUGGUGAUUCCUAAGAACAAGUAUCUCAAGAAGAAAAUCUUGGAUGAAGCCCAUCUCUCCAAAUUCUCUAUGCAUCCAGGGAGCACCAAAAUGUACCAUGAUCUAAAGCCCUUGUAUUGGUGGACCAGAAUGAAGAGGGAGAUAGCCCAAUAUAUAUCGGAAUGUGACACCUGUUAGAGGAUAAAGGCCAGCCACUUGAAAUCAGCUGGAGCUUUGCAACCCUUGUCUAUACCUUCGUGGAAAUGGGAUGACAUCAGCAUGGAUUUCAUUGUGGGUCUGCCCAACACCUCUCUCAUCAUGAUUUGAUUUGGGUUAUUGUGGACCGACUAACGAAAGUGGCACAUUUUCUCCCUGUGCACACCACUGAUAAGGCUCAAAAGUAUGCAGAAUUGUACAUUGACCGGAUCGUGUGUUUGCACGGAUUGCCUCGGACCAUUGUUUCUGACCGAGGAGCCCAAUUUGUUGUCAAAAUUUGGGAACAACUGCAGGAGUCUUUGGGAACCAAGCUAAUCAGAAGUUCAGCUUACCACCCACAGACUGAUGGUCAGAUUGAGAGGAUGAAUCAAAUUCUUGAAAAUAUGUUGAGAGCUUGUGCAAUCAAUUGUGGCAAGAACUGGGAUAAGCACCUCUCCUAGGCAGAGUUUGCUUAUAACAACAGUUAUCAAUCCAGCCUAAAGAUGACACCUUUUGAAGCUCUCUAUGGGAGAAGGUGUAGAACACCCCUCAAUUGGUCUCAGCUUGGAGAAAGAGAAGUUUUCGGGCCUGACUUAGUGACUGAAGCUGAAAGGAAGGUCAAACUAAUCAGGAAGAAUCUAGAAGCUGCUCAGGCCAGGCAGAAGAGUUACCAUGAUAAGAGAAGGAAACCUCUCCAGUUUGAGAUGGGAGAUUUCGUGUAUUUGAAAGUAUCACCCACCAAGGGAGUGCAGAGGUUUGGAAUCAAAGGCAAGGUAGCCCCUCGUUACAUUGGACCUUAUGAGAUCAUAGAAGCAUGUGGACCCGUGGCAUAUAAAUUGAAGUUACCUCCAAAAAUGUCUGCCAUCCACAAUGUGUUCCAUGUAUCUCAGCUGAAGAAGUGUGUUCGAUUGCCGACCGAGAUCAUAGCAGAUCCAUAAUUGGAGAUAGAGCCAGAUCUAUCGUACCAAGAGUACCCUUCCAAGAUUCUGGAUUGCAAAGAAAUAUCAACUCGGGCUAAAUCGAUCAAGAUGUAUAAGAUCUAGUGGAAUAAUCACUCAGAGGAAGAAGCUACUUGGGAGACUGAGGAAUUCUUGCGAUCCAACUUCCCCAAUUGCCUACCUAAGGAAAUUGGUACGUAAUCAUGCCCAACCCCUCCUCCUGCCCUUCGAAUCUAAAUUUCAGAAAUAUGAUCUUAAAUCAGAAUGAAGUAAUUAUGAAACAAAAUUUAAAAGGACUUCCUUCUGAAGUUGCAAAGAGAAUGACAUUCGAAGAGCAGUUUGCCCUAGUAAUAGAGCACCCACUUCCUGUAAGUCUCACCCUUCGCUUCACCCCGGAAGGACUCUGACCCGAAUCCCGGGACGAGAUUCCUUUAAGGGGGGAAGGCUGUGACACCCCAGUGUCACCUAGGGUUUCUCUCAGUGCUAACCCAAGAAUCAAUAUUUUAUGUGAGCCAAAUUGAGCAUGAGCACCAAGUUAACUCAAGAAUAAACGAUCUACUAAAUGUAUAUCUAAAGAAUCAUGUCCCAAACAAAUAAUAUUUUCGAAAAGAGCAAGAUGUUGAAACCCUAAUACCAACCCUAAUCAAGCUAUCUAAGUAGAGAUAAAAAAAAGGGGUAAAAGACCAUGAAAAAUUUAAAAUCAUGGCUUAGGCAAAAUAUAAACAUUGAAUUAUACUAAAUAAGCUACAAUAAAGAUUAUGGAAGCUUGGCCAAAAUAGUUUAAUGAAAUCUCCAAACAAGCUUCUCAAGUGAGGGUUCAAUAGGGAUUUCUGAAAUUUAGAAUUCUGAAUUUCAGCCCUUGAGCCAAAUACCGAGCGUGUUCACCUUGAUCCCUAGCUCAAAUCCUAAUGACCCCAUUGACAAAAUUGUGCCUAACUAACCCCUCUAUCUCAUGUCAGAAGAUGGCAUCGGGACGCGUGCCUUGGACACAUCAAACCCGCGAUCUUCUCUCUAUGCGUGGCAGUGAGACAAACCAGAUUUCUCCCCUCUCUAUCUCUUGAUCCAGUCAGCGAAACCUGCAAGCCUCCACACACAAAUGACAAAGGAAUGUCAGAGGAAGAGAACUCUCAACGGGAUCAUGGCCAUAAUGUCAAAGAUUUGGAGCCAAUCCACGCUUGAACUCGACCUCUCUCUGUGCUGCCUCGUGCUCGACGCCGUGCCAAGCGCCAGAGCGCGCACUGGCUGUUGGGGGCCUUCGUCCUCCGAAGGUCCUCAAAAACAUGAUUUGACAAUGUUUUCCAAGUGGAUUAUGUGAACAGGUACCUUCGGACUCAGAAUUACGAACAUGAAGUGCGGUCAGGACGAAGCCUGAACCAGACGAAGGACGGGCUGAUUACCAAGCUCCACGAAGGAUGGUGCACAGCCGAAGCUGUGCGCAGGGAAGCUUCGUCGCGAUAGCAGAGAGGGGAACCGACUUAAAGAUGAAAAGACUACGUGGGCCUUGUCAGAUUUCCAUAAGUCAUUGACAAAUGUAAUGGACAUAAAUGUAAUUUUACGUGGGCUGCGUCCCGCGUCUAUAAAUAGAUGAACAGUACUCCCGUACUGUUCACGCUGACUUGGCAUUUGCUUUUGCGUCACGCUUGUACUUUUUACCUUCUCUCAGGACCGAAGGUACAUCUGUAAUUUGAAAUCAUUUCUAUUUUUCCAUGUUAAUAAAAUAGAAAUGAUUCUAUGAUGAUGCUUAUAUUAUAUUUCAUGCUUUAUAUGAAUCCUUCGUCAUUAUUUGUUAUGUUUACGAAGGUAUGUCUCUUAUGACCUUCGUCCGAAACUCAUUAUUUCCCGAAGGGACAUAAUGCUUCGAAGGACGAAGGACUUUAACACUUAACACUUUUUAUGUUGCCUUGUUCUUAACUCUUAGCAUUUGAGAACAAGUCCCCAACAUUGGCGCCCACCUCCGGUGAACUCACUUCCAUUUCCUGAGCUUUUCGACACCUUCGGCAAGCAUCAGCUUCGUCAUGCCGCCGAAGAAGGCUUCAGCACCAGGGGCUGGCACGCUGCAGCCGCUGGACCCCAAUCAAGACGUCCUUUCUCUCAGAGAGGCACGAAGCCAGAAGAGGAAGGCUACCAGUCCAACACAUCCGGAGGAUGAUCUAGAUCAGGAGAUUCAGAAUCUGGAAAUCCUUCAGCAGCAGGUUCAACGCAGGAAGGAGAAGAUGGCCAGGCUAGCUGAACUGCAGAGGCAGAUAGAUGAAGCCUCUGAAGAAGUUCGUCAUCUUGCUCAGGAUGAGCAACACCGAAGGCCUCAGCAUCAAGACCUUCAUCAGGAGGGCUUUCACAACGAAGACGACUGGUAUGACAAUUUCCAUCGUGGGAAUUUUGUUUUUGAUGAUGCUUCUCCCCUGUCCGCUGAGUUACAGGCUACACCUUGGCCUCCGUCCUACAAGCCGCCUCAGCUCCCCGUAUUUGAUGGCCAUUCAGACCCGAAGCAAUUCCUAAUGAGCUACGAGGCAACAAUAUCUUCAUACGGUGGCAAUACGGCAGUCAUGGCAAAAUCCUUUGUCAUGGCCGUCAGAAGUGUUGCUCAGACCUGGUACUCUUCUCUUCGGCCAGGGACAAUCACUUCUUGGCAGAAACUGAAGGAUAUGCUCAUAACUAGUUUCCAAGGGUUUCAAACAAAGCCGGUCACUGCUCAGGCCCUUUUCCAGUGCACCCAGGACCACGAAGAAUACCUUCAGGCAUAUGUCCGAAGGUUUCUGCGUCUAAGGGCACAGGCGCCGACAGUGCCCAAUGAGAUUGUCAUUGAGGCCAUGAUCAAGGGGCUUCGGCCAGGGCCAUCAGCGCAGUAUUUUGCCAGGAAGCCACCACAAACGCUGGAGAAGCUGCUCCAGAAGAUGGAUGAAUAUAUUCGAGCUGACAAUGAUUUUCGCCAAAGAAGGGAGGAGGCCUUCAGAUUUUCUGAGAUGACCAGGGGCUUCGGAGGAAGAUUCUAUCCGAGGCAUGUCAGAUCAAUUCAUAAUUCCAAUCAAAAUGAUGAUAAGGGGAGCCAGCAGCAAAGGCCACAGUACUCCUCACAGGCUUCGGGGCAACAGCAAAGCUCCUUCCGACCACCAGCUCCAAGAGGCAGAGGCGCCAGGGGCUUCGGCGGAAGAUUCGGGGAUCAACCCAGAAGAAUAUUUUGCUUAUUCUGUGGUGAAAACAAAGGUCAUACUACCAGGAUGUGUCAUGUUACCAUUCAGAAGCAAAAAGAGAUAGCCGAAGCUGCCGCGCAACAGGCUCAGCCGAAGCAGGUCAUGCACACUGCUUCGUAUCAUUCGCCCUACAUCCCAGAAUAUGUGGGCAACCAUCCUGCAGUCUCUGCUGCUUCGGCAAGUCAGCCUUCAGCUUCCUGGCAACAGCCCCCGCCUCCACCUCCGUUGCAACAAGGCCAGCAGCCAGAAGGGAGCCAAUAUGCUCCACAUCAAAGGGACUUCAGAGAACAGUCCGAAGCUCGCACGGUCAACAGCACCGUGCCAGAGUCAAAACACAUCUAUUGACAAAUAUCCUACCUUAAUAGCAAUCUUUUUCAUUCAGUUUUAUUUUUUGUAAUAAAGGACAUUGUUUAGGUUUCAUGUAAUUAGUUUCGUUGAUUCUUACAAGAAAAAUAUGUUUUCUUCACAGGUUUGUGAUAAUAAAAAGGACCUUCGGACUAUCGAAAAUCCUUCGAAGCAACAAAAAGUCGUUCUAAGGAACGCAGAGUAAGUCUGACGAAGUCACAAAAAGUCGUUCCGAAGGGAGCGCAGUGUAAGUUUUCUGCUCCAAAGUCGUUCCAAAAGGAAUGCAGAGCAUACAGCGAAAAGUCAACGCUGAUACCGCCUAAGUAAAAGGCGAAGAAGCUCCAAAGACGUUCCUAAGGGAAUGCAGAGCUUAUACCGCCUAAGUAAAAGGCGAAGAAGUUCCAAAGACGUUCCUAAGGGGAUGCAGAACUUACAGCGAAAAAUAAACGCUGAUUCCGCUGAAGUAAAAGGCGAAGAAGCUCCUAAGGGAGGCUUAUAAUGAAAAAGUCAGUAUUGAUACAAAAGAUUGUGCCCCAUUGCAGGAAUGUGCGUAUCUUCGGCACAAAAUAUCAUUUUGCAUAACAUAACAUCAUCACAUCAUUUUGCAUAGCAUAAUCAUCAUACAUCAUGCUGCAUGUGGCACAAGAAGGGGGCAUGUUAUCGAUCUUCGGAAAAUGCUUUGAAAAAGGGCAAAUCAUGCCAAGUUACAGGGAGAAACAAUAUUGAUUUUCGAGGUAUAGCUUCAGAGAUUAUUUUUACGAAGCUUGGAUAUUUCUUAUCAGAACACUAUGGAUAUUGUCGUGAUAAAUGAUAAAUUCUUCUUCACGAAGCAUGAAAAGAAGGGAAGGUGUUUUUUCGUCGAAGACUCAAAAAUGGUACGUGUUUAAAGUUUCAUGCAUCGUAAAGAAUUGAAUCAUAAAACAAGUAUAUUACAUACAGGAUUACAGAAUAUUACACAAAUCAUAUAUCAAAUGUUUUUUGCAAUAGCACUUAGUCUUCCCUAAGUACUAUCUCUGCAGCUUCGUUCAGCAGUUGAUCGACAACCUGAUCCAUGAUAGCUUCGGCCAUCUUUUUAAUUUCGUCGUCAUCUUUAGGCUGAGGGCCCGAAGAUGCUUUAGUAGGAUCUGAGUGAGGACGGGAUACUAUUACAUCAUUAUUACAGAUCGCGAACGAACUAUAAAAUUAAAAGUUAUAAUGCAAUGAAAACUAUUCGUUAGUACCUAUUUGCCCUUCGGGCUCUGCGUUUUCCUCAGCAGCCUUGGCUACUUCUCUAGCAUCAUGGAUGCCCUUUUCACUUCUCUGAAUAAUUUCUCUUGCCAUUUCUCGGCCACCGUUAUCCCAGAUAUCAGUAAAAAACUUUCCACCAAUUAUGCUAGCUUCGGCCGAAGGAUCUUUUGUAUCUUCAAAGGACAAAGCAGCUUCGGACUGUGCUAAAAUUUUCACAUGCUCACAGCCCUUCUUCUCUAAAAUGGUGGCAAUCCCUCUGGCGCCAGAGAAGGCACAUAUAUCUCCUCGGCUAUUUAAAAUUUCUUCGAAGGCUUCAGCUUCGUGGUCAAUCCAUUCAAUGACACUUUCGGGAUUGCCCCUCAAAAAAUUUUCUUCACUUGAGAAUGCGCCGACUUUGGCGAAGCUAGCCUUUAAUUUUUUAACACAAUCUACAGAUUUAUUGUAGCAUUUCUUUUUGGACGAACGAAGCUCUUCAACAGUCACUUCUAGAUGAUCUGCCCAUUGAUCGCUGAGUUCACACUUUGUUUCUUCAAGUAUACGUUCUUCUUUGGCUCUGGCCAGUUGUUUCCGAAGGUCUUCAAUUUCGCGUUUCUGAGCUUCAGCUUGACUUUUGAAAGCAGCUUCGUCCUCCUUUAUUUUAUCUAUCAAUGAGUAUAAUAUUUUGUCUUUUUCGAGACCUUCGUUCCUCAGUUCAAUUACUUCGGAACGAAGGUUGCUCAGGGCUAUAGUACAUCCUUCGUCCUCAGCAUCUUUCUGUGCUCUGAGGGCAUUGCUGAGUAUCAGGCCCUGCAGACAGGAAUAUGUCUGUGUCAAUAGUUUUAAACAAACGAAAAAUUUUGAAUUCAACAAAAAUAUAAGAAUUCCAUUUGUCGCACCUUUAAACUGUUGUAAGCUAGGCUGUCAGUCAGAUCGUUCUUUGACAGCACCGAAAGUCCGUCUUCUAAAGUUGGAAAUCCGAAGCUUCUGCUCAUCUCCCGACAGACAGAAAUUUCCUUGCUGUCGGGGAGGCAAUACAAGAAAUCUUCUUCUCCACUGCCAUUAAAUAUCAACGCCCCCUUUGGAUAUUUCAACUUUUGGGCAUAGUGUUGGGCCUCUUGUUCUUCUUUUUCUGUUAAUUUUUUCCCCGAAGCAUGACGAAAAAUAUAAUCACGAAUUUUGGAUGCUUCGGGGGUAACAACACCAGUUCCUUCAGCAAAAGUUGGCUUUGUUAUUUUUUCUGCCUCACUUUCCAAGGUUUUUGCCUUUGAGGGCUCUGAGGGCCCAGCUUCGGCUUCAGUAUCUUGCUCUGGAGCUUUAGAACCCGAAGCUUCGACUGUUGUUUCAGGAGUGACGGCAGCCUUCUUCGGAGGGGUGCUUGAAGAUUUGAUCGUUUCCAGCACAUCUAGCACAUUAGCCAUUCUCCUUCUUUUCGGAGUCACUGCUGGCACUUUUUGAUUACUUACUGUUUCAAUGUUUGCCACAGGACUCAAAACUUCUGAUGUUUUGGAGUCCUCGGUUGCUUCCUUUACCUCUUCCAUUUUUUCUGUGAAUGGCGCUUCGGCCUUCUCUUUCGUUUCUGAUAACAAAAUUUUUGAUUGCUCCAAUUUUGUCUUCGUUGGUAUUUCGGCUGUUUCUGUGACUUCUGGCAGCAAAGUUGGCUCGGCUGGUUUUUCAGCUUCGGUGGCCGAAGAAGUCUCUCCGGUAAACUCAGGCACCGAAGCUGGUUCAAUAUAACGCGGUCGAUAAGUAAGAACCUUUAUCUUCUUCCUUUUCGGUUCUGGCUCGCUAGGAGCAGCUGCAGUUUCUUCUUUUGCAGAGGUUGUAUUUUUUCUCUUCUGCCUUCGAAUGGGGUAGCAAUAGUCAGGGUAGACAAACCCGAUGGCAUCAAAUACCCGAUUCAGCCUUUUCUUUUUUCGGCCUCCGAAGGCUGCUGACAUUGCAGUAUCUUCGGCCUUCGAGUAUGUCCCAAGCAGCUCAUCACUUAAAUUGUCAAUGCUUUUCAACCACUCAUCGUCUGGCUCAAUAAAUUUAUCUUCAAAUUUAAAAGUGUACUUAAACCUGACAAGUCCACCUUCGUCGGCCUCUUUAACGAUUUCUUGUGGCAUUUCCCAUUUCUCCGCAAGCGGCCACACCCUGAAGGCAAUAUGCUCUUGUACUAAGUCCCUUGUUCCUAUAAAAGAGCAGACAACGCCGAAGGCUCUUUGGCACUCUUCGGCGGCUUCGUUCAUUUCAACCUUCGGCCUCCGAAGGCCGAAGCUUUGCCAAAUAGGACGCAUAAUUAUACCUUUGAUGUCUUCUCGUGCUGAUAAGUCAUUCUUCACAUAAAACCAUUCUGUCAUCCAAUCCCCGGGCCAUCUCUUCCGAAAGGUUGGUACGGGACAGCUUGCCCCGGACCGAGAGACGAAGCUGUAGCAGCCAAAGUUGUUAUGGUACUGUUCUUUGCCCCAAGGCUUUGUUUCAUAUAAUAAUUCAUGAACAUUACAGAAGCUUCUUGCGUCAGGCUUCAGACCUUGGCUUCUCGUGGCCCACACGAAGAUAUUUAGCCUUAUAAUAGCCUCUGGAGUAAGUUGAUGAAGAUAGACUUCGAAGAUUUUCAACACCUCCACGACGAAGCUGCUCAAGGGGAAUCGCAAUCCGGCUUUCAAAAAGCUUCGGUACACCACAACUUCAUUUUCUUCAGGGUGUGGACAAGUUUUUUCCCCUUCGUCCGCCCUCACAAUGGACAGAUCCCGGAAAUACCUUCCUCUCAUAUUAACAAGAUGAUUCUCUUUGAUAGUUGAUUUACCAUAAACUGAAUGGCUUGGUCGCCAGGGGCGAUCUUCGGAGUCUUCGCCACCGCUGUCCACAUCAUAACUUUCACUGUCACCAGUAUCUUCAGACAGCCCUUCCAGAAUUUCCCUGGUGAUCUUUUCUGUGUUGGUCUUCGACAUUGCUAUAAGAAACCCUAAGUUCUUCUCUUCAUCAAGACUCAGCUUCAUCUCAGCAGCAGCCUUCUUAGCAGCUUCAGACAUCUUCGGAAACACUAAAAAACUGUUUUCAAGGCCGAAGCUUCAAAAUCAAAAAGAUCAGCAAAUCUUAGUGCACAAGAGCUAAAAAUUUAGUGGGCCGAAGCAGAUGGCAAGUGUGCGUACCAAAUGAGUUUGUGGUAUGAUCUUAUUUAUACGCCCAGGGCGUUGAAAAUUGAAAGACCCCACUUGUCAGUGAAAGUUGCUAUUCUAGCAAAGGGAAGGUGUUUUUUCGGACCUUCGGCUCAAGGCCUUCGUCCAUUUCGCAAUCUGAAUUUAUCAUUAACAAAUUAAUAUUGCGAGGGGCUACUGUUGGGGGCCUUCGUCCUCCGAAGGUCCUCAAAAACAUGAUUUGACAAUGUUUUCCAAGUGGAUUAUGUGAACAGGUACCUUCGGACUCAGAAUUACGAACAUGAAGUGCGGUCAGGACGAAGCCUGAACCAGACGAAGGACGGGCUGAUUACCAAGCUCCACGAAGGAUGGUGCACAGCCGAAGCUGUGCGCAGGGAAGCUUCGUCGCGAUAGCAGAGAGGGGAACCGACUUAAAGAUGAAAAGACUACGUGGGCCUUGUCAGAUUUCCAUAAUUCAUUGACAAAUGUAAUGGACAUAAAUGUAAUUUUACGUGGGCUGCGUCCCGCGUCUAUAAAUAGAUGAACAGUACUCCCGUACUGUUCACGCUGACUUGGCAUUUGCUUUUGCGUCACGCUUGUACUUUUUACCUUCUCUCAGGACCGAAGGUACAUCUGUAAUUUGAAAUCAUUUCUAUUUUUCCAUGUUAAUAAAAUAGAAAUGAUUCUAUGAUGAUGCUUAUAUUAUAUUUCAUGCUUUAUAUGAAUCCUUCGUCAUUACUUGUUAUGUUUACGAAGGUAUGUCUCUUAUGACCUUCGUCCGAAACUCAUUAUUUCCCGAAGGGACAUAAUGCUUCGAAGGACGAAGGACUUUAACACUUAACACUUUUUAUGUUGCCUUGUUCUUAACUCUUAGCAUUUGAGAACAAGUCCCCAACACUGGCGUUCGCCCGCGCACGCCCCAAGCACCUGUCAGAGCCUCGCCCUUGGUCGUGCUCGCCCGCGCCUAUAAAAGCCUGCCGGGCGCGCCUCACCUCACCCUGUGCUCACCUUCGCCGGCCAGACGCCCCUCCUUAGCUCCGACGAGCUCUUUUUCGCCCGCCAUUGCCACCCGAGCCUCGGCCACCGUGGCCAGCCCAAUUCAGUCGCUUCCAAGCCGUGCCAGCCGCUCGGAUAGCUUCGCCAAGAGCUUGUGAAGCUUCCCAAGCCCUUGGACCCGGCAGAACUUCACCGGAGAGCCAAGAUCGUCCUCGCCGGACUUCGGCCGCCCGCCUGCGCGCGUAGACCGAGCAAUCUGGUGAGCCGUUCUUCAAUUCCUCGCACACACACCUCCGUUGAUCCCUAGUGAAGCUCUCUGACCCGUUUGUUUGGUCAAUUGUGCCCUGGAUAGGCCAGACUCCUCGCCGCCGACGAGCUCCCCGCCUACGCACGUGGACCGGCCAACUCCGACCAUCCCCGACGGCGACCCGCACAUCCCCGUGACCCUCAGGACCUCCCCUACACCCUCGGCCACCUCAUCGGAGCAGUCUCGCCGCUGGUAAGCCCCUCCGCCCUUUCCUCCGCCACGGGUACUGUUUGAUUUGGGGGAAGGACCUCGGGUUAGGUUUAGAGGAACCCCAGGGGGUUUUCUGAACUGUCAGCGACUCAUUUGAACAGUAGCCCAAGGACUAGUCUGUAAGGAAACCUGAAAACACCCGCUAGGGACCCCGUUGCAAAGUAGUUUUCCUUUUAAUCAUUUCUGUUUAAUCUUUUAAAUAAACAGAGAACUUAGGAAAUUCAUAACUUGAGAAAUACUUAACCAAAAUAUGUCAAACCAAUUUUGCUGGAUUCUAAAUAUUAUGGACUACCAACUAAAAAUACUGAACUCCAUGCUCUCUGCCCUAAAUUUUAGAGUUUAGAAUUAAAUAGAGAAAUUGACCAAACCUUAUUUAAUUAAAGAAAAUUAGUUAUGCUUAUGUGCUGAACCUAAUUUUUUUUGUAGAUGUUCAAACCCCAUUUAAACACUAUUUAAAAAUAGUGAGAACCCCAAUAUUGAAAAUUUAAGUAGGGAUACCUAUUAAAAGCCAUUUUUGCCCAAAACUUAGAAAAAUCAGAAAGGCAUUAGAAAAUAAUGAACAGUGAGUGCAAUUAUUUUUCCUAGCCUACUUAAGUAACAGAGAACCUAGAAAAAAUAAAAAGACCACUAGUCCAGAACAGAAUUAAAGUGAAAUAUUUUAUUUAGCAUUAUUCCAACUAGAAAACAAUUAUUAGAAUUAUAAAAAACAAUUUCAAAAUUUGUCAUAAAAAUCCAGUGGACUUGUAACCACUAUAACCCCACUACAAAAAUGAUAACCACCCCAACCCAUCAUUUUAAGUAGGGUAAACAAAUAAAACUUGAUAUUGGGUCCUAUUUCAAAAUAAAUCAUGAACAACCCAUAAAUGGUGCAAUAAUGGGCAAAUAAAAUUUUGCUAGAUCAAUAAUGAGAUAGGCCACCAGAGAAAAAUGCAAAGCCAUUUGAAAGAUGCAAAAUAAUACAUAUUGCCAAUACUUCAUGAAAAAGGCCAUUUAAUCCAAAUAAUCCCUACCACCCCUCCCUUAAGCAAAGAGAUGCCAAACUUUAGAAUGAUUGCUCUUGCACAAAGAAGAAGCAAGGAAAAAUCAGAAAUUUAUUGUUUGAUAUUUUUCAAAUAUAGUGGUAGUAGAAAGCACCCCUUUGACUAGAAACUUUAGAAAAUCAUAGUAAAAUAACUAGAGCAUAUUAAGGGCUAGAAUUUUGUGCAAAGUCAUGUUAUAACAUCUAAAUGCCAGCAAAAAUAAGUCUUAGAUAAUAACCUACUGUUAAAUGGUAGUUGUAGUUCAAAGCACCCCUUCUGCCCUAAUAUUUGAUAAUUGUAUCUAGAGAGAACUAUUCACUUUUUGAACCCCAAAUUUUGAGGCAGAGCAUUAUACACCAGUAAGAAGCCCCUGUAAUUUUUGCAGAAUUGUAGGAAAUUUAUUAAGUUAACUAGUAGUUCAAACCCACUUUAAAAACAUAAAAGAAAUAGAGGGAAAGAAAGGAAAGAUAAACCUCGCCCCAAUAAGUUCAACUUGAAAUCUUGACAAUUCCCACUAAGGUUUUAAAAAGAAUUCAGUGGAACACCAAAAUGGACUGACCACUUAGUUUAACUGAGUGUGAUCUAAAUUACUAAGUAUACCACCAAAAAUCUUUAGUAGCAAGACUAAACUCCAUCUGAUUUAAGUGGAUCAUUCACCAUCAAAGUUUAAUUGCUAAAGCAUAUAUCAUAUCAUGCAUGUAUCUUACUCAUUACAUUCAUUAGAUUGUAAUCUCGCUGACGGAGAGUACGUGCUCAUCCCGGAGCAAGGAACUGUCCAAGAGGAAGACCAAGAGCAAGCUCCCGAGGCUGCCAUCGAGGAUCUCCCCGCAGCCCCAGCUAUUGAAGGCAAGCUCCGGUUUUAUGCAUAACCAUAUUAUUAUAUGCUACUUUACUACACUUAAUGCUUGUAUGAUUGUAAUGUGCACUUAAGUGUAGGAGUUGCUUGAAACCUCUAGUUGCAUGAACUUAGGAUUCCUUUUUGAGAUGAUACUAGUAUGCUAGGUCGAGUAGCUGCUAUGCUAAUCAGGAUCUCGGUAGAAGUCGAGUGAUUUUUCUAGCACUCGCGCGAGGUCAGGAAUUGAUUGUAUUCAUCUUGAUAACGGGAUCUAUGUUAGUCUAUGGACUUGGAUCCAGAGAGGAUGCCUUGUCCAUUGUGGCAGAACCUCCCAAUGUAUCGGGCCCACAUGCACCUGUCCUUGUCUCAAAGAACUCAGACGGCCAUGCAUGUGCACCAGAUAACUUAACAGGAUCCGUCCGAUUGCCCCACGGACACCGGAUAAACCACUUACAACCAGAACCGCGGGAUUAAGUAAUACAAAUCACACACACCAAUAUUUUGCAGCGGAAAUCUUAUUACCAAAUUUUACAAGUUACAAAAAUUUUACUUCGUACAUGAUCAGAGUAAUUACUACAUUGAUUCAAAGAAAGAAACUUUGAACGACAUAUGUUUCUCGUAAACCUUGAUGUCUACUAUUCCCACGGAUCCUCCACUGCAUGAACAGGUCCGCUCCACCCGAGAGCACACCACCCUUUUUAGGCGAUCCUUUGCCAGGAGGGUACGUGCCACUCUCGCCAUCUCUCCACUCCCAGUGCGCGAUUGUCUUUUCAUGCAUGGAAUAGCCGGGUUCAAGCUUACCCUGUCCCAUUCCCAGGGCAUGUGGCUAGAUAAGAUAGUCCUUGAUCAACAGGCCUACAUACGCAUCCAAUCCUUAAUUGACCCGAGCGGAGCAUCACCUGUUCCUAGCCCAAGUCUCGAUUUAAGUACUUCCAUCCUUAGGAUUGUUUCUGUUCCUUAGGAUGAAAAGAGCAUCACAGGGAACUUUGCAGUAAGAUCCCACCAUUGCUCCAAAUGAAAAUAUUCUUGCAGGUAGAAGUCAUCCUUUCUCGAGCUAGGCUAAGGACAACCUCUAUCCACAAGAUCUAAGCAGGGCUAAGCAUUUUUGUAAAUCAUAUUUUGAUACUUCACCAGAAGUAUCUAUAAAGGUAUGGAUAUCAAGGAAAGCAAUGCAUCAAAGGGUUCCAAGCAACUUCUAUGAACCUAAUGCACAUUUCACUAGACUUAAAGUGUGCGAAAAUUAUUUAAAAACACAAGGAAAGGGGUUGCAUGCACCGGGGCUUGCCUGGAAUAAACACUAUGUUAGUGUUGGUUAGACGACGUCUGCUUGACGAUCAUCUUCAGGUUUGUCCAUCAGCAUCAUCCUGUGAAGUAGCCCGUGCUUGGGGUCGACUUGGGUCGUCUUCUGCAUCGCGCGAUUAAUUAACGUACCUGAAUGGAAUGCAUUAUGCACAUGAAUGCAUAUAGACUGGAAUAUUUCAAACCUAAAUAUUACUACGCGAUAGCGAAUUAAACACCUAGCGGCGAGGCGUUGUACAAUUUUAUACCAAAGACACUAGUUAUUAAUAUACGACUACACGUAAUAAUUACGCUUCUCGAACCUAACGCAAACAUCACGAACAACAAACUAUACACAUAAAAUACAAUUAGCCUAAUCACAACUUAUCAAUUAAUUAAUUAAAUUCUAAACUUAUCCCUUACUUUAUAAAUUAUACUACAUCUUUAUAAGUGAUUAAAAUAUUUCAUCAGCACACAUGUCUACUAAAAUUCUACUCGGGACACUAAUUCAACUAAUUGACCUGAAUAGCGAAAUAACUCGCUAUAACUGAAUCUGGCUCAAUAAUCACAAGAACUGCGAAGUCGACGAGAGUUUCGUGACUUGCGCAAUUUAUCGAGCACCCUAAUGAGCCUCGCACUAACACAUUAAUUUAUUCAACGAUCGAACUAAACUGAAUAAUCUAUCAGCUUACCGUUUCCACAGCUGGCAUGAAUCCACGAGAUCGGUAGCGAUUUUCCGAUCGAGGAAAUUUGUCGAGCGCUUAGGGAAUAUCGCGCUGCUGGCUACGUCUUCAUCCGACGCUUGAGAUUUCUUGAUGACACACGAAACGAUGAAGAGAUUGUGUUUGGAGCGAGCUGGUGAGGUGGGGAUCGAACAGGGGAUGACAGCUUCGACGAUGAUAUAGGAGGGUGGCAUAUAUAGAGCUGCACACACGACGCGACGAACUAAGUCGCGAGGUCGGCCGACAAGGGAUUUCAAGGAACACGACGGUCAGUCGGCGAGCUGGCAAGUUCGGAUAGGGACGGCUGACGUGAGGACCAUGACGAAUAUGAAAUUGAUGACCGACCAAAAUACGAUUGAUGAGUUGAGCAACUCCGAUGAUUUGAUGGCAGUCGCGACAGCGAACAGGAAGACGCGCGAAAGCGCCAGCGAGCAGGGAAAAUUCGCGCGCACAACAGACGAGCUGACACGCGCAACAGGGGCGAGCAGCAGGCGCGGACAGGCGGAGACGGCUCGGUCCGAGCUGGGCGAGAUCCGGCCAGAACCGAGGAGCGCGGCUGCGCGCAGAGGACAGGGAAAUGCGGCGAUGAAGCACCAUAGCUGGAGCAAGAGCGAGACGCGAACUAGGCGACGGCAGCGCGCAAGGACGAUCUUGGCUAGGGGAAAAGCUCCGCGCGCAGGGAUCCGAGCUGAAAGGAGCCGGGGAAGAUGGACGCAGAACGCCGAACAGAGACUGGAGCAGAGACCGAGCUCGACGCACGCAGGGAGAAAGACACGCCAUGGAUAGGGAGCUCGGCAGGGAAGAACGUCGGCUGACGGCUGGCCCAGGGAGUCGCGGACGAAGGAUCUCCAUGCCCAGACGCAGGGAACAGCGGCGUAGAAGAGCAGAGACGCGGGCGGCCGAGCGCAGAGGAAGAGACUGAGCUGGGGCUGCGCGCGCGCUGGAAAAUCGCUCGGCAGAGAGGACGGACAGGGAGCUCCGAGCAGAGCAGUGCGCAGGGAGCAGGGCGCUCGCCAGGGAUGGAGCUCCGAGCACCGAACUGCGGCCGGAACCAAAGGCACUGCGAGCAGACAGCCAUGGGAGGGACCUCGCUGACUGAGCGAGCUGGAAGAGAGAAGCAAGGGGAGGGCGCAGGGAAGAACCACGGCUUGGAGAAGAUAAAGGCAGGGAGAUGGAUCGAGCGAUGGAUAGGGCCACAACCUGUACAGGUUCAAGCACAUUCCAGCAAUAAAAAUCAAGGACUGAUACGCAGAAGACUUAUCCAGUGGAGUGAGCGCGCGGGAAAAUCUAUAGGGGCGGCGGUGGGGAUAGAGGCGGCGGGGCGGCGUCAGGAUAGCGUCGAGGAGAUUUUCUUCAGGUUAGAUUUUUCUUUUCAUUUUCUCUCUUUAUUUUUAGAAAAAAAAUUUGCAGAUAUUUUAGUCGACGUUCGAUUUAGUUGAAUUUAGACGAAUUUUGUUCGCUACUCAAAUACUCGACUAGAGAACAAUUCAAUUGAAAUCCGUAGACGCGAUAUUACGAAUAACAAAAAGGGGAUUAAAUUAUUUUGCACUGAAAAUUUAGUCGCCGAGUUCUUCUUAAUCUGUUCGGGAUAAAAUCAUCCGAGUGGGUCGGGCUUCCGAAUUCGUAUUCGCGCGAGCGAUGAAUUUUAAAUAAUCACCGGACGCACCGAUUUUCGGGACAACUAUGUUCCGAGCAUCACGAAAAUUUAGGAAGAGCCCGAAUAAGUAGAAGUAAAAAUGAUGUCGCACUCACGAUAAAUGGAACAGAUGCGAUAUUAAAAUCGCGAUAAGCGAAAAUAAUUAGACCUUAGUGUUCGUCUUAUACACUGAUAUCACGUGCUUAAAUUCGUACUCGUUGUCGAGCGGAAUAUAAACACCUGGGGUGUUACAGCCCUCCCCCAUUAAAAGAAUCUCGUCCCGAGAUUCAGAGCGAAAGACUUCUAAGAGUAGAGAAGCAUGUAACCCAUGUCCAUAUCAGCGUUAAUCAUAAGACAAUCCAAGUAAAGGCGAAUGACUCCGGAUAUGGUUUCUCUAGUUGACAUAGCAUGUAUCGCCACAAGCUAAUUUAAAGAUGUCCAUCAAUAGAGAUGAUGCUUGUCAGAGGAACAGAUAAGGUUCCAUGUGUGCAAUUUGCUUUUUCUUAUGACAUUGUACUAUCUGAGUCUGUUGGGCGAGCGGUAGAUAUGCGACUUUACCCAAACAGAAUCAGAUACACCAUCUUGGGUAAAACACACAGAAGGAGGUUUACCAACAAGUGGUCAUAGUAAGUUUAUAGCACAUGAGACGGGUGUGGACGUCGAAUACUAUCGCGGUUAACGUAUGGCUAACCAGAGAAUUCAAGUCCACGAAAGGGUAUAGAUUCGAGAGAAUCACCAGCGGAGGGAUCUGUAGAUACGGACUUUACAACCAGUCCAUUCUAGCAAGCACUAACCAUGGCUCGACUUGAUCACACAUGCUGGAAAAGCACACGCGAGGCGAUCGAGGCACGACUAGAGUGAUGAUUAGAUGGUUACUGGUCGACUUAAUUUGAUUUUGUUAAGUACUUUCUUUAGGGUGGGUUGAACCAAAGUGAGUUUAGACAACUCGAUAAAAUGAUCUCUAAACUCAGCCUUCGUUCAUUGAGCAGUUACAAGUUAGUCAAAACCAACUUGUUGAACUACUUUUGACAUUAAGCAAAUCCUCUCAGUACCAUUGGUAAGCCAAGGGUUGAGAGUUCACUCAUACUAACAGUUGAUCAUGCACUUGGGCAGAAAUCCAUUUGGUCAGGUUGUUCAUCCGUUUCUUCAUGUGAGAUGAAUUAUCCGCUUGGUUAGGGAAUACUUGGAUUAAAUAAGAGAGCGAAUGAACAAACUCCUGCAUCACAACAGCAGGGAAAAAUCAAUCUUCAUUUUGAGAGCUAAUCAGUUGUCUCUCGACACUAAAAAGCUCCAAGGCUUCACCUUUACACAAAGGAUGUAAAGGGAACUUGUAUGAGUAGUCACCAUCAAAGUAAAGGGACAAGAGACCACACAUUAAAGGGGUAUGCCCUUUUGAUCCAACAGAGAUGAUAGAUGUUGCUUGAUCACUUGACAAACAACAUAGAAAUUGUUUCAAGGAAGUAGUUUACGGAAGAUAACACAUCAGUGUAGUUCCACAAUGGAUCAUGACCAGAGACCUUGAUACCAGCAUCCGACGAGUAGCACAGUCCUGUGUGCGCAUUCACAGGAGGCUCUCAGUUUCGCCGCGGCACCAUAAGUCAUUAACCAUGACACCAAUGGAUUAGGCAAGGGUGACAAUAUACAAAGAGAUACUCCACAUGUAAGAAUGAUUACAAGUAGAGAUCCAAAUAGAUCAUGGCCCGAUGAACUGAACAAGGCAUGGCCAUAACCUAAACUUGAUGAAAGGAGUACGAUGGGAGACUGUUAAUUCAGCCCCAAGCAUAUUUCUAUGCCCAUCGCAGAGAUUACAAGGUCAAGGAUUAGUAUCCGAUUAGAUACAGAGGAAAACAAUCACAAGAUGAAGUUGGUAUGCCUUCAAUAGAUAUGAAGAAAUCAACGACACCAAAUUAAGGAAAAUGAUCAUGCAUGACUUUCCCAGGUUGGGUUGAUAAAGCAACAAUGCAAUCCGCAAGGAGAGGCCAAAUACAAUAGAGACCUCAACCUGCAUCAACUGAACAAGGGAAUGGUUCUAGAAGGAGACAUGGUUUGAGAUCCUUGGUUUAAGCUUGGGUACAUUUUAUGUCCAACAAAGAAAUUAUCUAAACAUUCAUUUACAUGAGUUUAGUCGUAGAGGGAUAAUGGUAAAUUCAAAUUUGGGGCAUGGUUCACUAAAUAAGAACAUGGCCUAAUUUUCGGUUUAAACAAACAGGUCACAACCUUCUAUUGGCACAUCCAGUACAAGGGCAAACACAUAUGACACCUAAAUAGAUUAUCUAAAGAACGGAGGACAGCUAUUUCAUCGAAGUCCAUAAUACAGCAUUACACCACAUAAUCUACAAUCAAUGGUUGCUGAAUAAAGAUGAGAGAAGCAUUUUGGGUGUAUAGGUGACAAACAUGAUGCAACAAUCAGGAUGCAUGCUCGUCCUAUUCGUCCUUACUAAUUUUGCCAACACACUGUGGCAAUAACGUUCUAUACCGGUGGCAUACGUUCUCUCUCGGUAUUUUGCUAGUCGUCAGCUACACAUACGUUUUCGAGGUUAGUGUACCUGCAGAAAAAUCCAUCACAACCCAAUUUACCAAUGAUGCAAUUCACACAUGACAGUUUAUCACAGUUUAUACUCCAUAUAUUGCUAUAUGGAGGCCAGCUCAUCAUUAAGCGCCGAGCCACGCAUAGGAGCCGUUGCCACACUUUAACCAUAGGGCAACCCAUUAUGGUAACUUACCUUCUUACCUGAGCGUAGGUGCGUCGUUACAAGUACAUUACAAUUCUUAGUAUUCCCAUGUCUGUAUACCCAUACACAUCCAUGGGGUACUGAAUUCCCGAAAAAGUAAAUACGCCACAUCGCAGCCUUCAUAUAUACAUAUGUGGAACAUGUAUAUAAUCAAGCGCUACAAUUAAGCACUUCCCUAGACCGACGGUUGUUCGGUCAUGCUCUCACAUCUCACCUUACCUUGAGCGUCGAUCCAUUCAAAACUGAAUGGCCUUAAAAAUAACAAUACACAUGUAUGCAAUACCCACCCGGUUAUGGGUUAUGGUUUUUACAUAAGCCACCUAAUAGUCCUUAAUUUAGGGCUUAACAGAGGAUGUCGCUAGCAUUAUAGUUUUUCAAAACUGUUUUCGAAAACCAAACAAUGUUUUUAGUUGAAAAUAGGUUUUUCAAAACUAAAACUUUUGUUUUGAAAAUACGUAUGUGACCGUAUAUACUUAAUCCAGCUCCGAUACCAGCUGUGGAAGAACCUCCCAAGGUAUCGGGCCCACAUGCACCUGUCCUUGUCUCAAAGAACUCAGACGGCCAUGCAUGUGCACCAGAUAACUUAACAGGAUCCGUCCGAUUGCCCCACGGACACCGGAUAAACCACUUACAACCAGAACCGCGGGAUUAAGUAAUACAAAUCACACACACCAAUAUUUUGCAGCGGAAAUCUUAUUACCAAAUUUUACAAGUUACAAAAAUUUUACUUCGUACAUGAUCAGAGUGAUUACUACAUUGAUUCAAAGAAAGAAACUUUGAACGGUUAUAAAUUAUUUAUAGUUUUGAAAUAUAUGCUAGCUCAAGUGACCAUCCUCAAUAAGAAGAUAAAGGCGGGGUAUACUUAUAUAAGAAGGCCGAGCCCACCGGCACUUAACACCAUCAACAGCAGCACAAAAACUAUAACCUGAAAAACAACAGGGAAUAAAACCCUGAGUAUGGAAUUACUCAGCAAGACUUACCCGACUAAAGAAAAGACUCUCAAGGAUAUGCUGGAUUUGGGAAUCAAGGAGAGGCUUUAGCAAGAAUCAACUUAGAUACUUUUGCAGAAAUAGCUUACUAAAGUGAGUCCUUACUUUCAAUAUUUUAACGCCAGAUUAAAUAUUUAAUAGACUCUGUUUGCAUCUAGUCUAAUUUCAUCAUCUCAUCAAUACAACAUCAUUUUUAUCCAUAGUGUUCACAUCUUGACUUAGGUUGUAGGUAGGAGCUCAAGUCUCCACUCUCCGGGGAUAUAACGGCGAUCCGAAUCGAUUUACUCAGCUGAGGAUCUCUAACCACACGACAUAUGUUUCUCGUAAACCUUGAUGUCUACUAUUCCCACGGAUCCUCCACUGCAUGAACAGGUCCGCGCCACCCGAGAGCACACCACCCUUUUUAGGCGAUCCUUUGCCAGGAGGGUACGUGCCACUCUCGCCAUCUCUCCACUCCCAGUGCGCGAUUGUCUUUUCAUGCAUGGAAUAGCCGGGUUCAAGCUUACCCUGUCCCAUUCCCAGGGCAUGUGGCUAGAUAAGAUAGUCCUUGAUCAACAGGCCUACAUACGCAUCCAAUCCUUAAUUGACCCGGGCGGAGAAUCACCUGUUCCUAGCCCAAGUCUCGAUUUAAGUACUUCCAUCCUUAAGAUUGUUUCUGUUCCUUAGGAUGAAAAGAGCAUCACAGGGAACUUUGCAGUAAGAUCCCAUCAUUGCUCCAAAUGAAAAUAUUCUUGCAGGUAGAAGUCAUCCUUUCUCGAGCUAGGCUAAGGACAACCUCUAUCCACAAGAUCUAAGCAGGGCUAAGCAUUUUUGUAAAUCAUAUUUUGAUACUUCACCAGAAGUAUCUAUAAAGGUAUGGAUAUCAAGGAAAGCAAUGCAUC